UUUUGCAUGCUCUCUGUAUAGGUCUGAAUGAUUGCAUUGUUUGACUUAGCUAAGCUUUGAAUCAUAUCUUGGAGAUAAUGGAAGAAGUGUAGUGAUUUUCAGUAGAUUUUAGAAUUGUUAAAGAUUAUCCCUUUUGGUAGUUUAAAUCUCCAGUUAUGAGCUUAUGAAGUGGAAUGACAGAAUCUGUCCUAACCUGGACAGAGAUGUUUUCUUUAUGAUGUCUGACCUGGUUAACUUUUGAAUUAGCUUGUGAUAUUUAUAAAAACAAUUAUGCAUGGUUUGCUAAAAUUUUUAAAAAGUCUAGAACCACCUUGUUUUGAAAGGAAGCACUCAACUUAUGGCUGUCUAAAGUUUAAUGUCAAAAUCUGUUCAAGUUUUGAUAAAUUUGUUUCUUUAUGUUGUAUAGUCUUGUUAACUGUUGAAUCAUCUUGAGAUGACAAUAAUAAAGUUAUGGAUAACUUAAUAAGAUUUCUACCAAGUUAAGAAUCAUGGUUGGUGGAUGUCUAGAACUCAACUUAUUGCUCUCUGAAGUUCAUGUCAGUUUUCUAUCCUUGUUUGUACAGAUCUGCUUAUUGGUGUGUUUUCACCUUGUUAAUUGUUGAAUUAGCUUUUGGAAUGAAUAACAAAGUUUUAUAUAAUUUCACUAACUUUACAGAAAGUCUAGGUUCACCCUUGUCGGAUGCUUAUAUCUCUAGUUAUAGCUAAAACAAUUGACUACUGUGCUGCUGUCCAGAUUCGGUGUAUGUGCUUAAGUUAUUAGAUUUAACUUGAUGUUGCCUUGUGUGUUUGUUAGUUAGCUCAUAUCACUAUUAGAGUUAAAUUGAUCUACCUGAGAAUCUUAUAAAUGUGUUAUAUAAUGUUGGUCAAGAACUUAACCAAUUAAUGGUCAUGUAUACAUGUUGCUACAAAAUAACCUUGCUGCAUAGCUUACUAGAACCUUAGUGAUGUUGGUGUGUGACUUACUUGUGCAUGAGUAGUUUAAAAACAAAUGUAAUAUACUUUGAUCACCUACAAUUUGCUGGUUGUGUGAUGCACUUAUCUAUGCCAUGUUGAUAAGCACCAUCACCCCUAGUUCUUAUAUGAUGCUAUGCUUAAUUAGCUCUUGACUGUUAAAUGCUUGCAAUAGCUUGACUUGAGUUAACUAGUGUGCCAUGCUUGUUAUGCUUGCUAUCUCUAUGGAGACUUGAGUGAUAGUUAGUUAAAUAACUUGCUCUCUAAGUACUUAUGUCUUGUGGUGUAACCUUGUGCUUGUCCUGAAUGCUUUUGUGUGAUGCAUCUCAUUUUACCAUUCUUCGUAUUCAUGCUCUUGCAUCUUGCAUCUCAUCUAGAUACGCUAGAUAAACCACGUGAAGGGCGUGAUGAUGGAACCGAACCCGAAGACGGUGUAUGGUGGAGCUAUCCCGAAGAUGGAAGGACUAAGCAAGUACUGAGAUGGGAGAUGCUCGCCAAGCGAGUGUCGUCUAACAAACACUAACCUAGUGUUGGAUUCCAGGCAAGCCCCAGAGCAUGAUUUCCUAUCUUUAAAUACUUGCAAUACAAUUGCUUGUUUUGAUUGUGCAUUUACGUUCCAGGAGUUGAUUGAAACCGUAGAUGCAUGAACUUAGUACCCUUGAUAUGAACACUAGUAUAUUAAGUCAAGUAGUUGCAAUGCUUAAUAGGACUCGAUAAAAGUUGAGUGAUUGCCUGUCACUCGCGAGUUAUAGGAGUUGAUUUCCUUACUUGUGUUGCAACUAUAAGGACGAUGGACGGGCCGGGCUUAUAUUCAGUACUUGGUGGUUUGCCCCGUCUAUCUACAUGAAAUUGGACUAAGGUCGAGAUGUGAUAGUGUUCAUGAUCAAGUGUUGAAAGUACUAAUCUCAUACCUAGUAUGGGAUGGGGAAGCCUAGUACCUGAUUGAACCGGAACAUGAGCGGAUCAUUCCACUAUCUUUGGAACAGAGUUCCCUUGCGGCCGCAUGUGGUGACAGGUGCAGUCUAUGGAGCCUUGUACCAAGGAAAGUGGGCCUAACACAGGUCUGGGAAUUGAUGGGGACGGCUGACAAAUGAAGCGACCCUUCGCGGUGCGCGGAUGUCGUGGGAUUAGGUUCACCAUGCAUGGUUAAGAAAUUUGAAUCCAUUCAUCUGCCUCUCACAGUUUGGGACUACUUGAUCGCUAUGCUACACUGAGUAAGAAUGAAACUUGAUGAUUGUUGGGGGGAAAUAUUAAUGACCUCCUAAUGCCGCUUAAAACAACAGUCAUGAAGGCCCAGGCCCACCUGCGGUAAUUACGAUUACCGCCGACCCAGUAGAGGCAGAAAACACCCCACUCCGUCUCGCCCGACCCAGGGCCCCGGGGUCGGACAAUCCCGACCCCUCGAUGGCGGGACUCCGUCUCGCCCUUUCCUCACCAGGACUUUGGCGCGCGAGGAGUUGAAGUGGGAAAUCCCCUAGGAUCCCAUCACCGAAGGAGGAAGGAACUCGACGGGGAUGGGGAGAAAGGGCAUAGCGCUAAGCAGAGGAAGAUGAAGCGGGCGCGGAUGAGCUGAGGGCGAGCUAGAAAGGCGAAAAGACUUGAAAGCAGAAGGCGGGCGGAACCUGCGAGGCGGAGCCUUCAUUUUAUAGGGAAGGGGCGAAGGGAGCGGAACUGACGCCCUUGUCGCCAUAAAUGCGGCGCCAGGUACGCCCCCAUCACGCCCACUUUCCUUUCGGAAACCGCGCGCACGAUCGGCCGCAGAGACAUCCUCUCCUCCUCGAUUCACGGGUCGGCGCCCUCCAUAACUCCGUCUCCCGGAAGACGCGCACACAACAUCCGCCCCGAUUCAGCCCAACGCCCACCGAAAGGUAAUAAGGGGUACGGGGCUGGAAAUGCCCCUACGGCCCAUUUACGAUCCAAAGGUUCGAAGGCUGGCCCGCUACGGGUUCGACGACCGCCUCAGGAUGCCCACGAGCAAGGGGUGAGAAGGGACGGGUCCGCUAGCGGCCACCACCCAGGCGAGCGAAAGCCAAGGGCGUCCCGACCUCACGUUCGAGCCCGAGCUGGCGUCUAAGUUCAUGGUUUUUCCCCGAAGAAAGGCAACGAGCCCCCGAAUCCGAUCGAACGGACUCGGGAACUACAUGAACUGGCCAGCCGGAAUCUGGAGUACGCCACCAGCUUGGCCCGAGCCUGACUCCCCGAACGGGGACCGGGACUCCACUCGAACCGUCCCAUUCGCAGCUCAACGAGCACCACGGUUCAUCCAACGAGGAUAGCGUGGCACGGCUCAUCCCCUCCAUCCCAGCGAACGAACGCUUGAGGGGUAACGAUAAAAAGCCGAUCUAGCCUCCCGAUCAGUCUCCUGCAACGCGCGGGGGCUCGAGGGCUAGCGUCGCAACCGACGACCACGUGUGUGGUCGCGAUUUGAGGACUCGAGGUGGGAGCGCCCUACGGAGCAAUGAGGAAUCCUCCCGUGCCAAGUCAUCCACAGGACACCUCUCCUGAUCAAACUCCCUGGCCAAGCCGGACCAACAACACUCCCUAUCCCUGAUCAACCGCAGCUUCCAGGGCGAGCAGAGAUCCCCGACGAGCGACGAAAAAAGCCUCUGGAGGAGCAUCUUUGCUCAACCACAGGCUCGGGGGCUACUGUUGGGGGGAAAUAUUAACGACCUCCUAAUGCCGCUUAAAACAAUAGUCAUGAAGGCCCAAGCCCACCUGCGGUAAUUACGAUUACCGCCGACCCAGUAGAGGCAGAGAACACCCCACUCCGUCUCGCCCGACCCAGGGCCCCGGGGUCGGACAAUCCCGACCCCUCGAUGGCGGGACUCCGCCUCGCCCGACCGCGGUCCCAAAGUCUGGAGCGUCCGACCCCUCACCGCAACGCUCCGCCUCGCCCGACCGCGGUCCCAAGGUCGGGAGCGCCAGACCCCUCGCCGCAAGGCUCCGCCUCGCCCGACCCAGGGGACCGGGGUCGGCAGCGCCCGACCCCCACCACAGAAACUCCGCCUCGCCCGACCCUGGGCGCGGGGGUCGAACUCACUCGGGUCCACAAGAUGGAUAUUCGCCUUGGGCACGGACUGGAGGAUCAGGAUGGGGAUCUCGUGGGUCCCCCUAUCGACCUCGCCAUAAAUGCGCCGCGGCCCUGUCAAGCCGAAAGGGGAGCGGCGUCCCCAACAUAAUCGGCCCCGAAUACCGAUGUGCGGCCGUGCGGUGCGAGCUGCAGUGGCCGCGGCUCCCUCUGAUUCGCCACAAAGUACUCAUGAGCUGCGCCGGACACCACAGGAGGGCACACCGCUCGCUCUCGCGCCCCGUGCGCCCAAUGCAAGUCUCAAGGAUGCGACGUUCGGGUCUUACGGUAAUUGGCAGGGCAAUAGAAUCGGACUUUCUCCCCGGCGGGCAUGGAUGCCGAGGCUGAGGAUCAUCAUCACGCUCGACGGCGACGACGACUAGGGAGAUCAUCGACAAGAUUGGGAAGGAAUCGCCCUCCCGCGCCGGACGUGAUGACAGGGACCAGAGGCCGGAGCAAGAGCGGCGGCCUUGGGACCCUCCCCUUGUGUUAUUUUUCUCUUUAGCUUAUCCUUUCUACCUCUCCUCUGAACGUCCGGCUCACCUGUAACCCCGAGCUCCUUCUUGCGCUAUAAAAGGAGGACCGAGGGUCCGGAGACGGGGACGAAGACUCUCUCAAGCCAACAGCACAGUCUCACACUCCCUUAGAGCACAAGCACACUCAAGAGACCUGGGAUCAGUUCCCUCUCUUGCCCAUCUGUAACCCCUACUACAGAACCCCGCGUGGGUAACACGAGCAGCCCUGAUACUGGACGUAGGGCCUCCUUUGCCCGAACCAGUCGAACCCCGUGUCUCCCAUGCCACCAUCCGAAGCCUUACGCGCAUAAAAGAAAUUUACUAGUCCAAGUCUCGAUCCGUAAAUCUUGACAACGACAAUGAUGAUCUUAAUAUUGAUGCUUGUCAUAAAUUGCUUGAAAACUAUGCUUGUUUAGUAUAGUUGCUAACUUAGAUGGGUAAAUGAACUUAGAAUUGGUGGCUAAAAUAUUGAAAGUAAGGACCUACACUAGUUGCUUUUGGCAAAAACAAACCCCUUAGCCAAAAAGCCUUGCAUGUCUAGAAGUUGGUGGAGUAGUUACCACCUGUCGGUUAAGUCUUGUUGAGCAUAGUUGCUCAGCCUUGCUUGUGGCACAUCUUUUUGGGUGAUGUUGAUACCUCUAAGUACGCUGCAAGUGGCACUUGGCCUCCCCAACUUCCUCCUGGUUGGACGGUUGAGUGGGAUCCCUCCUCGGACGGCGUGGACCGGGAUCAUUGAUGUCAUGAUCGGCUUCGUCAUGAUAUCCUACAACGACGUUUAGCUUCCGCUCAAUUAUUUCUGUUAUUUGAGAACACUACAAACUUGCUUGAAUUUCGAACUUGGACUUGUAAUAAUUUAAUGCACAUGUUUAAUUGAGAUGGACUAUUAUAAUCUCUGUAACCACUCGCCUUUGUGCGAGUCUUGCUUUCUUGAUCCUAAUUUAUCGGAUGAAAUCCGACGGACGACCAAGUUGAUUUGCUUAAAGUACAUGAUCGCGCGUUAAGCGGCUUAAGUGUGCUUUAGCCAAGUUAAUUUGGGCGGUUCUGCCACAGCGGCGACGGAUGUUCAGCCGCUGAAUCAGUCUUUGCACUCGGCACCAAGUCUAGUUCCCAACUAAACGACGGCCCUGCCUCCGAUGAUGUCCCUGCAGCCUCCGCAACGGAUCCAAGGGUGCGCGCGGCCUCGAGCUUAGGGGCUUCAGUUCCCACAAAGUUGAGAGGAAUGGCAUCCAAGACGUCUAACGUAGAUGGUUCUUCAACUGAUGCAGCCUCAGGCAAUGGUUCGGGAGCAGCAGUCUGGGGAGCAGCUGGCGCUACAUCCUAGAGAGAACCGAUCAUGUCCUGCAACAACGCGACCGCCAAGGAUGUAGCGUUUGCCCCUACCGCCAGCGCUAAGUUCUCCUCCAUUAAUUCGAUGACAGGCGCAGGGGCUGGUUUCAUAGUUGAGCGGCUUUCAUCAUCAGCUACUGGGCUUGUGCCUACCGCACCAAGUUCAACACUCGAAGAUGCCCUACACACAACAAAGCAUAAGAACCAAAGAGCAACUACUCGAUACAAAUUCAGUACUUAAACACAGCGCCAGGGUACUCACCUGGUCGACCGAUGAGGCACCAGAGGAGUUUUCCCCACCAAGCGCAUUGUCAAGGUACUAGGAAUUGGCAUAUUUGAUGGGGCAGGCAGUGGAGCUUCAGGGUUGUCACCAGUACCCGCAGCAAUUACUUGGGCAGCGGCAGCCACGUGAUCACCACUGGUAUCCAUGCGCUCUCCACCUCCGAAAAUUUUGGACAAUGUAGCAUCAGACACUGCCUCCGGCGUCUUGACUACUUCACUCAUGUCUGUCUCUGUUGAUCUGGCUACACUGCCGGUACUCACCGCUGGCUCCUCAGUCACGCAUGGAGUAGUUGUCUCCGAAGCCAUGGUCAUAUUACCAGCGGCCGUAUCCGCUGCAACAGUCCCGUCGUCGGUCAUUGUUUCUGCAACUUCAUCGGCAUUAUUGGUAGACAUCUCCGUGGCACCAACAACCUCAUCAACAGCUGCCUCUACGGUCUCGACUACUUCACUAGUAGCCUGCAAAAGAUAGAACUUAAAGAUAAGUAGUCAAAACUACUUACAACAAGUACAAGAGUAUUUGCCCCUCAAGGCCUUGCCCUUCCACAAAAGUUAUUACCGGCGAGGGCGCAUCAUGAAUGCAAAGAUCGCGCCUAGUGUGCCUCUUAGGCACAGCAGUUCACUGCUUCUUUGGUGGCGAUGCCAAAUCAACAUCUACGUCGUUGUCAACACAGCGUCUCAACGCGACAGAAGAUGACUUGUCUUGCUUCGGGGCGCACGGCUGCAAUACAAAGUCACCCUCAUCGUCACAAUCAGAGCUAUCAAUGGAAUCGGUCUCUUCAUCCUCCCCCUCCUCCUCUUCCUUUUCUUAGGAAUCCCCAGGCAAUUGCAGUGAAUGCACUGGCAUUGCGUUCUUUGCGUCAUCCGCACCGGGGGAAGGAGGAGGCAAAUAAAACACGAGUGAAUCUGCCUGCACAAGAAGAAACAAGUCGGAAAACAACAGAUCAAAACAAUACAAGUACUCAAAGCACAACAAUGAUGAAUACUUACUUCAUUCGGCUUGUUCUGGCUGUCGAACUCUUCAACUGCUCCAAGUGUGCCCUCAAGUUCUUUGAACAUCCGGCACAGUCGGGCCCCAACUUCUUCAUUAGAGACAUCAUCAGGCGACAUCCGUGAGGGAUCAUCAAGCCCAAAGUACUCAUAUGCGGGAGUCUGCUGAAACUACAAUGGCUGCAGCCGUCUUUUCAGAAAGCUGGCACUACGACUAUUCCUGUCAAACCCUGCUUCUUCAAUACAACAAUCUUGGUCAAUAGAUCAGGUACUUGAAUACUUUCAGCAGUUGUUGGUUCAUCAAGCCACCGGCUGCUGUACUUUGGACGAUAUCUAGUAAUCUUGGGUAGAGACGGCUUGUGAUCUUCAAUAUGAAACCACUUUCCCUUCCAACUACCAUGAGAUUCCACUAGCUUAUGCUCCAAAUACAGAUCCCAGUACUGCUCACGGAUCUGGAAGCCGGCACCUCCAAUAACCUGCAUAUUCUUCUGACUAGGUUGUGGCUUCAAGCGAAAAAUCUUGAGGAAGAGAUCGAAAUGGGGCAGAAUCCGCAGAAAUGAUUCCCACAAGUGAACAAAGAUGGAGAUAUGCAAAAUGUUGUUGAGAUUGAGAUGGACAAGUUGUAAUAAGUAGUACUCCAAGAGGCCCCAGAAAAAGUCAGAAGUUGGAAUAGCAAAUCCGCGCUCCACAAACUAGGUAAAUAUUACCGUCUCAUUGGGGUGUGCUUCAAACAUCCAAACAUUUCCAUAAGAGGACCUCCAACCCACGACCGCCUGCUCCUAUAGCAGCUUGACGUCUACCAGCUCUUGGAUUUCCGUGUCCUUCAUGGUGGAUCGCUUCCAGGCCAUCACCUGGUUGGGCGGUGCGGUCUGGUUGGUUUCCCCACAUUUUAGCAUCAGCAGUUCAAGCUCCUUCCCCUUCCUGGAAGUUCCUCUCUUGGAACCCUCCUUGGACCCCUUCUUCGAAACCUCAAGCUUCUUCUCCAUCCUGGCUUCGCGAGCCACUUCAUGCGCAUAUGCUCGGGGGUAGCGGAGGCGGCACGGACGAUUCACAAAUGGUGUGCAACAGCGCUCGAGGAAAAGUGAAGAUUUUCUGAGGAAGAGGCUAAAAGAUGCAAAUGACAGUGUAAGGGGAGGGGAUAACUUUCCCCAUCCCUUAUAACCGCGACGGAGUCUCCGUGGGUAAUGGGCCGAUGUUUUCGCUAAUUAGAGGCAAUUAUGGCCUUAUCUGCACAAAACAGAUUUUUUCAAACUGUUAGAAGCUGAAAGGUCACGGUAACAGAUUGAAAUACCCUUAUACCUCCCGGAACUAAUCGGGUAACGGCUCAGGGGCUGCGUAUACCGUGCCUGUUGGAUAAAAAUUUCUUUUUCUUCAAAGAUCAAGACAAAGACGGAACAAAUGCAGAUUGACCCUCAGCCUGAUUCUUCGAUUCAAUCUAAGGCUCGGGGGCUACUCCAUAUGGAGUGCGAUUUUCAUCGCACUUCCAUAUAAAGGUUUGAAGGCAGACUUCUCAGAAACAACGUCAGAUGAGGCUAAGAGUACCUUCCAGCCGCAUGACAGCACUCAAGUACUCGAAGACUUGGCCACAACCAAAGUACUCGAAGAGCACCAGAAACUAGUCGAGCAACGUCUACAAAAGUACCCGAGGCUAUUACAUUUGACUACAAAGUACUCGGGGACUUGUCGAGCAUACAUCCAUGGGCCCACCAGAAGGCUUGUACGGAUCCAUAUGAGGAGAAGUACACCAAGAUAUACCAGAACAUGGAGACUACAAUACAGGGUGGCGUAGUCUACAUGGACUACCAGGAGACUAGUCAUAGACAAGGAAACUACUCUUCCGAGUCAGAGUAGAACCUGUAGUCAUAUCCGACUAGUACUCUUGUAAAACAACUAUCCUGUAACCCUGCUCCUCCGGUAUAUAAGAGCGGGCAGGGACCCCCUCAAACAAAGUUCAAUCCAAUACAAGCAAACAACACACAGGACGUAGGGUAUCACGCGAUCUAGCGGUCCGAACCUAUCUAAAUCGCAUGCCUACGUACACCAUUGAGCUCCUGAUUUUGGCGACACCCACCAACCAAAACUCUACCUGGAGUACUCCCUUGUUAGGUUGUUGGGUUUAAACACCGACAGGCGGCGUAGAUGAUCUGCUCGUGACGCAUUCCUAGCUCGCCGGCAUGUCCUUUCACUUUCAGCCUCUUCUCCUUGUACGGUGGCGGUGAGCUCAUCUGCCGACACGUCGUCUGGGUGGUGUUCAUGCCGUGGAUGCCUUUCUGGUUGCUCUUCAUCGCUGUUGGCCCCUUGAGGAUUGAUGAUGGCAAGUAGUUCCCGCUCUAGAGGAAAACUAGCCGAGCUUGACGUGAUGAUCUUUGUAGGGCCGUCUUCUUCGUAGAUAAGAGAUAGAGGUGUUCCCUCCUAGUAUGGGAGGUUGUCAAGGUACGCGACAAGGCAUGACUCGUCGUCCUUGGCUAGAGCAGAUGGCUUCAUGUCGGGCCAGUAGAUGAAUCUGCCUUGUGGCGUAGAUGUGAUUACCACGCCCUACUACGGACCUGAUAAAGGGAUCUCCUCGUUCGGGUCCGAGUAGUAGUCGAGGUCCUCGAUCAAAUCUGAGUUGGAUAGGGAUCUAGACAGGUUGGCUUGAAAGAUAGCACCCGCGUUUCGGAGUCUGAACGGGAAUCGAGUUGUAUCGUAGACCGAUUCACACAAUGGCUCAAACGCCAGCUUGUAGGAACCAAUCCGACUAGUGGGAGGGGUCGAAUUGUACCCAGGCUUAUCCCUGGAACCACGGAAGAGGUCAAAAAUUUUGUUGAAUUUUUCAACAAAAUCCUCCAAAGCUUAGCGAUGGAGGUUGAUGUCGUAGUGCUUCUCAUCCAGGGCCGGCAUGAUGUGGUGGUGGAAGUUUGUAGCGCCGUCUGCGAUGCAGACCUAGGAGCCGAAGACGAACGUCGUGCCCUCUUCGAACGUGAUGGUGGGCUUGAUGACUAGAGCCAUCGAGUUCGCCAGCGAAUCUUUAGCGAGAUCCCCUACCUAGCGUGCCAACUAUCGGUGUUUAGACCUGGCAACCUACCGAUGGGGUACCUGAGGUAGUGUUUUGUACGUGGGGCUCGCCGAAGACUAGGAACUCGAAGGUGAACUCGAACACACGAUUUAGACAGCUUCGAGCCACAUAUGUCGCGUAAUACCCUACGUCCUGUGUGUUGGUUGGAUUGUAUUAUUUGAUGAUUGUUUGGAGGGGGUCCCUGCCUCGCCUUAUAUUGCCGUGAGCAGGGUUACAGGUCGGUUGUUGUACAAGAGUACUAGUUGGAUUCGACUAGAGAAUCCUACUCUAAUUGCUACGAGUAGUUUCCUAAUCCUCGACUAGUCCUUGUCCUCCACGUAGAUAACGCCGUCCUGCACCAUAGUCUUCAUGUCUGACACAUCUUGGUGUAUAGCCUCGUAUGUAGGACUGUCCAAGCCUCACGGUGGCCCCAUAGAUAUAUGGGCGACACCGCCGUCAUCCUCGUUGUUGUCCACGUGGCAUGGUGGCCAGGUGAAGGCAGCGCCCUUGCAGGAUGUCCUGUCAGGCCUGUCCCUGCCACGCCCACAGUCCUCCUUGGGCUUGUCGCGCACGUGGUGGGGCUGGGCAGCGUGUGCAACGCGCUUGCGGUCUCUGGGCUGCUCGUCGCUCUUGUCACGCCUGUCGAUGCCUUCGCGCCCGCCAGCCCGCCUGUCUUGCUCCUCUCGCGAGUGUUGUUCUUCCUGGCGGUGGACCUUCUUGUCCCGCGCCCCCGUGUGUCGCAGCGGUCACAGGAGCCUUGUGGGGAAGCGCACCAUCAACAAGCCCAUAGAGCCAUUCAUACCGGCACUUGACUGGCGUGAUGCUCAUCGGGUUGUUGACCGCCUCCUGGAGGUUGCGUGCUGCCACCGAGUAGUCCUCGAGGAGAGGUAUGUGGAUGAAGACUUUGUAGCGGCAUCCUGUUACCAUGGCUCCGGUGGUUGCUCGGCGAAGACGAAGACAGCUGAUGAGCGAUUAGAGGGCUUGUGGGUGAAUGCCAACCACACCCUCUUGGGGAUCUCACUUGGAUUCGCUAUCCAUGCCUAGAGCUCGAUGUGGCGGGUGUCUGCUGGCUAGACGAGGUCCGUGACGAUGCAUUUCAGGGCACACUUGUGCCCGACGAUCUCUGGCGUCCAGGCGUGGGACAGGAUGCUGUCCAAGCAGUGGCGCACCCUGUAGAAGAUACGGAAGCCGAGUGCGUGCGUCAGGCUACGCUAGGUGUGGAGGCAGAUGUCGAUUCCUCACCCGGUGAAGCGACCUCGGUGUCGGGCCUCGACGGCGUGGGCAGCGUGCUCGAACCGGACCAAGUAAGGUUCAGGUUGGUGAAGCAUGAUGGUGACAUCCCCUUCCUUAGCUGGAGCUUGUCGACGAGUAGCUCCGAGAUGUCGUGCGCCCCGGCGCUGUGCGGCAGAUGCAGGGCCUAUGGGACUAGGGCGCAGGACUCCCAACCGCGAGCUUCGCACUCGAGAUCGAAGGAAUUAGGGAUAAACACCGUCUCUAUGUCAGGAUGAGUGUGUGGAUCUCCAAUCACCAUUGCUGGGCAAUACGGGGGCGGUGGUGGACGUAGGGGCGGCGACGAUGGUAAUGGAGGAGGGGGAGGCGGAGGAAGGAGGUGGUGUCAUGGCAGGAGACUUGCGGACAUGGGGACAGUCUCCCUCUCGGUGCCCUGAGCUGCGACACAGGAAAGCGGCAGACGGGUCCCUGCACUGCGCUGCCCGGUGCCCUCUAGAGAGGUAGAUGAAGUAGCGCCCCCAGGUGAUGCGGUUGAACUCCUGUAGUGCCAUGGUAGCUGGCUAUCUUGAAGGCUUUGCGUCGUUGCGCCACCAUGAAUCCGUGUCGCAUCGGCUUGCAUGACCCCUGUGGUAGCUGACGUAGAUCCAUCCCUCCCUCUGCAGAGCUCCACUAGGGCGGUCAUCUUGCUAGCUCUGCCACGGCCGGUCGAUGAAUUGAAUGCAGCAUCCUAGUGUAGUUAUCGCUAGCUUGGGGCGGUAGCUCAGUGGAGGCCGGUGAGGCUCCUUGAAUGCGCCGUAGUGCACGGCCUCCGCAUAGGUAGGGGCUCGAUCUGUCGAUGCUGUGGAAGUUGAAGAUCCUCCGGAUCCAGGGCAGGGCCAUGGCUAGCCGGAUCUGGGCGGAUUCGAUUCAGGCCAGGCGGACACCCCCUGCAAGAAGCGAUCCCACGAAGAGACGGGGACCGGGUUGGCGGUGGAGCGGGGCUUAGGUGCGGGUUGGCAGCGGGGGUUCUUGGGGUGGAGGUCCAGCCACUCCAGGUGGUGGGGGAGGAGGGUGGGGGUUAGGAGGCACAGUGGAAGCCUCCUUUUUCUCUUUUUGAAAAGUCAUGGUUGGUUCUUUAUGUUCGUUCCUAAAUGAUCUUCAGUAGGUUGUUAUAUUAAUCAACAAGUGGAGUACAGUAACAUUGGACAACGUCUAAUAGCUAGUAAAUUAUUGGAAAGACGUUUUUGUAAAUAUUUUUUGGUUGAAGUGCCUACUUGGCAACACAUGGCUAAAUUAUAUAUAUUAACAUUAUCACUUACACCCUGUUUGGAUGUAGAUAUUGAAGCUGGAAUUUGGAAUUGGUAUUGGUUAUCCUCAAUGCUUGCUGUUCGGGUGUUUAUAGAAUUGGAAUUGGAAACCUGCUGCAAUACCGAACAGUAUUGGGCAUACUGCCGCAGCCCCUCGCGCAAUGCCGAACCGUUCCUCUCGGUAUUCGCUGAAAUUGACCUCCCCCUCUCUCGCAUCUCUUUCUUUCUCCGUCUCAAUCUCUCUCCGCUGGGCACCAAACGCUACAGCUCCGCGCGAGAAGGCGGCGUGGCCUUCACCAAUCAGGCCACGACGGCACGGGUGAGCUCCGCCCCCCCCCCCGCCUGCUCUCUCGGUCUGCGUCUUAAUCUCUCUCUUCGUCUCAAUCUCUCUUCGUCGGGCAUCCGAUGCUGCUCCUCGGGGAGAGAAGGCGACGCGGCCUUCACCGGCAAGGCCAUGGCGGCACGGGUGAGCACGCGGUGGUCCCAUCACCUCAUAGGCUUCGAGUGUGAGAACGAGCGCACGAGCUUACCCCGGCGAGGCGACGACUCACAGUUGAGCCACCUGCAUUGAAAUCUUUCUCCAGCGAGCUAUCUAUUGGAAUGCUCAAUUUUUUGACUUGUGGUUCCAUUUUGCUAGUGAGAUUCUUGAUUUGUUGCAUUGUCGUUCGAUUCUGCUGCUGCAGUGCUUGAUUUGUUGGUCGAAUUUUGUAGAAUUUUGAUUUUGCCUGUAGGUCCUAGUUCAACGGGAGUCCGGCCAUUUGUUUGCCACCGGGUAUGAGUUGACGAGGUCGUCCGCGGUGGGGUCGAACAGCGGCUGGCCGCUUGGAGGCCUGCUUGUGCGACAUGGUGGCCUCAACGGCUUACCCUCCGACCGCCGCGUCAUUGAUGCCGCUGGUGAGGAAGAACAGAACGAGAGAAAGAAACAAGCAAGUCAUGGGCAUAAUCGUCACUUCAAUUUGGCUGGAAAAAAAUUGAAAAGAAAAGUAGGAAAAUAAGCAUAUAGAGAAGAUGUUGACUCUCAAUUUCAUGAUCUGAACAUCCAAACACGAAUUGGUAUUUGCCGUCUCAUUCGAUUCCAACUAGCAAUUCCAUGUACAUUUAAACAAUAGAUUUUGUAUUAUAACCUAUUUUCAAUAUCAUUCUGCUUUGGUAUUGAACUCAAUUUAGUGCCAAGCUCUUUAAUAUCUACGUUCAAACGGACCCUCAAGCAUGUGCACACUCUAGCUAAACCAUUUACACACAACUGUGAUGCUCCAAUCACCACCAAACAAGUCAUCCGGCCCAGUCUCUCGUGCACAUAGAAAAGUGCUAUCCCCAUUCGAUUGGAGACACCUGGCUGGCUACACAUCACCCGAAGACCUUUUCUUAAAGAGAUUUCGUUUUCACUAGUCCUAUGUCUCAAAAUUCAAACAUCACAGUUGACCAUUUGUCUUCGUACAGACGCGUACGUGCAAAAUACGUUCGAAUUCCUAGCCAUUCCACUGGGACCCAUGACUUUUCUUUUUUGUUCGAAUAGGACAAGCACCAAGUUAAACAUCCAAUGCAUCAAACAGGAGCAUCGAUCGAGCAGCAGCGACAAGGACCUGCCCUGCCCGCCCGCAGCACGAAGCACCAGCGUUGCACGCAUCCUCCUCCGCGUCCAGGAAUCCCGGGCCCAGCACGCACCCCGUCGCCUCCCCUUCGCCGAGCCGCCCCGCCCGCGCCACCUCCGAUCCUUCUCCCCUCCCCUUCCCCUCCCCUCCUUUCUAGAACCUCCUCCUCCUCCUCCUCCGCCCCCCGACCUUGACCGGACCGCGCCCGCGCGAGUCUAGUGGGGGCUUCCGGCGCCGCCGGCGGGGGUGAAGAUGGCGCUGGAGCUGAGCCUGGCCUCGGCCUCGGCCUCGCCGCCGGCGGGCUGGCUAGCGCCGCCGCCGCCCCUGGCCCCGCCCGGGAAGGAGCAGCAGGUGGCCGGCGUGGGGAUUCUGCUGCAGAUCUCCAUGCUCGUGCUCUCCUUCGUGCUGGGCCACGUCCUCCGACGCCACCGCUUCUACUACCUCCCCGAGGCCAGCGCCUCGCUCCUCAUCGGUAUGUACGCGGUUGGCCGAACCACUAACACGGGAGUGAAUUUGGGGGAGUAAUGUGUCGUAAUGGAUCAGCACGGGGAAUGAAUUUUUAGGGAAGUAAGAGGGUCGAAUGGACCCUUACCAGUGCGACCACUUUUUAAGUAUUCGAGGCUGAAAUGUUAGGCAUAAUGUGUACCAGCAGUCGCGUGCAGUUGAUUCACUUCGAGCGAUGAUUUUGGAUGCUAGUGGUCUUAGCUACCAAGUUCAUCAGGCAUGCUUCAUUUAGUUUUCCACAGAAUUGGAGUGUCUCCAUAUAAAAUUGAUUGUUAACCUGUCGAUCAGUUCAUCAGCACUUUUGUUCCUUCACAUGCUGAUCAAUUCUUCAGUACUUGUCUGAGGUGCUUAUAAGUCAGUCAUGUGUCCCUCACACAAUGCCUAACAUUCAGUCCAACAUCUCAAGUCUCUUUUACACUCUGAGUAAAAGUAACUGCUUAAUGUUAACUCUAGAUGCCAUCGUAUAUCAAUAUGGUUUUUUGGUGAUCCUGCCCGUACUUUGAUGUGCAAUUGUGUUUUCACCCCCGUUUUUUGAACUUAGUGAUUUUGCCCUCACCUAUUCACAAGUCAAUGUGAUUUUGCCUUUGGUCUUUGCGUAUUUGCCUCUGUUUUGACCGUUGACUAGGGGCAAAAUCGCAUUGACUUGUGAGUAGUUGAGGGCAAAAUCACAAAGUUGAGAAAAUGAGGGUAAAAUCACAAUUACACUUCAAAGCAGGGGUAUGAACACAAAUGCCCCCAUCAAUAUUUAUCUGUAAUUUCUCUAUGUUGCCUAUUGCUUAGUCCAAUAUCACAGAAGGUGACUCUAUUUGGUUGGUAUUUAUUACAAACUGACAAAAUUCAACACUCAGAUUCAUUAUCAAAUUUAUGAAUGAUAACAGUAUGCAAAUUAUAAAAGAAAGUUGAUCACCAGCAAACUUAUUCAAUCUCACAAUUUCAUGUGGUGAUUUGCAGUAGUUUAUGUUGAUCAAUGAGAACCACUGGAAAGUAGUCUUGUAUAGAAAGUGAAGCCAGCUACUCAGGAUAGCCAACCAGUAAAACAAUAUCUAGGGAGAAGUAAAGCUUCAUUAUUCUUGUUCUUUAUGUAUAUUCUUAAAUUGUUAGUGCCCUUUAGAUAUGCUGCAUAAGAUUUUUUUUUUCAUUUUGUUCAUGCAUAGCGCAGGCAUUAUUUAACUCUGGAACUGUCAUGUCUGUAUUGCAGGUCUAGUUGUUGGUGGCCUUGCUAAUAUUUCAAAUACAGAGACCAACACUAGGUUUGUAUUGUUUUACCAGUUUGAUUUACUAUACAUCUGUUUUAUGUUAAUGAGUAACUUAGAUUUACACACGGUUUGAGCAUGUUCCAUUGAUUAUGUCUUGUUCAUUUCAAUUUGUAGGACGUGGUUCAACUUCCAUGAAGAAUUCUUCUUCUUGUUCUUAUUACCUCCGAUAAUAUUAUAUCCUUUCUUGCAAUUCUUUUCUAUUGUAAUUGUUGAUUUUUUUAAUGAAAAGAAAGGUCUACUAACUCUCCUAAUUCUUAUUCAUAAGCAUCCUUACUGGAGUAUUUCCUUUCGAAUAUUAAAUUUGUAUUCCUUGACUUCAAUAUACUCAAUCAGGAUUCAGCUUAUCUCCGGUAAGUACUUCACAACAGCUAAAUUUUUUGUUUAUCUAAGAUACUUUUUAAAAUCUCUUCACUGGUUUACAGAAACCAUUCUUUGCGAACUUUGGGGCUAUUGUAACUUUCGCCAUUCUUGGGACGUUCAUUGCUUCUGUUGUAACAGGGGUUCUUGUGUAAGCAAUUAACAAACUCUAUUUGCUAGAUUUGCUGAAAUCUUAUGUUUCCUGAGCCUAUCCUUUAUUGUACUACAGCUAUCUUGGUGGGCUGACAUUUCUAAUGUAUAAACUUCCACUGGUUGAAUGCCUUAUGUUCGGUGCCCUUAUAUCUGCAACCGAUCCUGUCACAGUGCUAUCAAUAUUCCAGGUACCUGGUUUUGUGUUUGUUUGUCAGUCUUGAACUUGUAGUUUGCUGUCAUCUUCAAAGCUGUUUUAUAGAAUGUUUUGGCCUUUUCCUUAUGAUUUUGUUAUGGAAUUAAUGCAAAUUUUGUUUCACCAGAACAGAGGUCUUCUUUAGCUGUAAAGUUAUUGUAGAUUUCAUUAGUAUAGUGAAGUUGUGCUAAGCAGCCAUUCUUGCAUGCUCCAUUAAAAAGUCCUUAGUCUUUCAUUAAUCAGAUUCUGUUGUUCCAGUGGUACCCAUGACCCAAAAUUAAUGGAACAUUCUUGGAGAAGGCAGCAAAUGUCUGAUUCUGAGGAUUCCAUAAACUGACCAUACAAAACUACUGAAUUUGUUUCUGUGCAGGAACUGGGCUCUGAUGUUAACUUGUAUGCUUUGGUGUUUGGAGAAUCUGUUUUGAAUGACGCGGUCUGUUCUUACUUCUUUCCAGUGCAUGCAAGAAUACUAGAAUAGUCAGUACUUGUACAUGUGACUAACCUACUGUCUCGUUGUUUGGAAAGGACAGAUGGCAAUUUCCCUUUACAGGUUUGCUUCUGGCUAUGAUCUGAUGCAUGUUUUUUCAAGCCAUGUGUUUCUUGCUUAUGUAUGUACUUCUCUUUAGGACAAUGUCAUCAGUCAGAAGUCAUGCAGCAGCUGGCGAGAACUUUUUUAUGAUGAUUCUCCAGUUUCUUGAGACCUUUGUUGGUUCAAUGUCAUCAGGUUGCACUUCUGCUCCAAAUUCAAUUGUCACAUGGCUUUAAAGUUUAUGAAAUUGUGUUAUUUACAAUUGUGUCUACUAUGGAGUUUGCACUUCGCAGCUUGAAAGAUUAGUACCAUUUUCUUACAACGAAGGCUUGGUAUCCUUCUGAAGCUAAAAUAGGCAAUUCACAAAUGUUCUAGGUGCAGAUUACAUUUAAACUGAAUCUGUUGCAGCAUUUGCAGCAUUUGUCUGUUUGGUUGUUUAUACUUUACUAUCUCAACAUAGGGCAUGCACUAUAUCAUGUUGCCAACAAAAUAUAUAAUUGAAUUUUGGGUUAGUAUUGAUCAAAAGGUAGAUGGUCACAUUAUCAUGGUAUCAAAGCAUAAAAGAGCACGCUGUUCAUGUUUUGUUUCUUUAAACUGGCCUGAGUUAGAUUCCUAUUCUUAGCUUCUGACAUCUAUUAUUUGCACCUUUACCUUUAGGAAACAACACUCCAUUAGAUCAGUGAUGGUAUCAUGUUAAACUGCUAAAAUUUACAGUGUAAGGAAAAAAUAAGAAAACUGCUGAAACUUAACCCAAAACUAAACUGAUGAAACGAUAUUUUAACUACAACAAUUGCAUAUUGUUUCCUUAUUUUUCCUUCUUUGUUAUUCUUGAAUGACAAACCAGAGAAAGCAUGGCUUAAAUAAUAAUUCUUCUAAACCCUUUUUGUUCUUCUUAAUAUAAAUGAUACACAGCUCUCGUGCAUGUUCGAGAAAAAAAAUACUUCUUGCAUAUAUCAUCUGAUUUAGGGAUGGAUUUUUAUGGGAAUAAAGCCUAUUGUUCAUUAUUAGUUCUCUCUGGUUUAGUGUAUUUUCCCGUCAUUAUCCAAUCAUCAGCUUAUAUAACCACUGCAUUUCUUGAUUUUCAGGUGUGGGAGUUGGAUUUAUCUCUGCUCUUAUAUCCUUUUCCCUAUGUCUUAAAUGCGAAACUUUGUUUCUAUCAUAUGAAUGCAAUAGCUAUAAACACCUUUACAAUUUCUGUAGGUAUAGUGUAGUGUGCUUUUGCUUUUGCAUCAGAUGCAUUUUUGAGCAUAUUUUUUUUGAAAACUACUUUUUGAGAAUUUUUUAGCAUAUUUUGAUGUCACAUCAAUAUGUUGUCUUUAGGCAACUUAGACUGCAGUAUUUCUUUAUCACAUUAUAUUCUGAAACAGCAAUUAUUUGGUCCUUACACUUUUUUAAUGUAACAUGCCUUAUUGCUCUUCUCACUUAAUGCAUUUGAGUGGUUAGUGAGUCAGUAGUGCUGGCUUUUAGUAAGGUUGAUGGAAAAUUGGAGCAUUUCGGCAAUAUUAUUAUGUGCCAAUUGCACAUGAGUUACUAUAUGAUCUUGUGAGCCCUUGACCACUCGUUACCUGUUCAAGUAUGCUGGAUUGGACGUUGACAAGUAAGUCAUCAUGCUUCCUAUUUACAUUUUCCUGUUUCUUUUUUCUUUUCAAUUUUUGAUGUAUGUUUAAUGCUUAAUUUGCUGUUCUGUUUACUCUUUCAGUCUGCAGAAUUUGGAAUGCUGCCUUUUUGUUCUCUUUCCAUAUUUCUCGUAAGAAAACUUCUAAACUUCAAUACUGUUUUUUCCUUUCUGGGAGAUUUGUUUCAAUGAACUUUGUGGAUUUUUUGUAGGUAUAUGUUAGCUGAAGGACUUGGCUUGUCAGGGAUUGUUUCUAUAUUAUUCACGGGGAUGGUAUACACUAUGUAAAUUAUCGUAUUAUAUCGUUCAUGUUUAUAUUGUGGCUAUGCCUUACAUACAUUUUAUAUUUAUCCUCAGGUUAUGAAGCAUUACACAUUCUCCAAUCUUUCAGACAAUUCGCAGCGCUUUGUUUCUGCCUUCUUCCACUUACUGUCAUCUUUGGCUGAGACAUUUGUGUAAGAAUCAGCAGAACUUGUAGUUGAGUAAUUGUCUAAUUGGUAAAAUAUAACCAUACACUUUGUUCCUUAUUGGCUGUUCCUCAUUUUCUUUUAGGUUCAUUUACAUGGGCUUUGAUAUUGCCAUGGAAGAGCACAGCUGGUCACAUGUUGGCUUCAUCUUCUUCUCAAUUGUAUCCUUAAAAGUCCUCUUUUUUCAAAAGAAUAAUACCAAUUGUGGCCUUUAAAUUAUUUAGUUUGACUUUGGUUCCUUGACUUGCUCAAAAAUAGAUAUUCAUAGUUGUUGCAAGGUACUGCUACGAUCUUCCUUUACCACUCUAGUUGUAUUGCAUAACCAUAUGUCUGUAUUUGUUUCUCCAUAGUUAGUAGUGAAAGUCAUUGUGACCUAUAUGAUACUUUAUCAUUGUGCAAUGCCCAUGCUGAGAUUUGUAUGUGAUGCUCAUGCUUUAUCAUUGUGCAUCUAUGACACUAAAGUACUCUCAAAAAAUGAUCUAUACUAAAUAUUUGUCCCAUCAUAUCCAAGUUAAGCCUCAGUGAUGUAAUAAACACUCUGCUGCAGUCAUACCAAUUUUAUAUUCAAUAUGUGGAGAAUUUUUAUUUGUUUUGUCUCAAGAUAAACUGAUGCAUCUUUUUAAUGUAUAGGGCUGUAAAUGUUUUUUCUUGUGCAUACUUGGUUAACAUGUCUCGGCCAGAACAUCGCCGUAUACCUCUAAAGCAUCAGAAAGCACUUUGGUUUAGCGGUUAGUGCCAUUACAAUUAUGGUUUUGUAUUGUAUGCGACUGACAGUUUUAUGAAGCUCACUGUUACUUUGGGACAAACAGGGCUUAGAGGGGCCAUGGCUUUUGCCCUUGCUCUCCAAUCUGUGCAUGAACUUCCUGAAGGACAUGGAAAAACGAUAUUCACUACUACUACAGCCAUUGUUGUGUUGACGGUACUUACUUAUUUUUGACACUUGUUAGUUUUAAGUCAAUGUAUUAAAUAGCGGGCUAAGCCAUUUAGCGGCGGCCUCCUCCAAAAGCUAUAAAAAGCUAUAGCGGAAGCUAUUUCAUUUAGCGGUUUUAUAAAAAUAUGAAAUUUUUCAGUUAAUCAUGCACAGAAACAUGGACCUAAGGAAAUUUUAUGAAUACUAUGCAUGUACAGGGCUACAGAAGAACAUUUCUUCGUGUCUAUCACUUCAAAAUUAAAAAUUACAGUUAGGAUUUUGUACCGCUAUCAUAGUUUUUUUAGCAACUAAUGGGCUUUUGGGCUUCUAUGGAGAAAAUGAAGCGUCAUCAACCUGCAUAGCGGAAAAUAGGAUUAGCGGUGCUAAAUAGAUUUCGCGGCUAAGCCAAAUAGAGGUGUUUAGCGGAGCUAAAGCGUCCUUAGCGGCUAUAGUGGAACAAUUGGCGAUAGCGUGGCACCAGCUCUCUAAUAAAGCUAUAGCGAGGCUGUAGCGGGCUAUUUAGAAGACAAAGCACACUUCAGACAAAGAGACUUAUUCCUUGAGAUAAUGCCCAAGGCUUGUAGUUCAGUUACGACUGUGCAUUUGACCUGUAGCAUUUACUGGUUGCCUAUUGCAAAGCUAAAUAUGCAUUUCGCAAAUUCAUUUAUUAAAUGUCAGUAGCAACUAAUCAAACUGCCAUGCGCAGUCAAACAAACAUGUUAUGAAUUCUAUGUAAAUGAUUGCAGUCAAGUAUAGAAUACUGAAUUUCUUUGACCGAUUAUGCCUAAUCAUGCAGGUACUUCUUAUUGGAGGGUCGACGGGAACUAUGCUAGAAGCUUUGGAUGUUGUUGGAGAUGAAAACACAUCAAUAGAAGUAAGGUUCACUUACACAUUUUUCCCCCAGAGAUAAAUAACUAACUUUUUUAGCUUAUACUCCCUCCGUCCCAAAUUUUAAGUCAUUUUGGGUUUUCUAGGUUCAUACCUUUUACUAUGCAUCUAGACAUAAUAUAUAUCAAGGUGCAUAACAAAACCUAUGAAUCUAAAAAAGCCAAAACGACUUAUAAUUUGGGACAGAGGGAGUAUGUAUGAGAUGUGUGACUAUGACCAGUAUAUAGUAUUGGGAGUAUCUAUCUAAUGGAAUUCAUAUUUCGGUAUGGGCACAUGAACAUUCAAUUUCACUCAAGCGAACUAUUUAUUGAAUUUUUACUUUAAAAUUAUAAAUGGAAGAAUUUUUUUAUUCUUUAUACAAAAUUGAAUGUAUGAUACUCAACUUGGAUGGUCCCUGCAAACUUGUAUGACAGUGCUAAAACACACACUAUUGUAUUUCUAAUUCAGGAGAUGGUUAGAGAGUUGGCUUUGUAUAUAUGACUAGUGAAAGUCCGAUUACUUACCCAUGUUUAGUGGAAGUCUGAUUGUUUUAUCCACAUGUGAUUUCAUGCAUUUAUGUGAUUUUUUUGCUCUUUUAAUGUCAUGCUAGUUCCUUGCUUUUAAUAUAGUUCAUUUCUAUAUUGCACCAUUCUCAGAAUUAUGAGGACAACAAUGGUUACAUGCCUCCGACUUAUGAAGAAGGUACAUCGUCUGGUGGAGGAUUGAGAAUGAAACUGAAACAGUUUCACAAAAGGUAUUUGUUCUGUGUCUCCAUUUGCUUACAAGUCAUGACAAUACAAACAAACAAGUCAUGAUGAUACAAACAGUUGCUUACCCUUUUUUCUAAUGAUGGUGCAGCACGACAUCAUUCACUGCCCUUGACAAGAACUACCUGACUCCAUUUUUCACCAGUCAAACUGAUGAUGAUGACGACGACUUCAGUGAGUAACUUACUUCAUUUAACAAAUGUGCAGUAAAUGAGAGCUAACACUAGGCUAUAUUGAUAAUUUGUGUGCAACUUGUUACUUGUAUGGCAUCAUUCUUCAUCCUCUGGUCUCUAUUAUAUCUCGUCAAUUUAGUUAGCAAAUUCAUGGUCCGCAAUUAAUUCUAUCAAUAAACACUGAUUCACCCACUUCCUUAUUUCUGAAAUUGUUUAUUGUUCUCUGUUUGAUUUGUGGCAGGUGAGCAACCCCAAAACCGAAGAGUACAAUUUUAUGAUCAAUAGCAGAAUUUGAGAUUCUACUUAUCAAGCUAAAUACACGGAGCAGAACUGGCAUGAAUGAUUGCAUGUGCCAUUCGGUUGAACCAAAUAUAGGAUCAUACUUAGUUGGGUAGCAUCUGUAUACCGUAGGACAGAAAUCAAAAGGCUCAAAUCAACUCUUCCUCUGGGGAUGAGGAUUGCCAGGCCACAUGUAUAUAUAUCUGUAUUCUGUAGGCCUCUUUGAGAUGAUGGUGGAGCUCCAGAUGAGAAGCAGAGUAUUGUUGGAACUUUGGUUAUAGCCCUUACCAUUAGGUUAAUUGUAAUAAGCCCCCAGACAUUCUCACUAUUUACUAUGUCCGCUGGGAGCCUGGGAAGCGUUUGUUGUAACUUGUAAGUGGCAGAUUGGAGCAGCAGUCUCACUCUGGUGUUGAAGUUCUAAACUGGACAAUGUGGGAGUACGAAAAUAUCUUUCAGCUAAAAGUGAGAUAGCCCAGUCUAUAAACACUGACGUAGUUUGAACACAAGGUGAUUCGCGUAAUGCAAUCGACAAUUUCAGAAUUGAGCUUGUCGGGAGCUUAAGUUUUGGUGGCGCGUUAGCAUUCGGACUAAUCAUUUUCUAUUGAAAAUUGGGAACAUGAACCUGUCUUUCGAUCGAUGUAAGUUGGGGUUAGCCCAUUUGUAUAAAAGAGUACAUGAAAUCGAAAUGCCUGGCAUUGACAUGCACUGACGUCUGAAGGGUAGAGAAGACUGCUCCCAUAGCGCACUGAAGUUGGCACAUCGCACUGGUUGGGUUCUGUUUGUAUCUGUCACCGAGACCAUGAAAUUUUUGAUAUCUCAAUCAUGUUUUCUGCUGAGUUCUGCCAGUAGACGAUUAAUAUUAACCUAUCCAUUUGACCUCCAAGAUUGAACGAGAACACAGUUGAGUUUAGAGUCAUCAUUCCUCUUAAGACAAGUGCACCUCCACGCAUUUCGUGUUCAAUUUUCCUCUUCAAGUCACUCCUGGCACUUUGAGUAAUAAAGAUACCAUAGGAGAAUGAUAGAAUAAUGUGUUGUCCCAAAUCCUAUCUGAGACACCAGAGUCAUCGCAUCAUGUUAUGAUGUAGCGGAGCGAAAUGGCUGCACCACGCGCCACUAAGGGCAGCUUUAGGCCCCCUUCGAUUAGACCGGAACGUGUUCCACCCGGAUCAGCCUGGCCCGGUUUGAAAUCGGGUCCGAUCCGAAAUAGCCAUUCGUUUAGGUCUGGUCCGGAAUGAAAUCGGGCCCAUCUGGUCCGUUCCUCCCCAUCCUUGGUCAGGAAUGAAGACUGCUCGUCGAUGGUUUGGAACGGAUUCUCUUGCGGGCUUACGGCGAAGCGCUUGUAGCGCGCGAGGUGAUGAGGCAGCGACGCGAGGUGGUAGCGCGGGAGGUGUGUGAGAUGAAGCAGAGCAGGCACAAGCGCAACGGUGCCGCCCCCGACGCGGACACCACCGUGGUGGUGGUGGUGCUGGGAAAGGGGGGUGAGGGAAGGGGGGCGAGAGGGGGGUGGGGGUGAGGCGGGGGCGCGGCCAGAGGAGGAGGCUUGGGCAACUCCUCACCGGCUCAGUCCCAGCAUGCAGGCGCGGUGGGCGGCGACGGCGUGACCAUGGAUGUGGAAGAGGUCCACGCGUGCCGCGACCUUGGGUUGGAGCUCCCCUUCGACUGCACCGUGGAGAUCCAGCGCUAUGGGUUGACUUCCAGCGGCAGCAGCCCCACCCACACCACCACCAGCAGCACCGACUCCUCCGGCGUCAUCUCCAACCCUGGUACGAUCGAUCUAGCUCACCAUCUAUAUAUAGCUUUGGAUCCUGACUAGCUAUGUUCAUUGCUUUCUGGAUGUUCAUUGCUUACAGUCAAGUACAGCUCUAUUUGAUCCCCUAUUUUCUUUCCUCUCCAGCCGAACACUGCUUUUGAAAAGGACCAGGUUUGAUUCUUGGGUCGGAUCCAUUGGUGACCAGGUUUUAGUGAGCCACCUAGAUUCACUCGAUCCGGCCUAGGAAUGAAAACAUGCCUGUUUCCAAACCUAGCCUGCCGAACGAGGCCUUAAUGUGUGUUGUGUUCUAUCUUCUGUGGAGGUGCUACGACUACGAGGAAAGAGAUGACCAUCCCACCUGGAGCGCCGGUGCUAGCUUGGAAAAUUUUUCGUGAGCCAAAGUUAGCACCCUGAACUAAUGUAUAAAAUAUAUUUUCCUUGCAUGUAAAAGGGUGGAUCAAGGUGUGGGGAACCAGAAAAAGCUAGAUGGGGGAGAGUAUUUUAUUUCUACUGUAGGACAAUGGUAGGGUACUAGCCUUUGCUAAACGUUAUAGCGUUUUGUUCGAUGUAGCUAGCUAAUAACGUGUCCUUUCUUUAUACUGUUAAAACUUGAACAUGAUUAACCCAUGGGAUCACUAGCCUAAAAAACAAUGACAUCUAAUUCCGUAAUUGAUUAGCACUUAUUAAUCUUAUUCAUUUCAUUGAGAUGCCCGUAGCGUGUGUUGGUUUCCUCGUAGCAGGCACACACCGCUGGUAGUGUAGAUCGUGGCGGACGGUCAUCGACGAGGGCCUGCAAUGACGGGACGAACUUGGUCUUCAAGUUGCUGCCGAGCUCCCCCAUGCUCGGUAGGUUUAUUGGAUGGUUUUGCUAACCUCUAGUUACCGAGAGAUGAGUGAUCCCCCUCUCUUCAGAGGGUCUUUAAUGGUGUAGCUUAGAGCUAGCUGAAUCAAUAGUUUAGUUGUUGAAUAGUGGAAAAAGGAAAAGACUAGCAUGGAGAUAAAGAGAUAGUCUCGAACGCUUUCCGAUGUACUUCUCUCACACUGCACAAUACUCAAUGCUACCUUCACUCCUCCAUAUUAAAGCUCUUAAAAUUCUUAGAGUUAGUGCUAGCUUAUACUGUUGGAGACACACUUAUUGCUCGUGCAAUUUGGCACCGGUCCCACAGGAAUUAGUUAUGGCCCACUGAUCAUGGGCUUCUAAUAUCAACUGUUGUCCUAUUCUAAGGGAUGAGAGUUAGCAUUUGAUGAUCAAUUCUAACAUGCAUUUCCUUUUUUUUUGCAACAUGUAUAGUUAGAAAACAGUCAUGGGUCUAGGGAUCAAAACCACUUGUAAAGGACCCACUAAUUCAGUUGCCUAUGUUUCAUAAUGGAGCUUUGAUAUUAAUCGUAUCCAUUCAUAAUUCAUUGCGCUCUUGUCUAUUCGUUACUCUUUUGGGCUUCCAUCUUUCUGUUGUGUUUCCUUUCAUUUCCUCAUCCACUGUGGAACCGGAGGAGCGUGAUGAGCUAUUUCCUCAUCCACUAGCUCGUGCUGCUUCGGCCUUGAGAGAUGUGGAUGAGCUUCACCGGCGAGGCAAGCUCGAGCGACAGGCCUGCUGCGCAUGCGACAAGAGAGUUGUACGAGCUGACGGAAGACUAGGAAGCAACAUCUUGAUGCAUCCAUCGAGUUAACUUUCUAGACGCGAAAAAUAUUGGAAUUGGAACGUUGCUGUCAAUAUAUAGAAGCAAUAAAUGGGAAGAUGUUAGAUGUCUCACGUGCGCGUGAAGAUGACAUUUUUUUGGGUAAAAUAGUCAAUCUGUGGGCAAAAUUGGCCUAUACAUCGCCACCAACCGCACUCCACCCCUUCUCAUCAGUUUGUCACUCCAAGGCGGAUAGACCACAAUGCCAGCCACAAACAAAGAAGAGAAUCACCGAUACCACCACAGCUGCUCAUGAAGGUGAAGUUCAACAAGCUACAGUCAUAGAAAAUAUAAUGGUUGGUUACUUUCCAGCAGCCACAAGCCCAUAAGAUGAGAAGCACCAGAGGUUUCAAGGGAUUAAGACCAACCUUAGAACUAGUCAGUACUCACUAACACUUUUUUAUCCCAGUUAACUUUGGACCCGGAACUAAAGUACCUUUAGUCCCGGAUCAAAAAUGAACCACCGAAGGCUACCGACGGGGGAGCUUUAGUCCCGGUUGGAAAGACUAACCGGGACUAAAGCCUCCCCUUUAGUCCCGGUUGUAACGUCUAGUGGGAUGAGGGGAUGUUUUGUCACGGUUGGAAACAUCAACCAAGACUAAAGCUCCCCCAGUUCCAGUUGGAUUACCAACCGGGACAGGGGGGCUUUAGUACCGGUUGGUGCCUCCAACCGGGACAAAACACCCUUUCUACGCAGCCCCCUCUCUCCACCUUAUCUUCUCCUCACCCUUCCUCCCUUAUCCUUGCGCAGGCAGCGCUCUCCUCCUCCUCUCCUUGCAUUCUUUUAAGUGCUUCCUCUCUCCCUCCACCGGCACCUUCCUCUCCUCUCUGCGCCGCCGCCACCCCCUCCCUCUCUGCUGCCCCUCCCCUUUCCCCUCUGCUCGCCCCUCACUAGCAGUGAGGAGCGGUAGCAGGGCGAGGGUAGGGCAAUGGCGCGUGGGGGAACGGCGCCGGCCAGCCGGAGGCGACGGGGCGAGCUGGCGUGGGCGGUAGCAGGCGGUGGCGGGCGGUGGCGGGCGAGGGCGGGGUGGAGGUAGGCAGAGGCGGGUGGAGGCGGACAAAGGUGGGCGGCGGCAGAGUAGAGGCGGGCGGUAGCACUGCUUCACAGUUCGAAACUUGGACAUCCACGCUUCACAGAAGUUGCUACAAGAAUUAUGUUUGUUGAUCCAAAUGGUGAUCCAUUCAUUUCAAGGCUCGAGCAACCAGAAGAUGAUCUCAAAGGAGAUAUUACUUGAGCGAGGCAAAAAAGCAAUCGACCAUGAAGGAAUCAAGUCCGCAAGACUUCAAGAAAGGCCAUUGUUCGACUAUGAAGCCCUUAGUGGCUUGUGAGGGAUAGAUCUCUAGAUACCGGCAAGAAAGGAAGAAGAUAGCAUAGUCCUACUAGAACUCCCCCGAUAUAGAUGUAAUCUAAUUAGGAAUCCUUCAUAGUAUUCGACUAAGAGACUUUCCAUGUAAUAGAACGUAGGUGUUGAUGCUUUUUUGGGUCAAUACACAAAUGCGCAUGAUCAUGCGGCGUGCGAAGGGGCUUGCUGCAGCACCUCGACGUAGGCCGGUCUGACCGGUUGUCGCGCGGUCGACGGUAAACCUUCGAACGCUCGCCUGGGAAGGAUCCCGUCGGGGCAGGCGCACGUAGGGUUACUCUAGCAUCGGCAGGCCACCUAGAGCGCCUUCAGACGUCGUCGAGAUGAAGGAAGAACAGCAAGUAGUAGAUUGGAAAAGCUAGGGCAAAAGAAUAAAGGAAAAGAUACAAAAUACUAGAUUGGUUUUUGUCGAUUGGGUUAGAUCUCCUCAAUCGGCCGAAUCACUUUAUAUUUAUAGGGAGGGAAGAUCUUCCCCACACAGGAGUCGAAACCCUAAUACAACUCGUGCUAAAUUAUAACUCCUACUCGGAUUACACAGAGCCAGACCGGUCAGAUCGGCCUGGGCAACCGGUCUGACCGGUUUGCCCGGGUGCAGAUCUUGCAAAGGUCAUAUCUCCCUCGUCCAAACUCCAAAUCGGACGUUCUAUAUAUGAAUCUUGAUCUACUCGACGCGAUCUACACAAUGGUUGAGUCCAAUCUUCAUUUGGAGCACUUUGGUCCAACCGGCUGACCGGCAGGGCCAACCGGUCUGACCUAUCUGCAAGGGGUGCUGAUCUUCCCAAGGACAUAACUCCCUCAUCCGAAGUUCAAAUCGGACAUUCCAUAUAUGCAUUUCGAUCAUCUCGACGAGAACUAUGCCAUGGUGAAGUACAAUUUAUAUUUUGGGAACUUUUCCUAAACCGGUCUGACCGGUUGGGAGACCGGUCUAGACAGAACUGACCAGAUUUCCCAAGUCCUACCACUUUUGGGCGUCAACACAUGCCCUCCUAUUUUCUGGCAAAGCUUGCGUGCCAGAAAAUACUCUCCUGGUCCAAAAGUGCCUAAGGACGAUGAUGAACAUAGCAUCGACCAUAUAUUUUUUCUAAGGGCGAUAAUUAUCUCGUCGGCCAUAAACUUGUUCUUGAGUCAAGAAACAACUUGCUUUGGCCUCCAUACCUGCUUGGUGGCUUCUGACCUUACCGGUAUAGCCGUUGCUUGCUGCUCCAUUGAUUCUUGCUUCCGCAUCCGUUGUAACCUCCUUUUUUGAGUGUGAGAUAAGCUAGAGGGACACCACCUCUGCUGUAGGUAUCUUGAAUCUUCCUUGCUAUAUUUGUUACCACCUUUAGUAACAAAGGGUGCACUUUUAACCAGAUUAUUACUAGCAACAAUCGGUCUUUGCAAUGAACCACAGUUUGAAUAUGCAGGAGAAUAUGAAGCAAUACAUGGUUGCAUAUAAAAACCCUUAUGAUCAAGAGGUGAAUAAUAGCAGGGGUAUGGCCAAGACCAUGGUGUAGUCAGCCAAAAAGGUGUAUGCGAUGCAACAGCGUAGUUUGCAUGACAUUCACAAGAACAAGAUGGUUUUUGAUUUUUACCUUUAUUAUGCCAACUCCCUUGUUUUUGAUCAGAUGCUUUCUUCUCAUAUUUGGCCAAUAGAUCCUUAAAAGUCAGGUUUACCUUAUUCUUUAGAUUUCGCUUGGCUCCAGAUUUUCUAGGAUGACCGGUUAGACCAGUUCCCUGACCAGUUAGACUGAUCUAUGCAGAACCGGUAGCCUUGCUUUUGCCUUGCCCCUCGAGCGUAGAAGUCUUUGCUGUGACUUGAGGCACCUUUUUCUCAGGCCUUCCUUCACCAAUAAUCACAUUUUUCCCUUUAGCCUUUUCGGCUUGAUCCGGCCGAAUUAGGACUUUGAGAUUUGUCAAUUCAAGAGUAUUCACCGGAAAAAGAUUUUGAUCAACUUGCAUUUCAUGAAAAGUCAAACAACCUUCAUUAAUGGCCGAUUGUAUUUGCUGGCGAAACACAUUGCACUCAUUAGUGGCAUGUGAGAAGGUAUUAUGGAACUUGCAAUAUGCCCUCCCCUUCAACUCUUCAAAUGGAGGCAUAGUAUGAGAUAUUUUCAGAUGCCCAAUUUUAAGCAAUUCAUCAAAAAUCCUAUCGCACUUGGCUACAUCAAAGGUAAAUUUCAUAUCUUCUUGCCGAUUCCUUCGGACCGGCUUGAGAGAAGCACAAGUACCAGGUUUAUCCUUAUGUGGCAAUACAAAUUCAGUAGUUAAAACAUCAUUGCUCUCAUUGUCCGAGGAAUCAUAACUUAACAUAUGCAUGUUAGGACGAUCAGAUUUGAGCCGACUAUCUUUACUUCGGCUUUCCUAAGCCAAAGCUCUUUGCAAAAUUUGGGUAACAUUAGCAAAUUCAUGACCCUCCAAUUUAUCUCUAAUAUGGGAUCGCAAUCAAUUAAAAGCUAAUUCAGCAAGAUCCCUCUCGGAGAUGACAAGACUAUAACAACGGUUUUUUAUAUCUCUAAACCUUCUGAUAUAAUCACCAACAGGUUCAUCAGACUUUUGCCUAACCGAUGUUAAGUGACUCAAUCUCAACUCAUCAUCUCCACUAUAAAAGUGAUCAUGAAACUUUUGUUCUAAUUGUUCCCAAGUAUGAAUAGAAUUAACAGGUAAUGAAGCAAACCACAAAAAAGUGGUUUCAGUUAAAGAUAAAGAAAUAACUGUACUUUUAAUUCUUAUAUGGAACCAGCUUCUCCUAAUUGAGCAAGAUACUGACUAAUAUGUUCACAAGUGGUUUUGCCAUCAUCCCUGCUAAACUUGACAAAUUUAGGACAACACCAACAAGGAUAAGAAGCCGAAUCAAAGUUCAAGGGAUACGGCUUUUGAUAGGUACAGGUUUUAUGCUUCACCUCUAUUCCAUAAUCUUCCUUCAUUUGCUUAGCAAGAUUGGCAUGAAACCUAUCAAGAACUUCUUGAAUAGUGGUUGGUGGAGGUAAUUGUGGUGUAACAGCAUUUGAUUGCAACACAUUCUGUUGUAUAGGUGGACUAUGAACAUUCUGUUGCAAACGGUUAUUGAAUUGGGAAUUAGGCAUGGAACUAUAUGAACUACCCAACCCAAAAGGCACCACAGGUGGAGCGCUAUAAGCUGCUGCAGGAUAUGGAUUUAAAUCUCCAGGAAUCUCACCAGAUCGGCCAGAGACGGCCUGAACAGGAGGUACAGCAGCUAUAGGCUCAGGAGACGACACAUACGGGACCAAAGCACCUUGACCGGUCUGACCAGUUAGACCAUGCGAUCUGACUGGUUGAUACUGACUAGAUCGAGGUAGAGGUGAUUGUCCCACGAAGUAGUUCAACGGCAAACGGCAUGCCAUACGGAGGCCCCGCUGUGGGUGUUACCGAUGUACUAUUAGAUGGGAUCUGAGGUGGUACAAGACUAGAAACAGAUGCAACAUCAUUGCCCCCCUCCACACGUUUACCAUUAGCCUUAUCUACCAUAUCUUGCACACUCUUAUUUAUCGAUAAGCGCAGAUCGUCAAUUAUGGUAGUAAGAUCAGGCAUGGUAACAAAAGGAGAUGGCGAUGAUGAUGUACUCACAUUGGUUUGUACCUCAGGUGGUGGAGUGCUGAAAGCGUUGUUGGAGGUAGAAGCGAAGUCGAUCUCCUUAAUCUUCUUGACCGCGCCUCUUCGGUCGACUUCAAAGCUUGCAAUUGCAGCUCGCAAGUCCUCCUCAUCGCGCUUCUUCUUGCCCUCCUCCAGCAUCUGGCGGAUCUCUUCAAGAAGUUGCUCGAACGUCAGGUUAACCACGUUCUUCGCAGUAAUAUUGGAAAGAUCUUCUUCACCAGCCAUUGCAACUGAUGAGUCUUUCUUCUUCUUCCCCAACGGAGUCGCUAAAAUGUGUUGACGCUUUUUUUGGGCCAACAUACGAACGCACACAAUCGUGAGAUGCGCGAAGGGGCUCGCUACAGCACCUCAGCGCAGGCCGGUCUGAUUGGUUACAGGGACCGUUUGACCGGUUGUCAGGCAGGCUGACGGUAGACCUUCGAACGCUCGCUCGGGAAGGAUCCCGUUGGGGCAGGCACACACAGGUUGCUCUAGGAUCAGCAGGCCACCUAGAGCACCUUUAGACAUCGUCGAGACGAAGGAAGAAUAGCAAGUAGUAGAUUGGAAAAGCUAGGGCAAAAGAAUAAAGGAAAAGAUACAAAAUAGUAGAUUGAUUUUUAUCGAUUGGGUUGGAUCUCCUCAAUUGGUCAAAUCCCUUUAUAUUUAUAGGGAAGGAAGGUCUUUCCCACGCAGGAGUCGAAACACUAAUACAACUCGUGCUAAAUUACAACUCCCACUCAGAUUACACAGAGCCAGACCGGUCAGACCGGCCUAGGCAACCGGUCUGACCGGUUUGCUCGGGUGCAGAUCUUGCAAAGGUCGUAUCUCACUCGUCCGAACUCCAAAUCGGAUGUUCUAUAUAUGAAUCUUGAUCUACUCGACGUGAUCUAUGCAAUGGUAGAGUCUAAUCUUCAUUUGGAGCACUUUGAUCCAACCGGUCUGACUGGUAGGGCCAACCGGUCUGACCGAUAGGGCCAACCGGUUUGACCUGUCUUCACGGGGUGCUGUUCUUCCCAAGGGCAUAACUCUCUCAUACAAAGCCCAAAUCGGACGUUCCAUAUAUACAUUUGGAUCGUCUCGACGAGAACUAUGCUAUGGUGAAGUACAAUUUGCAUUUGAGAACUUUUUCCAAACCAAUCUGACCGGUUGGGAGACCGGUUUGGACAAGCCAGAUUUCCCAAAUCUUGCCACUUUUGGGCGUCAAUAGUAGGAUAUUAAGCUACUCUAUCGGCCUGAACCUGCAUAAGCAUUGUGUCCUUUGUGUUACCAUCAGGCUCUAGAUCCGACUAUCCCCUCCAAAUAAUCUACCACUCAGGAUACCCUCGGUGGACUGCCGUGUACAAAACACCAACGUUUCUGACCUUGUAGAUGGAUGUACCUUAAGAGUGGCAUAAGUGGUAAUGUGUAUCUUUGUCAUAGAACUCCUCUUAUGUGGUGCGAACAAAGUAAUUAUUUUCUCUAAUAAGCAAAAAAUCCAAAUCAUGGGCGCAAUACACUAGCAAGGGGGCUGGACUGUGAGGUAAAGAAAGAAUGUACAAUUAGGAUUUGACAGAAGCAUCGUGCAUUUGUAUCCAAAUGUGAGACAGAUAAAGCAAUUGAUUACAAAUAAUUUGAAGCUGAGGUUACACUAGUCAGAAACUUGUAAAUAGAUAGGACUUCACAAGUCACAACAAGUGCCAGGGAUGAACCAGCACCACCUGCACUAAUAAACUAAGCUAGGCUAAGCUAUAUGGGGUGUGUUUCGUUUGUUGGAUACUACUCCCUCCAUCCCAAAUUAUAAGUCAUUCCAAGAAUCUUGGAGAGUCAAAGUAUAUCAAGUUUGACCAAAUUUAUAUGAUAAUAUAAUAAUAUUUAUGAUGUCAACUAAGUAUCAUUAGGUUCUUCAUCAAUUAUAUUUUCAUAGUAUACCUAUUUGAUGUCAUAAAUUUUUAUAAUUUUGUUUAUAAUUUUGGUCAAACUUGAAAUGCUUUGACUCUCCAAGAUUCUUGGAAUUACUUAUAAUUUGGAAUGGAAUGGAGGGAGUAAUUAACAAACAAAAUUACAAAUUAGCAUCCCAUAUAUAGCACGAGGAACAUGCUAAGAUUCAAGUUCACUUCCUUCUCUAGCUCCACAAACGUUCGCUGCUGCUUUAUCAAGAUAGCCCGUAGCAGCCACCACCUUGUUGGCCCGGAGCCCCCUCUGCUCACGUCUUGCUCGGCUGCCCGCUCUGCAUAACGGUUGCUAUGUUGCCUGGCCAAGCAGAGCCGGUAGUCAUCAUCUCCCCUUGCAUGACCAAGGCGCCUUCCCGUCGCAUCUCCUGAAUAAGCUGCUCGAGCCUCGGGUUUUCCUUGACAACAAAGGGAAGCAUUCUGCCUGGGGGUGCUCCCAUGCUUGAUGCGUCAGUCUGUCCAUGAUUUGCAGGUACAGUAGAAGGUAUGCAGCUGCAUCAGUAUUCAGUAGCAACCCCGGUAGGUCCAGGGGGUACGCGAGCAGCAUCAGUAGAAAUCCCGGUGGCCGUAGCAUUAGCAGCAAAUGCAGUAGCUCCAGUGCUGUGGUCAGGUUGAUGCUGUGCAGCACCCUGUUUCCCUUCAACUUCCUUGGGCUUGAAUACACCCCACAAAUAGUGUUUCAUUUGGAAAGCUGCACAUGUAAAAGAACAACCCAUUAGCAAUACAUUAAAAAUACAUGUAUAAAAAGGCAUAUUCCAAUCAAGAAAUGGUUAAAAGAGUUUAAAAUAAUUAUUUAACUAAAACCUAUAGUGUGUUAAAAAUUUAAUUGAUGAAGUAAAAAUCAAGUGGAACAUCAUAUGACUAUUAUUGGGAAAAAAUAUUUACAUACUCUGACAUUGUUUAAGAAGUAUAGUAGAAGGGAACAUCAGCAUCUCAGUGUCACCAAUAAUGGCCCGUAAAGCUAAAUCAUUUUCCAUUAGUUCCUUAAGUAGUUGGUCAUGGGACUUGUCAGGCCUAGGGAUAGGAACAAUGAAAUAGACAUUUUACUUUAACAUGGAAAGUAAGGUAGUUGUGUUGUAAGUGCAAAGGUUAAAGCAAGGCACCUCAUCUUAUGGGGGAAGAAGUAUAAGCCCAUGUUGUCAUUUAUUUAUAGGCCUUGAUCCCAUCCAUCUCUUAGGUCAGACCUUAGACCUAGGUAGUUUGGCCAUUUGAACCACACAGGACAACGAUUUUGAUAAAUUACGCACUUUCUCAGAUGAUUUAGUUGACAAAUGACCAGACAAUGGCAUAUACUCCUUAUUGCCGAUAUUAAGGAGACCACUAUUAAAAUGACAACAAAAUUAGUAACUAGCAAAAAGGUAAAAACUACAAAAUGUACAACAAAGAACCUAUCGAAUUGUACCUCCACACAGGCUCGUCGAUGGGAUUGGAACAACAAUAGCAUUCCUUCUUGAGACAAUCGGCAACAAGUGGCCUAGAGACUUCAUCAAGACAAUCAUUCAAAAUAUCAUCUUUUGAUGCCAAUCUAUUGAUACCAUCCGGACUAUAAUUGCCAAUGUCAUCUCCAUUUAUCUCUAUGUAUUUUCUCUUUCUUUUUGUUAUCUUCCAAUGAGUUGGAUUCUCACCUUCACUACCAUUGUCAUUAUGUACCUUGCGCUUUUCUUCCGAUGAUGGUUCUUUCCUACUCAUAAGAUUGUCGUUGUUGGUUAUAUCAUGGCAAUCAUUGAUCAUGCCCCCCUUAUGUAUCCGCGAGGGUGGUCCUUGAUCAAUAUUAAGUCACCGCUUUAAAUUGAGAACCAACCCUGGCAUUGCCCUUAGGUUCUUUUGUUGUGAACUUGUCAAUUUAGCUUAAUUUGCAUGGUGAACGAAUCCUUGCUUCAUCUUUGAAGUCAAUGAGCUCAUGACGGUGGGGUUAACCAUUUUUUCCGAAGAAAAUGCAUGCCUAGAUUUAGGACUUAUUGCCAUUGGAGGAAAAUCUUCUUUCAGUGUAUCCUGAUUCCGCUGUCCAACUUUACUAUUGUCGAGAAGAUGGUGCUUGGAUUUUGGUAAGACAUGGUUACCUCAUUGAUCCUUUUCACUACAGUUGCUCUUGCAAGGUUUGUUGCACAUAAGCUUUGUUAGCACCAAUAUCUUUUCUCUUUCUUACGUUUCCCAAGAUAGAUUGCAGAUUAGCCUGGCGCUUCUCCACUUCCUCUUCCUCUAGGAUUUUUUUUCAUCGGCUUUGACACAAACCUAUAUGGUUUCCUUAGAGAUAGAUGGAAAGCGUGAUCUUGGACCAAAAAGACGGUCACAAGGUUGACUUUGACGUUUCGUGCCGCUAAUUGAGGUCAAACGACCAAAACUAGGAAUUUCUACAAUAAAAAAAAGUGGUUGGAACAUGCUUUGUGCUACAUGUGCAAUAAUGUAUAAAAUAGAGUAGUUUAUUUAUGAUUCAAAUUGAACUUGUAUGAUCCUAUUUCAAUGGAUGUAAAUGGAAACUAAUGGAACUAAACCUAUGUUGACCCUAAUGUUAAAAUUACUUCAAUGUUUCAAAAGAAAAUGAUAUUUUUUCCCAAUGAACCUCAUAUGGAUCAAUCCAUAUUUGUUGCAAUCUUAUACCAUGUGUUUAAACUAGAAGGGAAAUAAAUAAAAAUAUGAUAAACUAGCAUACAUAAUGAUUGUGUAAUCUUGCAUUUGGAGACAUCUAAUACAAAACACAAAAGAAAUGUCACUUUUUCCAAUACUAUAUACCAUUUAAUUUAUGUAGGGAUCACUAUUACAUACAACAAAACUCAAAUCUCAAACGGGAAACUUGUUCUUAGAAAGUGCAUAUGCAUGAGUUUGUGGUUAAAAUAUGAUGGGCGAUGCACCCUUUAAUUGCAUUUAAAUAUGUGCAACCUAUAGACUUUUGAAAACUAGUAAUAAUUUUACUAAAAUAUUUGAAUUUUUUCUUGACAUUUUUGUGAAGAAACUAAAAAAUAGUUGAAAAAUGCCUUAAAGACACUCAUUAAUCUUCAAUAGUGCUCACACACACGCACACAGAUGGACGGUAUUUCGUACGAAAUCAGGUGAAUCUAUGGAAAGAAAGACAAAUCAUGCAGACUCCUGUAUCCGAAUGCCACACACCAUAUCCAUGGAUAAAGCUAACUAACCAACAGUCCAACACAGCCACACAUGGCAGCUGUGCGUCGACAGAAGCACAUUAGAGGUGCAUCCGGCUUCAGGACCGGUGCUGGUGGAAAACUAAGCUUUAGUUCUAGUUGGAGAGACAUAUAGGUCUCAAAAAUCCAACCGAAACUAAUUAUUCGGGACUAAACAUAUUUAGUCCUGGGUCUUCCACGCGGGAUAAAUGGGGUCGUCAUGCAGUCGCAUGCUUGUAGCCCUUUUAGUCCCGGUUGGUAUUACUAACCAGGACUAAAGACUUUUUUCUUUUUACCCUGGAUUCUUUUCAUAUUAAUACUAAUUGUUGUUUCACUUAUGUAUAUACCUAUAUGUAUACAUCUUUAGAGUACACUACUUAUACGUAUACGCUCAUAUUGUAUGUAUGUCGUAUAUAUAUUUUAUGAUUGUAUAUACAUAAUAUUAAUUAUAACUACUAUGAAAUAUACUAGUGAGGGUUGCUUCGUGUACACAAGAUCACUGCCAGACAAAAUUAGCAUUGAAAUCAAUCCACAAAUUGCUUGAACGGACUCCGCUUAUGGCUACCGGCCUCAAUGUAGAUGAGGAGACAGCCCAAAUCUACUGAAUCCUGCUCUUGUUUCUACUAACCCAACCGGAACAUCCAUCCUAAAAAAAGUCAUUUUAGGAUUGUACUAAGUCAAACUUUUUUGUAUUACUAGUUUUCAAAAGUCUAUAUUACUAGUGCCAUUAUAUUUAUGUUAUGAAAUAAGUGCCAUUAUAUUUAUUAUGAGAUAUAUAUUUAUAAUAUACAUAUUUGAUGCCAUCAACAUUUAUAUUUUUCACUAUAAAUUUGAUCAAAGUUGAGAAAGUUUGACUUAAACUAGAAUAACUUGUUUUUGGGAUGGAUGGAGUAGAGCAGAUGAUUGGUUCGGAGCAAACAUUCACACAUGUGUACAUAGAAAUAAUAAGGAAAUUAGGCAAAACCUGCGAGAGAGCAUGGAGAUAGCCUUGCAUACCUUGCUUACGGCCGGCGUAGGUCGUCCUCCAGCACGGCCAUGCAGAGCACGGAGAUAGCCUAAGGGCUCGUUUGGUAGCCCAGUGUUGAAAACAGGCAUGUUUCUCUUCCUAGAUCAGAUCGAGUGGAUCCUGGUGGUUCAAUGUAACCUGGUCACCAAAGGAACUGGCCCAUGAAUCAAAACUCAACAACAUUAGGGCCGUUCGUUUUGGUAAGGAAUGAAAACACAUUAGCAACUUGACGUAAACACCUGUUUGACAGCAAAUCAAGGUCACUUGUUUGACAGCUACUUGACAGUAAAUAUUAGCAACUUGUUUGACAACCACUUGGCAGUAAAAACAUUUAUGUACAUGCAUGGAAGGCAAGGGCCUGAAAUAAGGGAGAAGUAGCAAACAAGUAGCAAACAAAAAUAGAGUCUUGAUCAAGAAAAAAUAGCAACAUCCUUUCGGUCUUCCAGUCUUGAUCAAGAUAAAAUAGAGUUUGACCUGGCAGAAGCAUAAAUCUCUCAUAUUAGUUACAAGCACUCUAGGUUAUCGAGUGAGGUUGAUAAAUAUGUGAAGACCAGUAAAAUUUGAGGUUCCCUGCCACAAAGUAUGCUUCCUUGGCGAAGGAUCGGUUUCUCGGAAGAAGAGUGGUUGCCUCGACAGCUGUCGGACCAAGGAAGAAUCAGUGAGAAAGAAACCAAAAUGGAUAAAGGCAUAUGAAUACUGUGAUUAUUAGUCUUGUUAUCAUUCCUAAUGGAUCCCUAGUACUAAUUAAGUACAAUAGGAUUGUUCAAAAGGGAUCUGGUUUCUCAUGCAUAUAAUGGGUAUUGGAUAGCUAAUUUUACAGAACAUUGCACAAUUGAUUCUCUGUCCUUACCAAAAUCUCCAAGGUGUCAGUCUCGUUUUUUUGGACAAAACAUCUUUAUUCCACAUAUAUCAGACCAUUACAUCUCAAUUUUGCUCUUCAGGCCACUAUCAAGUACUUCCCACACAAGUUUGUGCUUUGCAAAAUAGCACUUUGCAACCAGAUCUGCCUCGUACCUUGAUACCCACUGUCCAUAAAGCUUCAGACCAUAAAUUACAUGUGAGUAAUAAAUAAAGAAACCAAAACACAUAGAAGAAGCAACUAACCUCCCAGGAUCCAAAUACAUAGAACAGAACUGACAUCCCAGGCUAGCAUUCCAUCUAAUUAAAGGCAUGCAUGGCGUAUGCACUAGCUAAGUACCAGCACGCACGCCACACUGUAAAAUGUAACAUGUCUUAGGAAAGUAAUAACAUGUCCUAGGAAAGAACACCACACUGUAAAAAAUAACAGAACAACAAUGCAUAUUUCCAUACACACUGUAACAUGAUUCACACACUGGAUACCUAGAUACUAAUUAUCUGCACACUGAAGAAUUAAGAUCUCUGUGCUCAAUCCUGACCAACACAGACGAGCCAUGAGCUAGAAAAGAUACGGGAACUGAUCAUGACAUUCGCAUGUUCAGUUGGUACCAGCCUGUUCUCUGCCCCAACAACAGCGACAUGCAAGUUUCUCUCAGAACAAUAGAGCGGAUCACAAAGAUAUAUACAAGAUGUGAAAUCGAGUGACCUGCUAGUUGUGCAUUCUGCUUUGCAAUUCAUUUCUUACAAGUGAUUGAAUCGACUAAUUGUGCUGCUAAAUUGUGAGAACAAAUCUCGCACGACCACAUCUACAAGCUAUGGCAGACGACAGUAAUUCGUGAACAAGCUGACCCAAGAUCCAGCCAUGGUGCUACCCUACCUGGCCUUCCACGAAUCGAAUCAAAUCAAAUUGAAUCGAAUGAAAUCAGAGAACACAAACCAACAAACAAGAACUGAGGGAUCAAAGUGCGGUAAGAACUCAAGAACCCUAGCACACCGAUGGCAAGAAUCAAAUCGAGCCUGUAGCCCACGAGAACCCAAGCCAAGAACCCGUACACACCCAGAUUUGAGGACAGAGGCCACGCACGCGAGCACACCGAUGUGAUGAAGCAAGAACCCAGUGCGCCAGGGACAGAAAAGGGAAGGAAGAGAAGAAGGGAAGGAAGAGGAGGGCAGCGGCUUAUCGGCGAGUAGGCGGUGGAGAGGAUCGGCGUCGGAUAGUAGACAUUCGCUGUCGCCGUCGCCUCAUGCGCCGCCUCAUCGCCUAGCUCGUGCGUCCGUGAUCGCCUAGCUCCGAGCCGGGGGGCCUCCUAUAUAACUUGUGGAAUUAAGUUUCAUAACUUUAAAGUCCAACAGACCCAGUUAGAAAUAUUAAGUUAACAUUUCAACAAAAUAGAUUCAACAUUUUCUGAAAAUUCGACCAACAUCCAAGUAUACUACAUUCAACAUUUCAAAAUAUGUAGAUCAACAUUUUGUAAUAGAAUACUUCGUUCAACAUUUCUCAUUGUCUACUUCAACAUCUUUGCAAACUAGCUUCAACAUUUUUGGAUCAAGGAUCAACAAUUUUGAAAAUGAUUUUUUUGACCUUCUUCAACCUCUAGACAGCAGCCGUGGGGCAGGUGCGUGCGGUCGGCCUUGCGCCCUGCGAGGCCGUCGGCCUGCCAUGGUCGGCGGCCGCAUGGCAGGCGCUCGAAGCACCCAUGGAGGGUGGCCGGCCGGCGACGGCCAGGUCGGCACGCGCGGGCGGCGGCUUGCUCGCGGGGUCGUGCGCGGGGCAGCAGCUGGUCGGCGGGCGGUGACGGCGACAGGGGAUGACGCGGUGGGGCAGCUAGGGCCAACGGGUGUAUGGCCGACGGCGAGGCGGCGCGGGCGCAGGUCUGGCGGCGGCGGUAGGUGUGCUGUCAACAUUAGGGUUUGGGAGAAUGGGGAGAUGCAUCCAACGAUCUAGAUUGCAUGCACGUAGCCCUGCUAAUUGAGUUGGGUUUAUUGGUUGUAAUGGAUUGGUUUUCAUUUUGGGCUUCUUUUAGUUGGUUUCCAAUAGACUAGCCCAAUAGAUGGUUUGAUUUGAGUUGGGUUUUACCAGCAAACAUACGGUUUGGAGGGGAUUUAGGAUGUGGAGUAUUAUUUUGGGUCCAAAAGCCUCUCAACCCAUGGGUUGCAACCUGUUAUAAAUCCGCGGGCCCUAUCCUAUCCCCUAUUCCCCUCAUGAGUCACGACCUCGCCAGUCGCCCCUCGGCCUCGAGCCUCGCCUCGCCUCGCCUCCCUUCCCCUGCCGUCAAGCCUGAGCCCCCGGUGUCCCUAGACUUCCCCUACGUGUUCGGCUCCUGCCUCGGCAUCAGCGGCCUCCUCGAGUCGCACGAGGAGGAGUCCUAGACGUCGAUGGCCGGGGCGGCAUCACCCACGACGGCGACCGGGAGCAGCGAGGAGGCCAUGGCGGUGGCUGGGGCAAGCACUACCGUGGGGGUGAGGCAGUAGCUGUGGGGCAAGUUCGCCGCAGAGAUCUGGGAUUCAGGAUCCGAGAUCCAUGCCAAACCAGGUAACCGCCUAAGCUACACUUCUUGGGUGCGUUUCUAAUCCAUUGUGAUUUAAACGAUGCUGUUGUAAAGGAACCCUCUUUCCCCCUGUCGCCUCCCUCUUAGUGCAAGCAGCAUACGGAGAAGAUUAGGAUAUAUAUAUAUAUAUAUAUAUAUAUAUAUAUAUAUAUAUAUAUAUAUAGAGAGAGAGAGAGAGAGAGAGAGAGAGAGAGAGAGAGAGACAACAAGCUUUCUCUGAAUGUAUGGGGUACACGAAAUGAUGAUGCAAUUGUGCAGACAGUAAACAAGUACAUGAGAGUUAGAAGACCACAAAAGGGUAAAGGCACAGUGACAAUGUAUUUCCAAAAGGAGCCAACAAGCAAAAUCAAUGACAAUAAGCAGAAAGCAGGCAACUAUUGUCACCAACAUUGGCAUAUAUGAAAGCAGAAAGGAACAACAAUGUAUGCACAGUGUAACUUGAAUGAAUGAGAUAAGAUAUACAUUUUUAGAUAAAUGCUUCACAACUAUACCACUGAUAAUGAUAUAUCUUUUAUUGAUAUAUAAAUGGCAACUUCUUGCAACAGUAGCUCCAUAAGACAGAAAGGGUACAAAUGGAAUGAAAGAAUUGAGCUGUACAAGGGGAAGAGAUAAGUAUUUAUAUGUCCUCUUAUCAAUCAUACAUAUGGCUAAGUUCAUAUUAGGCAUGCUAAGUUAAAAGUAAGUCACUCAGAAAAAAUAGAACAGGGCAACAAGCUACUAUAAUAUCUAAAUAAAACAUUUUAAAAUUGAAUAAAAGAACAAGAGUCUGCACAACUGAAAAAUGAAACUAUCUGUGGUGGACUUUGUUCAGUUUGCUUAUGUGAAGCCAACCAAGUCCCAUCUAGAAAUGAUUGUAGAUCACAAGUACCCCUGUCAAACAAAAAAGGAUUAGACAUACAACAUUGGAUGGAAAAGGUUAGUAUAUAUAAGCCUCUACUUCCUUCAAGGCUUCAAGCAUAAUCCUGAGAACUAAUCACCAACUCUGACUGAUUUUGUAGAACUAUUUCACAUUUAGAACAACAAAGUUUUAAGAGUCUCAACAGCACUGGAUCACAAUUCACCAUCAUUUCAAGAACUGGACCACAAAUCAUAAAAAUAUGAACCGAACAGACCAAACCUUCACAAAUCAUAAAAAUAUUAGUCUCAUUGUCAGCCAAAACGGGGUAACAAACUUGAAACUCAAGAGUUUUAAAGUUCUAAUUAAUGAUGUACAAUACAAUGGCUGCUCGUUUUUGACUUGCAUGUUUCUACCAAGGAAUGGGCUAGAAAAUGGCAUACCUUUCUGAUCUGGCACCAAUGAAUUUUGCGGUCCUAGCAACCUGAACCAGCCACAAGAGCAGGGAGAGAAAAGGAGCACUGAUCAGGAUGACAAAUGGAGAUCUAUGUUCCUAAUAAAAAUAAACUUCAGCUUCUUUUGUUAAGCUUGUGACCAGGUAGACAAAUGGAGCUCUAUGUUCCUAAAAUUCAACUUCAGCUUCUUUUGUUCAGAAACUUAUUGCUCCUUUGUUCAAAAGCAUGCAUCAAGGUUCGAAAUUCCAAAAGCAUAGAGAUACAAUGCUAUUUGGCAGAUCUCGAAACAGAGCUCUAGCACUGUUUCUUUCAACCAGAUCCAUCUAUCUUCAACUGCCAACCCAUCACAAUAUAUUACAUGAGCUUAAGCAUGUAAGUAGAAAUCUGAGGCCAAUCAAGAUGUAGUAGAAAAAAUGCAUGGCUUCCCCAGGAGUUCCUUUUUCAACCAAGGUAGUUAUAUUAGAACCAUAUAUAUAGAAGAAUAUUUAGAACUCCAACACAGGAAAAAUUCUAUAUGUGCAGUCUUGUAGACAAAAAAUAUCAAAACUAAUCUGAGAUCAAUCAAGAUGUACUGAAAAAUGCAUCGUUUCCCCAGGUGUUCCCUUUUUAACGGAUGGCAGUUAUAUUAGAACCAUAUAUAUAGGAGAUGCAUACGUGAUAAGUAACCAGGAUAAUGGUGGUAUGAUAAAACACUACGGGAACAGGGAAGAUGCCGAGUGCCAGGGGCACUCGGCGAAGACCUCAAAACACUCGGGAAAGUUUUUGCCGAGUGUAACACUCGGCAUCUGACACUCAGCAAAGAUUUUAACGGCAAACAGAACUUUGCCGAGUGUCAAAUGUCGGGCACUCGGCAAAUAUCUUUGCCGAGUGUCAGUAAACACUCGGUAAAAAAACUGUCAGCGAAGACGGAGUAACGGCGCGACACGGUGAUGGGGGCUUUGCCGAGUGCUUCACAGAAAGGCACUCGGCAAAGGCUAUCACGUUUGCCGAGUGCCACCUCGAAACACUCGGCAAACUCUAGCAAAUUUGCCGAGUGCCACCUGGACACACUCGGCAAACUCCAGCAAGUUUGCCGAGUGCCACAUCGCAACACUCGGCAAAGUGGCACAUACAUAGCUGUUUUUAUUACCUCUUUGCUGAGUGUUUAAGCCAAAACACUCGGCAAAACUACGACACUCGGCAAAACAGUAAUAGAAAAUGACAGAAAUAGUCGCUUUGCCGCGUGUAACACUCGGCAAAGUGGCAAAACCCCCCCUAUUUUUACUGCUUUCUUACGUAUAAAGGACCCCUCUCAAACAAAAAUCACAGGCAUGUAUAUUACAUCACAGGCAUAUAAUAAACAUCACAAGCAUAUAUUUUAGGUCACAUGCACACAAAUCACCGAGUACAUGUUCUAGUUUCAACAAACCACAAUUCCACAAGUAUAUGUUUGAGAUUAAACAAGUAGUUCACAAACAACGCAUAAGUCAGUGAGGUGGCGUCCUUGCGAACCGCUGCGACAAAUCUGGGUCUUGAGCUUGGGAAUUCGAAGCCACCGAUUGAUUCUGCACAUAAAAGAAGACGUGUGAGACAAGAUUGAUAUCAUUUGAGCUAAAUAAGUCAUCUUUGAGCUAACUAAGUCAUUUGAGGUAACUAAGUUAUGUUUGAGCUAACUAAGUCAAGUAUUCAAACUAAAGUUCAAGUGACUCACAGGAGUAUGUGUGGGUGGCUGGGGUGGAGGGAAUACCAUCGGUGGCUAUGGCAAUGGUGUACCCAUACUCAUAGCAAUAGCAAAAUUUUGCAUGUAUUGAAACAUUUGUUCCAUCCUCAACCGAUUUUCUUCGUCCAUCCUCUGUCGCUCGGCCUCCAUCCUUUGCCGAACCAUCCGCUCCACCCUCACCUCCAUCUCCUAUUGUUGCCUCUCCACUUGGGCCUACAAUUUUUCAUCGCAAUAUUACAAUGCAAAGGUAAAGUACGUAACAACCAACGAACGAUGAAUGAAAUAGAAAGAACCUAAAGAGCCUCCAUCUGAAAUUGUGCAGUGGUCGGCCGUGGGCGUAUCGCUGGGCUCGAGUCCGUGCUCCUUGCUCGGAUCUGGGAGAGAGUGGGAGUAGAGGCCGUGUCAAUUACGCUAUCGCCAAUCCAAUACCGGCCAUGCUUCUUCCCCCCUCCCACCCUCAUCACCACUUCUUCAUCUAGAUCCUGGGUGCUCGGAUUGUAAUCUGACCCAUGAAUCUCCCUUGCCAUCGCUGUGUAGGAGGUGAUGCAGCUGUGGAUGCUAGGAUCGCCUCGGACGGGUCGUCCAGGUUCACGUCGAUGUUGGCCGUUGCCUUACCCUUUUUGGAUAGAAUCCAUCCCUUGAACUGGGAGUAAGGCUGGCCAUCAUGUGAGGACGACUGUGGCAAAAAUACAAACUAUUAGAAAUUUUGCUGAAUUGAGCGUUAGACAAAACAAAUGAAUUCGCGUACCCAUUUUUCCCUAUACUCAUCAAGGCUCAAGCUGCCCGGAUGGUGUGAUGCACCUUGCAUCAUCAAACGCCGCUAACGGCAACCAAGGUGGUUCUCCAACCACCCGGGUUCGACCCACACGUCCACUAUCCUUUCCUAGUGCUGCAUGUGCACCUGGCACCACCACACAGGCACCUACAUCAGCAAGUGUGACAUGUGAAAAAAGAAAUUAAGCGUGAUUAUUGUCAGAUAAAGUAAGUAUCAACGUUCUAUAUUUACCGUCAUGAAUUGGUCCUUGGUUAGGUUCAUUGUCCUUGCCUCAUCUUUUUUGACCUUCAUAUUUCUGUGUUGAGCGUAGAAUUCGAUGAUGGCCUGGAUGCGCAACUCGUAGUGCAUAUCCUUCACAAGCUUCUUGGCGACCUCAUCACAGACGGCGUUCGCCCGGGCCUCGAAACCCUCCUGGCAUCUGUAGAAGUCCUGCAUAUAUAGAGAGGUGUAUAUAGUUGUUAUUUCAAGAUUGUACAGUACAGGUGAUGUAUUGAGCAAUACUUACCCACAGCUCGCCCUUCACCCGCAACGCCUUGUUUGGGAAUGACCUAUUUUCACGGUCAGCAAAGUCAUCGGCAACGACGUAGUGGUCCCACAUGUAGGCUGGCUCCACCCGUCCACCGCGCUCGACCAAGCCCGGGAAGUGUAUCCUGCACAACAGGCCAAGGAUGCCGUUGACCUUGCGGUUGUGAUCACCCCCACUGAGCUUAAUCCAACUCCUGCACAAGUGAUCAAUUAUUAGUUUCCAUUGUAAUUUUCAACACAUUAAACGAAAAAUUAUUGAGAACAUCUAAAGUCAUGCACCGCUUCCCACUGGGUUGAAUCAGCGGGCGUCUGUGGAAAGGUAUCAGUUGAGCCGGGAGGGACGACGGACCUCGCAACCAGAUCUGGGUCUGCGAACCCCCUGCCUCCCCCUCAUCCCCCUCCUGCUCCUGCUCAUGCUCCUACUCCUGCUCCUCCUCCUCUUGCUUCUGCACCUGCACCUGCUCCUCCUGCUCCUCUUCCUUGUCACCAGAGCCGUGCGCGAAAGGUAUCUCCUCCUCAGAUGCCGACUCUAUUUCAGGCGAUGGGUGCCUCGGCCCUUUACCCUUUCCUCGACCCCUGCCUCGAGUCUGGACCUCUUCCUCGACCUCUGCCCCACCCCUGCCUCGACCCCUAUGUCCACCCUUCCCUCGACCUCUUCCUGAAGAAAACCCUGAAAAGGACCGUGAAGCUUUACAUGUAACUUUUUGAUAAAAAUCCGCGACCUUCCUCAUACCGCCCACCAUUGCUCAUCACCUGCAAUUAAAAGGAGUAAAUCAAUCAGUAUAAUAUAAACAAAACAUAUUUAGAAACAUAUGCAAAAUAAACUAAACAUUCUUCAAAAAAUAACAUGGUAUGACAAAUAAAAAAUCGUACAUGUAUUAGAAGUAAUCAUCAUGAUCGGGAUUAACUGGAUCAUAAGUCUCAUCAUCACUAUCACGUGUGUUGAUAUAAUCAUGCCCGUGCUCCAAAGUAGGAAUGUCGUCAUCACUAUCAUAGCCUAAAUGUAAUCGUUGAAGCAAAUCUAAUUCUUCGCAUUCUAAACCUCGUCUGCAGUGUCCUCGUCAGCAACCCUUUCAUUGUCUACUUCCAUUCCAAUCCCUUCGGUUAACUCUAUCACAAAACUCCCUUCGAGCCCGUCUUCUUGGAAGAACUCUCUGUCAUACGUGUUGAGGUCUAUGUUGUAAUCUUAAUUAUUUGGUACAGGUAAUUUACCAUGUGGCAAUACCUUGUACACAACAUCCCAACCCUUAAGAUGGUCCUCAGUUUGACACGGGUAUGACAGGUAAUAAACUUGUGUGGCCUGUUGAGCCACAAUAUACACAUCUUCUCCUGGUAAGACGGAUGAUUGUCGGAUUUCGACUAGCCCAAGAUUAGGGGUCCGUCUCACAACCGAUGGAUCAAACCAAUGACAUUUGAAUAUGACUUGCUUAAGAGGUUUGCAACCAUGAAACUUGAGUUCGUAUAUUUCUUCGAUUACUCCAUAGUACUCAACACCAUCCAAGCCUGGCGUGAAAACUCCAUUAUUUGUGGUUCUCCGAUUGGGCUGACUCUGCUCGUGUCUUGUUGUGUGAAAGCGAUAUCCAUUCACGUCAUAACCGGUAAAUGACCUGACCCUAUAGUCACAACCAUCAGCAACCUAUCUCAACUCGACACUCAUAGACGCAUCAGUUUGGCCCUGCAAGUUCAAGCAGGGUCAUUCGUUAUAUUAUUCGCGUGUACGAGCAAAUUGUAAUAUCAUACUAAGUACGAGCUAAAAUGGAUUGUACCUUCUAUUUGAACCAAGAAAUAAAAUCGGGUCUUCCAUUUCCCGCACCCUCUCUGAGAAUGGUAUCAGUUUGUUGCGGGGUAGGUUGCCUUGAUUUAUGCCAAAAUUGACUAUGAAAUUCCCUAAACCAAUGAGAAAAACAUGAACAGUUGCACACAGAAUAGUGACUACUUGAGAAUAAUGUUGUUGAGAACUUAUAGCAUAUACGGCUCCACUUCUGAUAGAUUGCUCAACACGUACAACAUGAUAAUGCGCCACUCUUCAUGUUUCAAGGUCUUAGGGGUUGCACCACUUGCACUUCCGAGUUGCUCUCGGAAAAUGCUAAGGCUCGAUUCAUUUUUGCCAGCAUUGUAACGCGGGGGUGGAUUGUGCACGCUAGGAAGGUUGUUAGCAUAAUAUUUUGUUGUGAAGUUUGAGACCUCCAAAAUAUAUGCCUUUGCAAUGGAUGCUUCAAUUUUGCAUUUAUUUUUACAUUUAGUUCACAUAACCUUUUGACAUCUCUUAAUUGAAUAACACCAACGGCCCUGCAUAGGCCCCCCAUUCUUGCUUCAUACGGGAGGUGAAGAAUCAUAUGCUGCAUCGGAUUAAAGAAUCCGGGUGGAAAGAUUUUCUCCAACUUACAGAGUAACACAAGCGCCAUUCUUUCCAUUUCUGCAAUCACGGUACGAGAUAACUCUUUGGCACAAAGCUGGUGGAAGAAAUUGCUCAACUCCGCUAGCACGUGGAAGUACAUAUCCUCAAACCAUCACCGGAAGUAGACGCUCAAGCCACACGUGGUAAUCAUGACUCUUCAGGCCGUUGAUUCGCAUAGUAGUUAAGUUCACUCCCCUCUUCAAAUUUGCUGCAUACCCAUCAGGGAACAUUAACGUUUGGAACCAUUCUAGUACCUCCCUCCUCUAGGCUCUCGUCAGGAUGAAAUCAGCCUUAGACUUCCUCCACGACUUGCCGGAUCAGGGAUGCGCCAUGUCUAACUUUGGUCUGUUGCAUAUCCUCGCUUGAUCUACUCUAGCCUUAACAUUAUCCUUUAUCUUGUCAGGAAUGUCCACAAUUGUCCCAAAAAUUGCCUCGGCGAUAUUCUUUUCAGUGUGCAUUACAUCUAUGUUAUGCGGAAGAAGAAGGUCAUGAAAAUAGGGGAGAUUCCACAAGCACGACUUCUGAGUCCAAGCAUGUUGCUCGCCAUAUCCCACAAAACCACCUUCAUUGUUAUUAAGCUCGAGAGCGUCUAACUGAGCACGAAUCGCGGCUCCUUUCAUCAUCUGCGGUGCAAGGUCUUCAACUACGACAUCUCUCAUAAAGUUUUUAAUGUCUUGUUUGAAUAGAUGGUCAGGAGGGAGGAAUUGUUGAUGUUUGUCGAACGAAGAAUAUUUGCCACCCUUCGUCAACCAAAUGAACUUCAGAGAAGCCUUGCAAACUGGGCAUGGGAACCUCCCGUGAACACACCACCCGUAGAAAAUCCCAUAUGCCGGCAAGUCAUGCAGGGAGUACUGGUACCAAACAUGCAUCUUAAAGUUUGUCUUUGUAGCUCGGUCGUAAGUCCAUACCCCUUCCUCCCAAGCACGGACCAAAUCAUCAAUCAGAGGCUCCAUGUACACACUCAUAUUAUUCCCUGGGUGCUCUGGAAUUAUCAACGACAAAAAUAUAUUCUGUCGUUGAAAAAGGACGCCAGGGGGGAGAUUCAGGGGGAUAACAAAUAUGGGCUAACAGGUAUACGGGGCAGCCGCCAUUCCAUAUGGAUUGAACCCAUCUGUUGCCAGCGCAACACGUACAUUACGAGCCUCUAGAGAUUUCUCACGAUAAAUCACAUCAAAUCUUGUCCAGGCUUCACCAUCGGAUGGGUGUACCAGCUUCUCAGGAUUGUAUCGAUGUCCAUUUUGAUGUCAUGUCAUCUGUUUCACAGAUUCCUCUAUCAUGUAAAGCCGUUGGAUCCUCGGUAUGAAAGGAAGGUACCGUAGAAUCUUCACGGGGAUUGCGAGCUGCCUCUUCUGACCAUCACCAGAGUCUACCUCCAGAAACCUAGACGACUCGCACUUCACAUAGUACUUAGCUUCCGCAUACUCUUUCUGAAAUAAGAUGCAUCCCUUCGGGCAAGCAUGUAUCUGCUCGUAUGGCAUCUUAAGCGCACGAAGUAGUUUAUGUGCCUCAUACAUGCUCUUUGGCAAGAUGUGAUCAUCCGGGAGCAGGCUGCCAAAAACAAUCAGCAUAACAUCGAAGGCGUCUCGACUCAAGCUAAACUGGGACUUCACGGCCAUUAGGCGUGCAAUGGCAUCCAGUUGAGAAACCUUGGUAUGACCAUGCAGGGGUUGCUGUGCCAUAGACAACAUGUUGUAAUACGCCUUUGCGGUAGCCUCUGGCUCCUCCUCCCUACGUGUCUCAUCGAACUAUGCUUCAUGAUAGUCAUUUAACAUGUCUCCCACCCCAGCAUCAUCAUCAUAUUCCUCGAUGCGUUGUCUCAACACUUCAUCUCUCCCAUGAUCGGCUUCACCAUGGUAGAUCCACCUGGUGUAGUCUAACGUAAAUUCGUUCUUCACAAGAUGUUUGCCCAUUUCUAGCUUAGUUUUUUGACGCAUGUUUGCACAUCUACUGCACGGACACCAAGGGACACUAGCUGCUUUGACCCUAGCAAACGUCCGUUCUAAGAAUGCAUCGGUCUUUUCAAUCCAUUCAUCGGUCAAUGAAUCCUGACUAGAGCGGCCCGUGUACAGCCACUCACGGUCAUCCAUCCUCUAGUAUAACAGCGAGUAAUAUAAAAAAUCAUGUUGUAUCUACAUGUUCAUAUACUGUCUAAUAGGUGAAGAUAGGUCCUAAUCCCACCCGAGGAUGUGUAGAUGCGGUUAGUUUCCAUGCCCUAAUCCGAUCCGAGACAGAAUUUCGGCAGCACCUCCCCGCUGUUCUCCAAAUACACGUCCAGGAUUAGAGAUUGUGUAUCCGGAGAACAACAGGAAGGUGCUGCCAAAACUCUAUCACGGAUCGGAGUAGAGCAUGGAAACUAACCGCACCUACACAUCCUCGGGCUGUCCAAAAAAUGUGGACAAUUCGAAACAGAUACGGGUAUAGAUAUGCAAAUAUUUGCAUAUUUGCAACCGUAUCUCUUUCGAACGGGAGAUGCCUAACUAGAUUACGUGAUAUACGAAGAUCAAAUGGAAAGAGAUGUGUAAGAUGCCUCACCUUGCUAUCCUGCAAAGUGACGAGUCAAGGACGGUCCUUGUGAGCCUCUCCUGCAAGAAAAGAAACAUAGUACUGUUAAGUCAAAAUUUCAGCAGCAGCUCCCCUGCACGGGGAGGUUUCCAAAACCUGCAACAAAGAAAACGGCACGAUGGCCGACAACCACAUGCUCACCAAAGAGACGGCACGAUGGCCAACAACCACAAUCUCACCAAGAGAUGGCACGAUGGCCGACAAAUACAUCCACACCAAAGAAACGGCACGACGGUCGACAACCACAUCCUAAUUUGUGAAAAAAAAAGUUCCUACCACCUCUCUAGUCUCUAUUUUCUAAUUUUCUAAUUUCAUGCCUCUAAUUUCUGAAAAAAAUCCUACCACAUCCUACCACCUCUCUAUUCUUUUCAAUAUUUUCUAAUUUCUAAUAUCAAUCACCUACUGUAAUUUUUUCUAAUUUCAACAUUUUCCUACAUUGGAGGCCGUCGGCCGCGGGUAGGGAGGGGCGGGAACCGGCAGGGGGUGGGCGCUGGUCGCGGGCCGGGGCAGCAGAGCAAGGGCGGCCAGGGUGGGAGGGACGGCCGGGCUGGCGCCGGUGGCGGGCUGGAGGGGCGGCCGGGCAGGGAGCUGGCCGCGGGUAGGGGAGGGGCGGCCGGUCCGACGCUGGUGGGGGGCCGGAGGGGCGGCUAGGCCGGCACCGGUGGCGGGCCAGAGGGGCGGCCGGGCAGGGAGCCGGCCGCGGGCAGGGGAGGGUCGGCCGGGCCGGCGCCGGUGGCGGGUUGGAGGGGUUGCUGGGCGGGGAGCCGGCCGAGGGCAGGGCGGGUAGUCGCACUGAGCGGGGCGGCGGGAGAGGGGAGCUGGGGGAGGGCCGCCGGAGGCGCGUGGCGGCAGGUGCGGCGGCGGCGGGUACGGGGCAGGGUGGCGGCGGGUGAAGGGAGCUCGAGGUGUGCAAAGUGCUUUGAGUGAGUGAGGUGACUGUGCGGGCACUGUGGAUAGGAUUCAGUGUUUGCCGAGUGUCAAGAUCCAAAACACUCGCCAAACUAUAUUUUGCCGAGUGCCCAGAUCCAGGAUACUCGGCAAACACUUUUUUUAUAUUUUUUUAACCAAUUGGAAAUAGUAUAUGCACUGUGGUGGGCCCAUACACUAAGUUUGCCGGGUGUAUUCUCCGAAACACUCUGCAAACCGUGAAACACUCGGCAAAGUUCUUUCAUAUUUCAUGUACGAAUACCUUCCCUAACGUGCUUUACUAAAUUUUUUCGAUGUACUUCCAAAAACAUGGUCAAAUUCACUUAACAAUACAUAUUUGAUUUUUCUACGAAUAUUGUUCCAUUAUUUUAGGCAGUUAUAGCUCAAAUUUAAUUUAUCUCAAUUUAAAUUCUACAAUUGAAGUUAAUACAUUAAAAUUAUCAAAAGGACAUGAAAAAUUCGCAAAAUUUGAAAGGAACCAAUCUAUGUUGUCCAUUGCCUAUACAAAAAGUUUUGAAGUCCAACUCUAAUUCAACCGUCACUUUGACUCCAAAUCUUAACAGAUCAUUCUGAACUUCUAGACUCUUCUCUCGAGAUACUCCGGUUUGUAAGAGUCGUACGUGACCGAAGGUGCGAAACCUUCUCAAUUUUUUUUUCCAAAGUCUCCAUGUAUGACAUCAUGAGAUCUUGACAAAUCUCGUGAUUUUCAGAGUUCAUUUGGUUUUUCUAGAAUUUAAAAAUCAUUAGACCACAUGGUCGUAUUUUCUGACUAAGAUGUUCAAAAUUUCUUUUCGUUUUCUGGGUAAGGCCCGAGAGUGGAGUCACUAACAUGAAUAUGAUUUUUCCACUGAACUUAUUCCAUUAUUUCAAACACUUGCAGUUCAAAUUUGCCCGUAACCAAAAAAAUCCUAUCUGUGCUAUAAAUUUAUUAAAUAUAGCAAACUGAUCCACAAAUAUACGAAAUUUGAACAUGUAGUAUCACAUGUUGUGUGGGGAAAGUGGAAAACGUUUGGAGGGCAGGGAAGGAAAAAAAAUGUUAUUUUGCCGAGUGUCUAUAGAAAACACUCGGCAAAAAUAAACUUUGCCGAGUGCCUUUGGAGCAACACUUGGCAAAGGGUGUAAUUUUCCGAGUGCCUCAGGACGGACAGGUUUGCCGAGUGCCGCUAACGGGCACUCGGCAAAGUGCAAACGUCCGGCACGCUUCGUAACGGCUGGCGCGCGUGCUAGUCACGUGUUAGAGAUUUGCCGAGUGCGUUCUGUUUGCCGAGUGUCGUUCUCAUUUUUUGCCGAGUGUUCCAUUCGUGACACUCGGCAAACAAGAUGUUUGCCGAGUGUAUUUUGAAUGCCUAGUGUAUAUGUGGAUACACUCGGCAAACAUGUCCUUUGCCGAGUGCCCGAUAGGUUGCACUCGGCAAAGAUAAAAACACUCAGCAUUAUCUCGGUUUCUGGUAGUGAAAAUAUCAAAACUGAAGGAAUUGCAUAUAUGAAAAGUAACGUGAGCAAAGGCAUGCAGCGGUGAUUCAAAAUAAACUAAAGUUUGUGAAAUGUGUGACAUCAUUAGUUCGUCUUAUCAAUUCUGAAGGGGGACUUGUGCAGAAUUAGGUGAACAAUAUGAAAGAGGCUAGAUAUGAGUAUUGACACAAACAACUUGACUUUAACAGUCAUGAGUCUCCAAAGUCAUACGCACCUAUUGCCAUUCCAGAACAAACUUGCUGCUGGAAACCUUGCAUUGGAUCGGCCAGUCAGAAACCACCAUAGAGAAUUGACCGUUAGUCUCGGUUGGUAGGGUGCAUAUCUCCCAAAAAUCCAUCCGGGAUAAACCAACCGGGACAAGGGGGGGUCUUUAGUCCCGGGUCUUUCAACCGGGAGUAAAGGUCACCCUUUAGUCCCGGUUGGUUUAUCCCGGAUGGAUUUUCGGGAGAUAUGCACCAACCGGGACUAAAGGGCCUGCCACGCCAGGCGCGGGACAGGCCCUUUACUCCUGGUUGGUAAAAGCAACAGGGAGUAAAGGGUGCCCUUUUAGUCCCGGUUGGGUUUCCCAACCGGGAGUAAUGGGUUACCCUUUAGUCCCGGUUGGAUUUCCCAACCGGGACUAAAUGGCGCCUUGCAUGGCACCCUGCGUGGCGCCUAAAAUUUUCAUGCAUCACGUACGUAGUACCGCGGCCCUUUUGUUAACCUUUAGUAGUUGAGAUUUUUUUUAGAAUGAAAUCAACUAGUAUUUAAACGAAUGAAAUUUGUAAUUAUACAAUUACUAUAUAUAUACACAAUUCAACUAGUACAAAUCGAUCAUAAUUAGUGCGUAUUAUAUAUACCAAUAAAUCAAACUAUAUAUCUACAAUCUUCCCGUCGAGGUGUUGCUCGGAGCGUCUAAUUGUCGUCCAUCGUAAUAAAAUUCUCCUUUUGGAUUUACCACCUCGUCCAUUAGGAAUCCAAUGAGACCUUCACAUAUUGCUGCUACUCUUUCUUCCUUCAAGAGUCCUUGUUGAAUAUUUAACAUCUAUAAUUUGGAAAUUUGUGAAUGUUACCCAAACAAUUAAAUAUAAGGAGCUAGAAAAUAAUUAACUAGUAAUAGUUUUAUUUUAUGUACUUUAAAGUUGUGUGGCGUCAUCUUUAGUCCCUUGGGUCCCAUAAAACUGUGCAUGUGCUCACAGAUGUAGUAGCCACAUAGAUUAUUCCCGGGUUCCUGUCUUAAGCACUUCAGUGCGGAAAAAAAUAAGUUAUGAAAUAUUCGUGUUAUACAAUGUAAUAAAUGUGCAGACUUCAUACGUACCGGAAAGUCUGUGUUCCAUAUAAGUUUUUCUUUGAAUGGACCUUUGUGUGUCCUUAUGAAUUGUUUCCAUGCGCUGCGGAUUAGAAUAAUGAAUGAUAUAGUGUAACAAAGAUAAAAUUUAGGAAACAAACUUUUGCAUAGAGAUAAAGGUCCAGAAUUAUUACAAGCCUAGCAUGUCUUGCAUGUCUUGGUACUCCACCGGAUCUUUCCUCAACGAAUCGAAGACAGUGACGUGGCUUCUUUCAGCCUCAAUUAUAAUAAGGAUCCAGUGGAAGCUGUUGGAGGUAUGCCCUAGAGGCAAUCAUAGAGAUGAUGAUAUUCCAUUUGUAUCCAUGAUUUAUAUUGUGUUCCUUGAAUAUCCAUUAAAGGCUACUUGAAUUGAUUUGCAAUUAUGUGAAUUGUAUGUGAAACUCUUUACUUGUAUGGUUAUUCUAAAGUUGUCCCUAGUCGGAGUUCAUGUGAGGACACACAUGAAUAUUAGACUAGCACAUGUAUUAGUUGAUGACUAUAUUUCACAAGUCAUGGACAUGGAGAUGUUGAACUAAUAAUGUGGGCACAUGUGGAGACAUGUGCUAGGACUGACCCAACACGAGAAGUAGUUCUCUCUUUACACAACAUAUACGCUUUGUCCUUAGACAUGUACUCAAGAUGUGGAUCGACUUACUUAGGGGCUAUCAAACGCUACGCCGUAACAGGGUUGUUAUAAAGGUAGCUUUCGGGUCUGUUAAGAAGCAUGCUAUGAGACAUGAUCAAUCAAGAUGGGAUUUGCCCCUCUCUGAUUGAGAGUGAUAUCUCUGGGCCCCUCGAGUGAUCGGAUCCAAAAAUGCAUGGCCAUGCUACAUACGGUUAAGAGUUAACCUACAAAGGGAUUCUGAAUCAUAGGAUUGAGAAAGAGCGGUCGGCUUGAAGCUAGACCAAAUAUCGUGAGGCAAAGGGAAUAGCAAGUAUAUAAUGUUGUGAUGGUUCGUCUGAUAUAAUCUUCGUGUGCGUAUAGGAGUUGGCACGUCUUGCUAGAGGCCGCUACCGACUAUUGGGCCGAGUAGGAGUACUCGGGCCAUGUCUAUAUGUAUUCGAACUCAUAGGGUCACACACUUAAGAGGCUGGAAGCCCAAUUCGGAUGUGAUCCGAGUUGGAUUAGGUUUAGAAGUACUAAUGGGCCUCAGACCUAGAGGCCCGCUAGGAACCUCUAUAAAUAGAGGGGUGGGGGCACCCUAGGGUUGACACCUUUUUGGUGAAACACAUCUGCUGCGCCUCCCACACCCUCGCGUGUUGCAACUUGCGGACCUGGCAGUCCGGCUUGCGACGCUUCCUCCCUGCACAUGUGGACACCUUGGAGGUGUUGUGCCUGAAGCACUACGACGAGCCACCGACGAGCCGCCGACGAGCCACGGCACGAGGGCGAUCUUGCUGCACGUGGAUGAGCUGCUGAGGAGCUGCUGGACGUCGACGUGAUCGACUACGUACGACUACGCUGAUCGACUUUGCUGCAUCGACGUGAAUUUACAUCUUCCGCAUCAGUGCGUCGAGUGGUAAUCCCGUGAUCCUUAUACGACAGUUUUCUGGUUUAUGCGGUAGAAAAUUUUGAUUUGAGCUAGUGUAGCCUACUUCGUAUCCCAACAGAAGCUGCGUACAUAAAAUGUUCAUGCAUAUUAGAGCUAACUAACAUUAAUCAGGUAAGGAAAAAUACAACGAAAGUAGACGGUAUACACACACUUACUUGAAGUUGUAUGGAAGUAGUAUGGAAUCCUUGAAUGUUUGUUUGUCUAGGAAAUUAUAUACUUCCACCAAGGUUUUUUCCGGCGAUAAUUGUAUCUGUUUUUGGUUAACUACAGAUAGAUCCAUGAAGCCUAUAUGUAGGUACGCCUCUCGUCAGCACGUCUGAAUUAGCAUCCUACAUAAAAUGGAAGAUGAAGUUAGUACGGUGACGCACGCCAAAAUUUACAUGUAGAGAUAAACAGACACUUACAGAACCCAAGCGCUGAUCAAAGAGAUGUCCAGGGCAUCAUGAUGGUACACUUCGUAUAUAUCCUUGAAGUCUAGCCACAGCACUUUCUAGCCUUCGCCGUAAAAAUCUAUCGAUUUUACCUUAAGGCCGAACAUCUCCCUCGAGUUGGCGGAUGCCAUCAUGUAGCAUUGACAGAAUUCGUACAUCUUUGUUGAUAGCUUCCGUACUAACGAAGGCCUUACAAGAGGUUUGUCUAGCUCAUAAGGCCAUCUUGGCUCAGGGGGCGGUGCAGUUGGCGUCUCAACUUGCCCUAAACAUUCAUCAAGUCCCAGACCUGUUUCUUGCAUGAUUUUCAAUACUUCUGCAUGUUGAUCCAAGGGCAUUGCUGCUACCCUUUGAGCGUCUUUUUUUGAUAAAUGCCCGAGGUCGGGGACAGCACCACUGGAAGAUGACUUUCCUUUCCUUUUGUCCUUUCAUUAGCCUUUACUAAAGCCCGUUCAUAGUUUGAUAAGAGUGGUAUCCUUUUCUUGGCUCCUUCUUCCAUCCUGAUAAAAAAAGUUUAAAUCUCUUCGAUUUACUGGCGGUGGCUCCAUCUCCCUUGCUUUUUUUCUUCGGCUUGUUUCUUGAACCACUCACUGGCCUCUCGUUGGAUUUCUGCCCACUGUUCCGCAUGAGUCAUUGCCUCCCACCAUUCCUUACGAGUCACUUCAGGCUCUUUUGUUUUCUUCUUUCUUUGUCUUUGCUUGGGAGGUGGUGCUCGUGACUUCUUUAGUGGUGCUGCAGGUUCCUUCAUGGGGGCUGCUCUUGGUCCCGGCGACGGUGAUCGGGGAGGCGUGUUGUUAUUGUCGUCGUCGCUCCCACCACCAGGAUGUGGUGGAGAUGGAGACCUUGAUAUAGCAGGAAGCGAUGGUCCUGGAGCAGGUUGUGCAGGAGAUGAUGAUCUCGAGCUAUGAGGAGAAAGUCGCUGCUGGGGAUCUACGGGAAGCGGUCUUGAGCUCUGAGGAGAUGGCUCCAUGCCGGGAAUGAUGAUGUAGCAUUUUCACCAUAGAAUGAUCCCAUGAAGCGCAUCUGCCAGUGUCCUUUCCCUAUCACCUCCCGGGAGGUCGAGCUCUAGGCCUUCAUAUUGGCUAUCAACAAUUUGUUCUACGCGGACGCUGGCGUAGCCAGGUGGAAUCUCCAUGCCAUGACUGUUCUGCCCCGCCAGGGUUGCUAACGCACUCCUGUACGCUACCUGUACAUAUAGCAGAAGUAAACAAGUUAUUAAACUCCGAUCACGAGGCGUGGAUCAAUUGACAAGAUUGCAUAAAUAUUAUGUAUAAGUAUACCUUAAUAGUGAGGUUGCCGACCGGUGCAUGCAACUCACAUGUGGUGCAUUGCGUGAUGGCAUCCAUGGGGAACCGUUGCUCCUCCACGGGUAACCUGGAGGUCUACGCAUCAGAGACCCCUAUAGAAGCACAACUGCUCAAGAGGCGUUGAGAAGGGCUGGCGUAGUUUGGAUUCGGCAAUGCUCCAGAUUGGGCCAACUCCGCAACUGUGUGGGCCACUCGACAAUUGAUUUCCUCCAACAUUCUUUCUUCUUGUGCAUGCACCUUGGAUUCUAGCAUCUGCCGCCAGCUCAACUUGAUAUGUUCCUUUCUUCGCUUGCAGCUUCUGUACGAUGUGAUGUCACCUCGGAAAGCAAACUUCCACGGAAUGACCCUCGGCAACGUCCUGGGUGCUCAGGAUUACCGAUGGCCAAUGUGAGCUCAUCAUUCUCUCGGUCCACCUUCAACCUCCUAGCCUUAGAAUCUUCAAUGUUCUUCAUAAGACGUUCGGCCUUCUCACGUAUUGUUUCAUUGAAAAUCAACGUCCCAUCCUCUUGGCUCAGGGAGCCUCCGUGAGCGUAAUACCAAUUUUUUGAUCAUUCAGGCCAUUCAAUAGUUGCAGGUACAAUUUCCCGUUCGAUCAAAUCUUGUUCCAUCUUCCUCCAUUUGGGAAUUGCUAUGCCAUAACCACCUCGCCCUAGAUGAUGAUGGUAGCCCUUCUGACCAGCAUUUGUAGUGUUGGUCAGGAUCUUUUUCACACCGUCUUCACUCCUCUUAUAUUCAACAAAUGUCUCCCAGUGGUCCCUCAACUUUGGCCACACAUUGAAGUCUGGAGUUCGGCCCUUUUUAAUGUAGUUGGCAUCCAGCGUCUUCUUGAAUGUCUGGAAUUGUGUAGCCAUCUUCUUCAGCGUCCACGCUUUCACAUCCUUUUCAAUAUAUCCUUCGGGGAAUGUGAAAUGUCUCUUGACAUCUUCCCACAGCAUAUUCUUUUCUGUCUCCGGGAGGACGUACGGAUUAGUGCUUUUGCCCUUCCCUUCUCUGAUGCUGAUAGGCACGUUGUCCUGGACGAUUGCCCCGACCUGACUCACGUACUUCUUUGCUACUUUCUCGGGAGCAACCGGCCUGCCCUCUUCUGUCACUUCCGUGAUGACAAGCCUCCCUUCCAUCACCUUUGUACGACCUCGGGUCUUCUGCCCUUGCGUCGAUCCAGAGGGCUAAUAGUUCAAGAUUCGUUAAUUAGUACGUAGUAGUAACGGUGGCGUGAAACAAUACAAUUUAUAUAUACCUCGCUGGAACCUUCCGCCAUGGCAAGGUGUUGCUGGGGCUCAUGCUCUUCAUUCCCAUCGGCGGACAUGUUCCUCAACAUGUCCGCCUGGGUGCCCUCUUCAUCGGUGUACGAUAUUGGAAGGUUGUCGCCACUACCAUCACCAGAGAUUAUCUGCUCCAUGAGAUACCUUGCGGUCUCGUCGUCUGCCAUUUCAACUAUUGAUUGAAACAUACAUGGAAUCAUACAUGACAGUCAUAGAAAUUUCCUUAGCUAUAUGUACAUAAGGGUAUAUACAUGAAUCAUAAAAUAACAUGAAUCCCACAAAGUCCGGAAUGUUUAUACAAAUUUCAAUAAAUUAGUAGUACUUUGUACGAAUUUCUACCAAAUUUCUACUAAUUUAUACAUAUUUAUUGGAAUUUCUAGCAAAUUACUAAUAAUUCCUACUAAUUUUACAAUAACAUGAAUCCCACAAAGUCCGAAAUUUUUAUACAAAUUUCAACAAAUUAGUAGUACUUUGUAUGAAUUUCUACUAAAUUUCUACUAAUUUAUACAUAUUUAUUGGAAUUUCUAGCAAAUUACUACUAAUUCCUACUAAUUUGAUUUUCUAACUAAUAUACAAAUAUCUAUUGAUUUUCUAACUAAUUCGUUCCCAGCGCUAGUGCCGGCGGACCUCGCGCGGUCGAUGGUGCCUAGGUUGGGCGACGAGGUGGCCAGGGCGGCGGGACGGCGGAGGUGGGGACGAAGCGAGGUGGCCACGGCAACUAAUUUCUAACCUAGGCGGAGCCCUUCGUAACCCGGGACUAACUAAUUACUACUAAUUUCCACUAAUUUGAUUUUCUAACUAAUAUACAAAUAUCUAUUGAUUUUCUAACUAAUUACUACUAAUUUCUAUUUAUUUUCUAACUAAAAAAUAAAAAAGGCCCUUGCUGACGCAAGCCGAUGGGCUUGUGUCAGCAAGAGCGGUACGUUCCCGGCGCCAGUGCCGGCGGACCUCGCGCGGUCGACGGUGGCCGGGGCGACGAGGUGGCCGGCGCGGCGGGACGGCGGAGGCGAGGACGGAGCGAAGCAACACCGGGCGGAGGCAGCCGGCGACAAGGGGCGAUGAGGCGGCGCGCGCGACAGAGGCGGCGACGAGGAGGCCCCGCGACGGACGAGGGCGUGGCGGCGAGAGAGGAGGUGGCGUUGAUGGAGGCGGUGACGAGGACGGAGGCGGCGACGAGGCCCCGCGAUGGAGGCGGCCGGCGGCGACGAGGUCGAGGGGGCGGGAUGGAGGAGGAUCGAGUCGGGUUGGAGUGAUAGAGGAGGAGGCGGUCCGGGCGCGGGCGAGGCGGUCGGACGGUGGGACGACGAUGGCUGGGGCAAUGGGGGAGGAUGACAACGGCGACCGGCAAGGGAGGCGGACGGGCGGCGACGGAGCAGGAGCGUGGGAUCUUGGUGAAAGUUUGGCUAACUGUAACUGGCGUGGGGGGUAGAAGAGGCUACAGUGCCUUUUAUCCUCCCCUUUUAUCCCGGUUCGUAAUGGCACCCGGGACUAAAGGCCCUUUUGUCCUGGGUCCCAUUACCAACCGGGAUAAAAGCCCCCCCCUUUAUCCCGGUUGGUGAUGGGACCCGGGACAAAAGGGUACGUCCACCCAGCGGGAAUGGAAACCUACCCUUUUAUCCCAGGUGCCAAUACCAACUGGGAUAAAAGGGCCCCCCUUUUAUCCCGGUUGCUAACUGUAACCGGGAUAAAAGGGUACGUCCCCGGCGGGAAUCGAAAACUACCCUUUUAUCCCAGUUGCAGUUGUCAACCGGGAUUAAAGGGGGGCCUUUUGUCCCGGUUUCAAUUGGCACCCGGGAUAAAAGGGCCUUUUCCCACACUUUCAUCUCCCGCCUAUUUUUUGGAAAAGGAUUUGAUUUAUGUUUUCACUGCAUUUCAGGACGCAAAAACAAAAAACUUCACAUAUUUUGUACAUGCAAAAAUAUAUUUAAUUAGCGAGUAUAUUGACAAUAAGUGUGAUUUAGUCAUUAGUUCUGUACCAGUUCGUUUAGCCUCUAAAAUAAUUAUUUUACUGCAUCGUUGUGAUCAAGAAAUUAUUCAAUUAAAUAAUUUCAACGCGCAAAAAAAUCCAUGUAUGUAUGUGGUUAACAUUGUUCAUGUUUAUCUAAUAAAUCUUCACCUAACAAAUUUAAGAACACAUGAAAUCAUACAUAGGGUAAAUUAAAAAUUGUAUCAAAUACUACACAAAAGUCAUGUAAAUUUAGCGCAUUACAAUGCAACGUUGCAAAAUUUCUUCUUCACGAAAGUUCCUUGAUAAUGAUCGCGGCGUAAGUACAGAACCUCUUCUUUGGAUAGCAGGAUGCUUGGAUCAACUUCAACUGCGAAUGCAGGCAUGCCAUCAAACUGAUCAUAAUCAUCUAAUUGGUCUGUUUUAUCCUCGACUCCCAUGAUUUUUCUUUUACCUGGAAGAACUAUGUGGCACUUUGGCUCCCAUGUCUCUUCUGGAUUUCUCUUGGGUUUGCUACACAUGUCCUUCACAUAGAACACCUGAUGCACAUCAUUGGCAAGUACGAAUGGGUCAUCACUGUAUCCAGUCUUGCUCAGAUCUACUAUUGUCAUUCCGUACUGAUCUUUGGUUACGGCUGUUAGCUUCACCCAAUUGCAAAGAAAUAGAGGGAUGUACAGCGGCCCGUAUUCGAGUUCUCAUAUCUCCUGUAUGAAACCAUAAUACGACUCCUUGCUAUUAUUUCUAUCUAUGGCAUCUAUGCGGACACCACUAUUCUGGUUCGUGCUUUUCUAGCCCUGGGCUCUUGUGUAAAAUGUAUAACCAUUUAUCUCAUAGCCUUGGAAUUUCACGAUUGUGCUAGCAGGUCCUCUAGCUAACCAAGCGAGCUAUGGGUGAAUCUCAGAGUUACCCAUAAGUUAUUGGCACAACCAGGAGGGAAAAGUUUCCAUGUGAUGAUGUGUAAGCCAACAUCGGAUUUGGUCGGGUUUUGGAAACUACCAUCUGCCUGUGCUGCUCGAUAUACGGAGACACAAAGGAUGACUAUUGUAGAACAGUGUAGUGUGCCUUGUCGAACAAAUCAGUAUCGUUGCUGAAACUUGAUUUCCUUCCAAGGGUGCCCAUUCCCCGGAGCCUCCCCUCGUGGCGUGAAGUUGGAACCCCAAUCGAGUCAAUUGAAUCAAUAAAAUCAACACAAAACUCAAUCACCUCCUCUGUUCCAUAUCCCUUGACGAUGCUUCCUUCUGGACGGGCACGAUUAAGAACAUAGUUUUUUAGGACUACCAUGAACCUCUCAAAAGGCCACAUAUUGUGCAGGUAUACAGGUCUGAGAAUACCAAUCUCUUUUACUAGGUGAACAAGUAAGUGCGUCAUAAUAUUGAAGAAGGAUGGUGAAAUAACAACUCAAAACUGACAAGACAUUGCACCACAUCGUUCUGUAGCUCUGAUAGCUUGGAUGGAUCGAUUGCCUUCUACAAAAUCGCGUUGAGAAACACGCAUAGUUUUACGUGCGGCAACUGGACAUUUUCUGGUAGAACACCCCUCAGUGCAACCGGAAGCAACUAGGUCAUCAACAUGUGGCAGUCAUAGGCCUUGAGAUUUGUAAACUUCUUUUGUUUCAUAUUUAUUAUUCCCUUUAUAUUCGAGGAGUACCCAGACGGGACCUUCAUACUAUUCAAGCAUUCAAACAUGCUAUCCUUCUCUUCCUUGCUGAGAGUGUAACUAGCAGGACGUAAGUAGUGUUGUCCAUUAUCUCUCUUUUUCGGAUGUAGGUCAUCUCGUUGCCCCAUGGCUUUUAGGUCCUGUCGUGCUUCCAAUGUAUCUUUCGAGGUCCCAUAAACACCCAUGAAGCCUAGCACAUUCACGCAAAGAUUCUUCAUCAAGUGCAUCACGUCUAUCGUUGCGAACCUCUAGGAUUUCCCAAUAAGGUAGCUCCCAAAAUAUUGACUUUUUCUUCCACAUAGGUGCAUGUCCGUUAUCGUCGUUCGGAACAUGUUGGCUACUAUGACCCUUUCCAAAGACUACAUUUCCAUCCUUCAUCAUCUCGAAGACACGCUUUCCAUUAUGGUGUGCAGGUUUUUUCCGAUGGUCUGGCGCCCCUUUGAAAUGCAUCCCGCUCUUUCUCAGCUGGUGGUGAGCAGGGAGAAAUCGACGAUGACCCAUAUAGACGACCUUCUUAUAGUGCUUCAAAUACAUGCUGUCUAAGUCAUCUAAACAGUGGGUGCAUGCCCGAUAUCCCUUAUUUGUCUGUCCCGAAAGGUUACUCAGUGCAGGCCAAUCAUUAACAGUUACGAACAACAAUUCUCGUAGAUUAAAGAUCUAUUGUCUAUCCUCAUCCCACACACAUACACCUUUUUCCCUCCAGAGCUGUAAAAGGUCAUCAACCAAUGGUCUUAGGUACACGUCAAUGUCGUUGCCGGGUUGUUUUGGGCCUUGGAUAAGCGCCGACAUCAUAAUGAACUUCCGCUUCAUGCACAGCCAAGGAGGAAGGUUGAACAUACAUAGGGUCACAGGCCAAGUACUAUGGCCACUACUCAACUCACCGAAUGGAUUGAAUCAUCAGUACUUAAACCAAACCUUAUGUUCCUUGCUUCACUUUCAAAGUCCGGGAAUGCUCUAUCAAUUGAUCUCCACUGGGCCCCAUCUGCGGGGUGUCUCAGCAUCUCAUCUUCCAUACGUUCUUCUUUGUGCCAUCGCAUCAACUUAGCAUUCGCCUUGUUCCUGAACAAGCGUUUCAAGCGUGGUAUUAUAGGGAAAUACCACAUCACCUUCGUGGGAAUACUCUUCUUGGGAGACUGCCCCUCGACAUCACCAGGAUCAUCUCGCCUGAUCUUAUACCGCAGCGCUUCGCAGACGGGACAAGCAUCCAAUUUCUCGUAUUCAUCACCACGAUAGAGGAUACAGUCAUUAGGGCAUGUGUGUAUCUUCUGAACAUCCAAUCCGAGAGGGCAAAUAAUUUGUUUAGCUUCAUAUGUUGUGGAUGGUAAUUCAUUAUUCUUGGGAAGAAUCUUCUUGACAAUGUUCAAAAUCCCCUAAAAUGCCAUAUCGGACACACCAUUUUUUGCCUUCCAUUGCACAAAUUCUAGUGUCGUACCUAGUUUUUUAUGGCCCUGCUGGCAAUCUGGGUACAACAAUUUUUGGUGAUCAUCUAUCAUGCGCUGCAACUUUGCUGCUUCCUUCUCAGUUUCACAAUCUCUGUGUGCAUCUCGUAGCACCUGACCAAGGUCAUCAGUAGGGCCAUUUUCUGCAAACUCAUCUUCAUCAGCCUCAUCCAUUGUAGUAUCUGCAAAAGCUUGGCCUGCAACCCAGUCCGGAAUGUUGUCAUCUUCCUCCUCCUCCUCCUCGCCAUCUUCCAUUACAACCCCUCGUUCACUGUGCUUGGUCCAAAACCAAAUAGUUAGGCAUGAAACCGUAUUUAAACAAGUGGCUGUGAAUAGUCCUCCAGGAAUCCUUUGAAUACUCCUUCUUGUUAUUGCAUUGGAAGCAUGGACAACAUACGAACCCAUUCUCUGUCUUGUUCGCUUUGGCCACUUCGAGAAAAUAAUGCAAGCCAUCAAUAAACACCUUGCUCCGCCUGUUUGUAUUAUACAUCCAUUGCCAGUCCAUCUGCAUCGUAUUACGCAUGAAAAUGGAUUACACUUGAUAAUGAAUUACGCGUGAAAAUUGAUUAAAGAUCCAAACAACAUGAUACAAUACAACAAGCCAUCCACUGGUUAUUAUCUAGGAGGACUUUAAGUAUCCUUGGGCGGUGAAGAUGAAGGUUCCGCUGACCCAGCCUCAUCGUUAGGUUUAUUUGUGCCAUCUGAAAUGGUAGUACUAAGUGGACGUGAAACACCCGGGACUGAGGGUGGAGCAUAACGACCACCAAAAGGAGGUUCCUGACCCGCAGCAACAGCUUCUUCAUGAUGUUGCUGCAAAUAACGAAGCAUUGCUUUUUCCAACACGCUCAUUUUCUUCGGCUUAUGCUGAGGGCCAACUAUGAUUUUCCCCUUGCCAAAAGAGGAACCACGAUCGCCCCCACCAUCGCCACUUCCUCUAGUAGCAGAAGCCAUCUAUGUACAAAAAUUAUUAUCUUAACACUGCAUAAGUUGUUCAACUUGAAGACCGUGAUCAUCUCGCGAGGAUGUCCUCAACUGGGCGGCACCGCACUUCGUCAUGAAAGAGGUUCGAUUCUACGGAAAAGGGGACACAGUCACGAUGUCCGUAUCCACUCUUUCUCGUAGAAUCGAACCUCCUUCUUGACAUACGUUGUUGCUCGGUGGAGAACAUCCUCGCAGAGAUGACCACGGUAUGCAAGUUCAACAAGUAUGGAUUUGAAAAACCAUAUUGAAUUUGAUAAGUUCAACAAGUAGCAGAAGCCAUCUAUGUACAAAAAUUCUUUUCUUAGCACUGCAAAAGUUGUUGAACUUGAAGACCGUGAUCAUCUCGCGAGCAUGUUCUCAACUGGGCGGCACCGCACUUCGUUAUGAAAGAGGUUCGAUGCUACGAAAAAGAGGACACAGUCAUGAUGUCUGUAUCCACUCUUUCUCAUAGAAUCGAACCUCCUUCUUAACAUACGUUGCUGCUCGGCGGAGAACAUCCUCGCCAAGAUGAACAAGGUAUGCAAGUUCAACAAGUAUGGAUUUGAAAAAUCUUAUUGAAUUUGAUAAGAUAAACCGUCUAGACAAGAUAGCAUCAUUCUUAAACCAUUGCAAGAAUACAUACUAUAUAUGACACAUCAAUCUCCCUCACAUUCUAGCUCAAAAUACCUCUCCAUUUUCUACUUCAUCACAUUCUAACAAUUAAUGUUUCCAUCUUCAAAGCAUUAAUCAAAGCAUAACACAAGGAUGAAGUAGCAAACCUUCACAACACUUGUGUUGGCUGAGUGAAAUUCCCACGAAAAUGAGGGAAAAAACUUCGGGCAGCACCUCCCUUGCUUCGGCACCACCGGAGAGUAGGUGAAGCUCAGCUCUCUGUCUAUGUGCUGGACUGGCUCGGGCUGAAGGAGGAAGAAAGACCUCUGCCUUGGUAUAUAAUGGGGAUGAAUUUUUAUCCCGGUUAAAACCUCCAACCGAGACAAAAAGGAACACCUUUUGUCCCGGUUGAAAGUUUAGUCCCGGUUGGAAGCUGCAACCGAGACUAAACUUUUUGUCCCGGGUGGAGGCUUCAACCAGGAUAAAAGGGUGGACCUUUUAUCCCGGUUGGAGCCUCCAACCGGGACAAAAGGGUGCCACCACCGACGCCCCGGAACUAGCCGUUGCAACCGGGACUAAAGGGGAGCCUUUAGUCCCGGUUGAAAAUACCAACUGGGACUAACUCUCCCCUCCAUUUUUGCCUACCGUGGCGCACCCCCUUUUGUCCCGAGCCAACUUUAAAUCGGGACAAAAGGGGGCGCAUCGAAAGCCAAUUCUCUACUAGUGAACUUUUAAAUGUACACUGCAUUCACAUCGAUCAGCUAGCAGCAUGCACACAUCAGCUAGUAGCAUGCACACAUUUGAAUGGAUCGGUCGAAAGUAUACAUACCGGCAGAUGACCUUCGAAAUUGAAUUGAAUCAGCAAUGAAGAUCCGUGGAGGACAGUGGCAGGCAUCCAAUUUGCCCGUGGAUCGUGGCAGGCAUCCGAUUUGGAUCGGCAAUGGAGGUCUCGUAGCUAUGGAGUGGUCGAGUGGUGAGGAUGUUGGCGGCGUCGGGCCAGCGAGGAGAGCAGGCGGCGGCAGCGGCGCAGGGAGAGGAGCAGGGCGCGCGAGGCGGAGGACGGCUCGGAGGGCAGCGGCGUAGGGCGAGCGAGGAGAGGAGGAGGCGGAGGGACGGCUCGGAGGGCGGCGGCGCAAGGAGAGCGAGGAGAGGAGGUGGAGGGACGAUUCGGAGGGCAGCGGCGCCGGGCGAGCGAGGAGAGGAGAGCGGCGGCGGUGCCAGGUGAGCAAGGAGAGGGGGCGGCGGCGGCGGCGCAGGGAGAGCGUGGAGUGGAGGAGAGCACAGGACGGCGGAGCAGGGCAAGGAGCAAGCGUGCGAGGCUUAGGGAUGGCUCGGAGGACGCGGUGCGGGAUCGGACGGAGCGGAGCGCGGAAGGAGGCGGUGCAGGUCACGCGAGGCGGAGGGAUGGGCAAGCGAGGAGAGGAUGCGGGAUCGGACGGAAGGAAAGGCUCCGAGCGAGGGCCACGUAUCGGAGCGGAGUGCGAUGUACGAAAAAGAGUCCCAGUUUCACUUUUUUUAAGUAUACUAGCAGAAAUGCCCGUGCGUUGCUACGGGUCAUUACUUGCUCUCACGUUAUUUUACGUUUGUUCAUACUAUGUUAGCUUCGCUUCAUAAUAUGUGGUAGACAAUUCAUCAAAGAUGAGUGGCAGAAAAGACCAUUACUCCAUCACCAUUAUGAAGGAAACAACAAUUACCACCCAAAUAUGAAACUUAUAGGAAGAUAUCAGCAAAUACUACAUAUCAAACAACAGUGACAUCAUCAGUAAUACUGAAUGCCUUAACAGAUAUCUGAGUGCACAGCACACGCAUCAACUACAGUAAACUACAGUAGAAGUCGUGGCAGGGCACAAGUGCAGUAAAGCACAGUCAUCCAUCCAUCGACCACCGUCUGCUUUCUUCAUUUUUUCCCCGACGUGGCGACAACCAAGCCUACCCAAGGAUAAUAGACAGCCCAAUAGGGCAUUCAGUAGUCCCUAAAGGCCGACAGCUCAAUACCAAACUCUCGAUCCUUACAUUGCUCCUAGCCAGAAAGUCGUAUAAUCACAGGCUACGUUUUAUGCUGCCUUGGCUUAUCUUAUAUCUACCUUACAGGGCAAACUCAUGGCAUGUUGACUCGCUCCUCUUCUUGUUUCACCACGCCCAUGGCUGCAAGAACCCAACGCGAGCAUGCAAGGGGAAGCUCCCUCCCGAGCCACCGGCGCUAGUCUUCGUCACCAAGUUCUUGGUGCUCCGGCGAUCGAUCUUUGACCAUGGCCCGCUCCUCCGGGAGCUGCACGCGCACCACAGCCCCGUCAUCUCCAUCCGCCUCUUCCACAUCGCACGUUGGUCUUCGUCGCCGACCGCCGGCUAGCUCGUAAUCCUGUAACUUCCUUGGACGGUCAGCCUACAGCUUCCUAUCAACAUAGCUUAGAACAUUCCUGCACAAAUCUACUGCCUUAUAACUUUGCUUCCUUUCCUUCUCUUCAGCAUAAGCAAUAAUAAUAUAACCUACAAGACCUCCUGUGCAAAAUGUAACUGCUGUAUAAUAUUAACACGGAUGUGGGCACUGCAAGAACCUCCGCAGCGAAACUGUUCGCAACAUUGCAGCACCAGUACGGUUCCCCUGGAGAUCAAGAUGUCCCCGUACGGUUCCAGCUGAGUAACCUUGAUGUAAUCUAAAGUUGCCAAAACUGCAGAACAAACAUUCCUCAGUAAAUAAUAUGUUCCAUUCUAGCAAUACAGUAAAAUUGAAUGAGUGCUAUGAUAAACUUCCAAUUAGCCAUUCCCCGUGUAGAACAUUUCAAGCAAACUCAGUAAGCACAAGUUAUCUGGCCAGCAUAGUGUAGGAUAGUGUGAAACUUGUCAGAACUAUUACUUGCCAAACUUAUUAGAAAACUGUGUGGAGCCAUAAACUUAUAGGUUCAAAGAAAGGGUGCCGAAUUUUGUGGCAUAUAUCAGCUGAGUAACCUUGAUGUAACUUAUGCUUGCAUAGCGUCCAAAGUGUAAAGCCAAACUAAUUACAAAAACAUUGAAUAGGCAUUAAGCCAACAAUGGUAGCAUAACUUUUAAAAAUCAUGUCAGUGCAACCACUAUUUACUCGAUCAACCACACUAUUUGUUUUCUGGUAUAAGCAAAAUAGAGGAAUAAAUACCAGUCAUUUGAUAGAAUAGUCGAGCUGCCCUGGCUGUGGUCAUCCCUGAAGCUAGCAGAUUUAGUGACUCAGAUUGCUGUCCACCUGGGGUAUCAAAAUGUAGUUUGAGGUGCCUGCAUGAAUAUGGCUCUAGCAUCAGACAAUGUAUGCGCAUCUGUUGUACUUCACUUCAACAAACUUAAGUUACCCAGGCUACUUACGACUGGAUUGAUUCUGUGACCUUGUCGAUAGGAUCAGAGCGCUUCUCAUAUGGGGUUUGAGUCGGUUCGGUUUCUUCCAGAAGGUCUGAAACGAAUGUUAACUGUUUAAUUCUAUGUUGGUUCAAACAGUUUCACGUGGUCGAGAAAACAGUUUCACAUGUUUAUAUAUAACAGAGCGAAUAAAGGAAAGAAACACAACCAACCAGGAGUUGGCCCAAAAUCUGAAAGCCUUCUCAUCUUGAAGUCCCUCACUUCUUGCUCCAAUGGAAAGUCUUCAUCAACUGGAUCAAGAUUCCCCAAGCUUCUUCCAGAGGAAUGUUGCCUCCUCUUGGACCUGCUCAAGAACCAUGGCAUGGCGACUAUAAGAACCUAACCAAUACAACGAAGGACCUAAGGGAGCUAGAUAUUUUCUAUUUGCCUGACACUUCAUCAAGAAGAUUCUACAUUUCAGUUCUACACUUACAAGCAUAUACAAAAGGAGCUUCUAUUGAGAUCAUGAAAGCAUUCUUUAAAUAGCCAAGUCUUUCGGUACCAAAAGAUCACAUAACCAUAGUUCAGAGUACUAAUAUAGGUGACAUGCUAUUACUAUUAGUCAACAGUCACCUUGCACUUCUGAUGAUGCCUCCCUCACAUCGACGCAGCCAAUGUAGAUGUCAUCCAGAUCAAGCUUCUUCGCCGGGGUACUUUGUACCCAGUACCAUCCCAUACUUUGUACUCGUUGCAAAGUUCCAAUUCAUCAGAAGAUAAAAGUACCACAUGGCUCCUAGCGUCUAAUGAUGUGACUGACCUGCCAAAAGUUGCAGAAGUAGUUGGAGACUGGUGUUAACUGAUGGUGCUAACAUUGGACCCAGUACCAUCCCUGGAUUGAGCACAGCCAUUGCAAUCCCUCCUUCCCAGCGAAGUCCAAUACGCUAUACCAAAACUGCAGGCUCAAGGAAUAAAGUCAGCACAGGCCUCAACCACAACCAUAACACAGAUCAGAAUACAGGAGCUAGUUUUAAUCUGUACCUGAACUUUCUUGAGGAGCUCGACGACGGCACAGCAGUCCUUGUCUACGACCUUGUCCGCGGGCCAGUUGGGGUUCGGUACCAUGGCCGCCUGCGACGACAUCAGGACGACGCGGCCGACCCCGCAAAUCUUUUCACGGCACGCAAGACGUUGAGCGUGCCCUUCACCGCCGGUUCCAGGAGCUCGUUCUGCAAUAGCAGAAUCAUCAGCAAUCUAAUCCAAGGAUUACCUACUCGAGCAACGGGAUAGAUACUGGACUGUGAUUUGCAUCGAUGGGGUGAUUAAUUAUUCAGAAGGAAGAAUUACCUCUGGGUCCCUCUGCUUGCACAAUAUGAACGGGGACGCUAGGUGGAAGACGCCGCGUGUGCCCUUGACCGCCGGCCGGCCGGAAGCAGGAUCCAGAAGGGUCCAUCUGGAAUAGCCGGAGACGCGUGUCCGCGCCGCGCAAGGCCUGCAAAGUGCUUCACGUCUCGGCCUCAUCCUCUGAAAAGGGGAGGAAACAAAUCCGUCACGAGAAUCUUGACGAGGAGCAGUCGGCGCCACUCCUGCUCCACGGGCCUCCCCGCUCCCGAUGCGGGGGCUCCCAUCCUACGCCGCCGCUUCCGCCGCCCGCUCACCACCGCCGUCCACGCCGCCAAGCAGGACGCGGCCGUCUGGAUGCCCCCCCGCUCGUCUCCGCGGUCGGUGCGGCCACCGCCCGUCUCCGCGGAAGGGAAUAGGAUUGCGGGUUGAUUACCGAAAACUUGAGCUGUCGCCGCCACCCUCCCUUCCGCGCCUCCGUCAUCCACCUCCGCCUCGAGCACAUCUCCACAACCUUCUGCGCCGCGACAACAGCUUCCCCCGAAGAUUUUGCCGAAUCCAUCACUUAGUCCAAUCCCUCACUCUUCCGUUCUUCGGGUGACAUUACCCGCAUCCGCAUCUCAGGUUUUAAGCCCGCAAUUUUGGUUGUAAAUUGGCGAGGUGGGAUUAUACCUGGUGGGUCGUCGUUCUCCUCCGUUCUACUCGCUGGACUGGGGGCGGAGCGGAGAUCCGCUCAUCUGGACUUGGACUGCUUCUAGGUAAGCGACCCUACCUCGGCUUGGGCCUCAGCUUGGGUGCCCCAUGUCGCCUGUCGAGUCCGCCGCCGCCGGCGCAGACCAGGUUAGUGAGGGGGCGGUCAUGCCGCACGAGCACGUCGGUGAGGGGGCGGUCGUGCUGUACGAGGAUGGUGUUGGACGCGGGAGGAGGGCGGCGGAGGUGGGAAAAGGGCGGCGGAGGGAGGGCGGGGAUGAUGAACCAAGGCUCCGACGGUGGUGACCGUCCCCACUCUGAAAGGAGAGGCUUUUCUCAUUUAACCCCCUCUCUUCCCUUCGUUUUCCACCCGAGCUCCCCUCUCUUCAAAAUUGGACUGCGGGUUGAUUACUGAAAACUUGAGGGGUUUUUUUACAAAAUGACCACGACGUACGAAAAGCCAGGCAGAGACGUUACAUGCUUUAAUAAUAGGUAAAGAAAGCCAGGCAGAGACGUUACUUGCUUUAAUAAUAGGUAAAGAUAUAGUAGAUUUGCUUGAACCAGAUUUUUGUUCGUAUUGAUUCAUCGGUCUCUGGUUGGUGCUAUGGCACAAUUUUGUUUUUGACCUCAAAAUCUUCAUGCAUCGUCUGCUAGGUGCUACGGAAGAAUUUUAUGUUUGUCCUCAUCCACAAUCUUCACGGAUCGUAGCCGGCGUCCCCUUGGAAUUGUGAUGAACACUCUGGUAAUGUAUACUUGUAUAUUUGAUUUUUAUUUCAAUGUGAACAAGAUGAUCACUCAUAUUUUGUUUCCUCACCAGAGGAGGAUCUGGAUUGCUUCAAGUCCGAAGAUGGACAUCUGAACAUGUAUGAAGACGUUGCAGCAAGGGUAUAUCAUCAGGUAUAUUAGUUCAAAUAUAUUUAUUUUAAAAUACGUGCGUGCCUCACGUUCUAGGGCGUCGGCGAGGGUGUCGACUGCGCGGCGUCGUACGAUUGCCCGGCGAGGCCGCAGUCCAUCCACAUCCACGUACCACGUGCUAGGGCGGCCGGGAGGCUGUCGACUACUCGCACGAUCUUCCAUCGUGCGCUCGCCGCCCGGGAAGGGCGUCGGCGAGGGUGUCGACUGCGCAGCCUCGUACGAUCGUCCGGCGAGGCCGCAGUCCACGUAACGCGCGCUAGGCGUCGGCGAGGCUGUCGACUGCUCGUACGAUCUUCCAUCGUGCAUGCGCUCGCGGCGCGGGGAAGGCCUCUUCGUCGCCACUCCCAGCGACGUCGUCCGUACGUGGUCUGUUCAGGUAUUUGCAGCUCUGUUGCCCUUCAAUCCAUACCCAGGUAUCCUCCGAACCAGGGAGAUCUUGGUCCGUCUCCCAUCUCUAACUGCCUUGCCUUGGUACCGUGCGCGUGGCGAACCUGGAUACAACAAUCAAACGGAGUUCAGCCGGCUUAUCAGCCACCAAACAGUGUUUUUCUCUCACAACAAAUCAGCCGUUUCAACUUUUCAGCCGGCUUAUAAGCUGAAGCGAACAGGCCCACAGUUGCCAAGUUCUAAUAUCACCAAGGCGGUCUGCAUAAAGUGCAGCGGACGGCAUCUCACUAAGGUGAGGUUUUUUCGUUCUUGGUUAUGCUUGUCCUGUAUCAUGUAAUUAAGUAAUACAUGAUUCUUCCAUGUGCUUAUGUUGUUUGUUAUAAAAUCAAAAAAAAAAAUUGAUAGGACCUGGACGUCAUUACCUUGCUGACAAGCUGCAUAUUCAUUUGCAUGCCGUGAUUUGUUUCUUCUAAAUGGACUAUCGUCUUGGAGAUGUGACAAACAAAUCCAAUUGCCGUUCUGGUGGAAAUCAUAAAAGGCAAAGAUUGGAGUCAGGGCCAACAACAUUGGAAGGUGAAAAUGUUGCUGGGGACGACCUUGAAAAUGUUUCUGGUGGUAACCAUGGUAUUUUUCUUUUUUUUUCUUUUCAGUAAUCGGCAUCAUAUCUGUAUUUAAGUUUUAAUGUUGUCUUCAAUUGAGCGUGAUUUUAUCUAUGAAGAUCUUGAUCCGAGAUAACUUAAACAGCAAAAGGCAAGGGAAAGGUAUGCGAGGAUGUCAGAAGAGAAGAAAAUGAAGCUCAAUGCAAAGAAAAGAGAAAACUACCAUCGUAGAAAGGCUGAAAAACAAGCAACCGAUGUGACUAUGCAAAAUCCUAGUACUAUGUCUAAUGCAAUGUUUUUCAUAUUUUUUUGCCUUACCCAUCAGGUUAUAUAGAUCAAUGUGUAUUUGCAGAUGCUUCUUCAGUAAUUGCCGCAACAAACCAAACCCCACUCUCAGGUUUGUCUGUGCGAUGGAUCUUUAUAGUGUAGAUAGAUUUGUCUAGAACAGUAACUUUAGUGUGUCAUGCAUAUGGUCAUUAUUAUACGUGUUUUUGUGCAGUUUUAUCCCAGGGUGUUGAGCUAGAUGAUGCCGGUGGAGAUUGGCUUCGUCGCAAUGAUACAUAUGCAGCAACAGCUAGAAGCAAACUCAAAUCCGCUAACUGAUCACAUGCUAUUUGGUGAAACUGUAUUAUCAGCAACAAAUAUUAUAAUAAGGAAUCCUUGCAUGCUUUCAUUUGUUCUAUUGAGUCUUUAAUAUUAGUGAAUGUUACACUUGUUCAUUCCAGCUGGUGUUAAUAAGGAGGUGUCUAUAGACGAACUGCAGGAGGAGAAAGAGAAUCUAAAGUCAAGGAACAGAUAUUCUAGGAUGACAGAGGAUCAGAAGGCCGAGGGAAUGCAAAAUCCCGAGAAAUUUAACAUUGUAAGAAUGGCAACGAUCCUGCAACCAACAUGACUCUACAAAGCCAAUGUACUAUCAUGUUUAUUAAAUUCUUCGGUGAAGAAAAUCAAUUAGUUUGAGUAGGCUAUUGGAUCUAUGCUUAUAUUUUGUGGUUGCUGCAGGUGUUGCAUUACAAACUCCUAUGAUCGAGAUCAUGCCUUCUGGGUUGACCAGUACAGGUGGUUCAUAGAAACUAAAUAUAAAUGAAAUAAAUUCUGUUAAAUAAGCUAUUGAGGCUCUACUCAUGUUUUUUUUCCUUGUUGUAGGUGUUGUGUUCGAGUCACCUCCAGUCAGACCGUAUCAUAUGGUCUAGGUUUACUGGUAUAGGUAAUUCAUCUCGGAUCAUUGGGCCGUCACAUGUUUGUUAUCUUAACAGCUGCAUAAAUUAUAUAUGUAUGUUUUUUCCUAGUUUUAUUGCAUCUGUAUACUAUAUGUAUACAGUUGGCGUUGAGGAGGUGUCUCAAAUAGAGCUAAAGAGGGAUAAAGAGAGGAAGAGAUAUGCAAACCUGUUAGACUUGGCAAGAGAAAAGAAGAUAUUAAAAAAUAAUGAGGGUCGCAGAUGCAAGAACAUGUCUAACCAAGGUACACUACGUAUAAUGACAUUAUUAAUGGGGCUGUGCUGAUUAUAAUACUUUCAUAUAUGCAGCCUUGGCUUCUCAAGCUCUAGUGUUUGGGUCCGCGCAGUCUGCCGUAACAGAAGUAUUAACACGUUCUAAAACAAGAGGGGUUAUCAAUGGUUGGUUUUUCCACUUGGAAUUAAUAAGUUUUUAUGACACUUUAUGUGACUGUCACACUAACAAAAUAAUAUUGAUUCAAUCAGGGAUGAAUAGUGGUUCAAACAAUGUAGAGCAAGUGGACCAUGGAAUUUGGGAACCAGAAGAUCACGGUUGCUUUGGAAGGUAAAAAUUUUCUCAUCUUAGUCCACACUCACCAUUAGGAAUGUCUUCACGCUUGAUUGAAAUGUGUUUGAACGCCAGAGGAAGAUUUGGAUUGCUUGGAGCCCAAGGUUGGUGAUAUUGAUAUUUAUGAAGAUGAUGAAGCAAGGGUGUUUCAUGAGCGAGGUAUAUGUUCACUCAAACAUUAGCAUCUUUCUAUUUGCAUAGUUUUUUAUUAGCAUUUAUUUGUUUUCAUAUAUUUGGUGUGACAGCUAUUCGGUAUGUAGAGAUUCAAACAUGGUUGUGCUAGACCAUGAGUGCCGAAUUGUUGAGUAUUGUGGUGCUAUAAAGUUUCCAAGUGAAGGUGAAUAUAUAUAUUCCAAAUGUGCCCAUUGAGCUUCGUCACUUGUUCACAAGCCAGAUAGACAGGGAUGCACUGUAUUUUAGAAAGAAUAUUCGAUAUUUCAACUCACACUUCUCAUUGACUAGCUUAAGUGCCUUUGUCGAUCGUCGUCUCGCCACUGCUGCUGGUAUUAUUUUGCAAGCUACAAUAAUAAUUAAAACACCUUUAGUUUGACUCGUACCUCAAAGUUUCAUUAUUUUCGUAGGUACGCAUGUUUAUACUUUCAAGGUACAUGGUCAGAUAUAUCACAAGCUAGAUCAAUUAAAGCCCAGUGCGAAGAGUCCAAGGCACAUGCAACUGUAUUUUUAUGAUACGGAUGGGACUAUGGCACAUGAAGCACAUUGGUCUCCUUAUCUUGAUGCCAAGUUGAUUAGAACCGUUUUGGAUAUACAGAUAUAGAAUAACAAUCCGUAUGUCCAUACAUUCCGACAUCUAGAUCAGGUGCCAAACCUUCAUGAAUACAAGAUUGAAUUGAAUACGAGCAUUUCUGUGGACCAGAGGAGAUUUAAUGCACCGGCAAUGGAUCAGGUGGCCACCAUCUGCCAGGAUGGAUCAGAUGAGCAGCGUAAAUUUCAAAAGAGUAUAAUGGUACAUGCAAACUGUCGUUGUCAAGAUUUGCGGAUCGAGACUUAGACUAGUAAAUUUCUUUUAUGCGCGUAAGGCUUCGGAUGGUGGCGUGGGAGACACGGGGUUAGACUAGUUCGGGCAAAGGAAGGCCCUACGUCCAGUAUCGGGAGAUGCUUGUGUUACCCACGCGGGGUUCUGUAGUAGGGGUUACAGUAGUGUGAGAGAGGGAACCGAUCCCAGGUCUCUUGAGAGUGCGCUUGUGCUCUAAGUGGGUGCGGGUCCGUUCUAUUUGCCUGGAAGGCCCCCCCCCCAUAUCUCAGGCCCCCGGUUCUCCUUUUAUAGCGCAAGGAGGCCACCGAGGUUACAGGUGAGACCGACUGUCAGGAGAAGUAAAAGAGAUAAACAAAGCUAGGUAGAAAACAACACAAGGAGAGGGACCAAGUCCCCAGGCCACCGGCGCCCUCGCCGGUCUUCGGCUCCUGCCAUCGCGUCUGCCGGAGAAGGACGGCCACCGUCGCGUCCCGUCGAUGGUCUCCUCGACAGCUGUCGCCGCCAUGCGCGAUGAUGGUGUUUCGUCGUGGCACCUGUGUCCAUUGGGGGAGGUGGCGGAUCCCGCCAUCUGCUGACGGCCCGCGGAAGGCGGACGUCGCGUCCCUGUCGCCGGAUGCGUGGGGUGCGAGGACGGGCGCGACUUCCUCCUGCUCCAGGCGGCGCAAGCCAUGAGUGCCCUGCUGCGAAUCAGGGGGAUCUACGGCUACUGUAGCCUGUGCGGUCGUGGCUACAGUGUUCCGCUCGGGUACUUGUGGCGGGUCACGUCGAGGGCGCGGGCGCCUUUCUACGUGCCAGAGCCGCGGUGCAUUUAUGGCGAGACCGCUGGGGGGCCCACAAGAUCCGCACCCUUUUUCGUCAGUCUACGCCCGUGGUGGACACUUGUCUCGUGGGCCGGGAUGAGUCCGACCCCCUACGCCCGGGGUCGGGCGAAGCGGAGCCUUGCGGCGAGGGGUUGGGCGCUCCCGUCCCUGGGACCGCGGUCGGGCGAGGCGGAGUCCCGCCAUCGACGGGUCGGGAUUGUCCGACCCCGGGGCCCUGGGUCGGGCGAAGCGGAGCCUUUCGGUGAGGGGUCGGGCGCUCCCGACCCUGGGACCGCGGUCAGGCGAGGCGGAGUCCCGCCAUCGAGGAGUCGGGACUGUCCGACCCCGGGGCCCUGGGUCGGGCGAGACGGAGUGGGAUGUUCUCUGCCUCUACUGGGUCGGCGGUAAUCGUAAUUACCGCAGGUGGGCCUGGGCCUUCAUGACUGUUGCUUUAAGCGGCAUUAGGAGGUCGUUAAUAUUUCCCCCCAACACAAACUCAGGUCAUGCACAAUUUAUAAAAGAAUACUAUGGCUGCUAUAAUCCGUUGUGUUAUCCUCUAUUCUAUCCUGGAGGAGAAACCAGUUGGGAGGAUAAAAAGAUAUUGUUGGAAGAAAUACAAGUGGUGCAUUUUCCAAGGAAAAGGAGAAAAUACACUAAGCUCACUAUGUGAUUAUGAUAUCUACCAGCUGUAACGUUAUUUAUUUGUUGCAUUUUUCUUGCAGAUACAAAUGGUGGAUUGCUGAAAGAUAAGGGUCAAUCUUCAUGUACAAGAGUUGAAACUACACAAGUUGAUAGAUAUAAAAGAAUGCCAUCAAGAAUUGUUGGUGGUGGUGCCGAACAAGGUUCCAUUUUAGAUUUAUUGAGUUAGAUUUAUCCUGCUCACAAUUUUUAUAACGUACAUGUAUCUAAUUACAAGUGAUUGAUACAGAUAAUUAUGAAGAGAUUGAUGGAGAGAAUGAUGGUGGCUAUGGGGACAAUGAUUAUGGUAACAGGUGUGUGUAUAUGUUUUUACAUUGUAUUUUUUGCUAUAAUUUUAUCAAAUGUGUCAUUUUAAAUGAUAUAUGUGUUUUAACUUUUUUUGCAAAUGUCAUACGUGUAUAGGUAACUCAGGGUCACGACUGCACGUGAGUGCGUGGGAGUAUUACUGUUAUAUCAUGCAAAUACGUGAGGGGGUGUUUAACAUAUGUUUCUAUGGAGGACGUCUAUUUCAACAGUUGAUUGUUGAUAUCUAUAUAAAGAUUGAGUCCAUGCACUUGGAUUGGUACUCUAAUCCAGACCACUAGAAGAUUAUAUGGGUGUUUGAAAAACCAUUUGUCAUUGUUACUGUGCUUUCUGCCAAUGCAUAUGAAUUUACAUUAGGGUUGUAUCCAUUAUCAAUGUUUCUUGCAUUAAUUAAUUUUUUUUAAAACAGGGCAUCCUUGACACCCUUGCUUUUGGAGAGGUGGAUGCUUUAAAGGCUGGUAAACAAAUUGUGCUAACUAAGAAUUUUCCUGGAAGUGAUCGUGAUGUCUGUGCAAGGUUCAUGGAUGCAAUGGCCUUAGUUGCACGCUUUGGUCGCUCGGAUUAUUUUGUGACAAUGACUUGCAAUCCUUAAUGGCCAGAGAUUAUGGAACAGUUGUUGCCUGGACAAACACCACAAGACGGACCAGAUAUUGUUGCAAGGGUGUAUCAUGCGAAACUACUUGACCUUCAUGAUUUCUUGAUCAAUAAGGGACACUUUGGAAAGGUGGCUGCUUGGGCACAUGUCAUUGAGUUUCAAAAGAGGGGUUUGCCGCAUGAGCAAUUUUUUGCUAAUUUUGGACAAGAGUGCUAAGCUGAGCGGCCUGAUGAUUUUGAUAAGAAUAUAUCAGCGGAGCUUCCUGAUGAAAAGAAACAUCUAGUCCUCCAUUGACUUGUCUGCACACACAUGAUGCAUGGCCCUUGUAGAACUCUCAACCUGCAUUGUGCAUGCAUGGUGGAUGGCCAGUGUCGUUUCAAGUAUCCACGCUAGUUUUGUAAAGCCACUCAACAAGGAAAGGAUGCAUAUCCUGUUUAUAGAAGGCGUCAAGAUGGACAGAAAGUUUUUAUCAUGAAAAGGUGGUUGGACAAUUGAUGGGUUGUUUCCUAUAACCCCACUCUUUUGAUGCGUUAUAACUGUCACAUUAAUGUCGAGGUAUGUUGUAGCAUCAAAUCUAUUAAGUAUCUCUAUAAGUACAUUUAUAAAGGACAUGGCUGUGCCUCCUUUUCGGUCGAAGAUUGUGCUCAAAAUGGACCUAUAGAGAUCAAUGAGAUCAAGCAGUACAGGAAAGCAAGAUGCAUCACUACAAUAGAAGCAAUCUACAGGUUGUAUCAUUUUCCAAUGUACUCUAUGUCACCCCCUGUUCUGCAAAUGCAGGUGCAUAUGCCCGGUAUGCACAUGGUUCCAUUCAAUGAGACCGACAACCUUGAAGAAGUAGCGCAGCGUUCACAGUCGCAACAGUCAAUGCUUACAAAGUAUUUUAGGAUGAACAGAGAAGAUCCUAAUGCACCCAAGUAUCUGUACAAGGAGUUUCCAGAGCAUUUUAGGUGGAUCAAAUCUGAAAAAAACUGGAAACCUAUGAAGAAUAAACUCUUUCAGAGUGGAAAGCUUGUUUAUGCACACCCCACGGAAGGUGAUAGGUACUACCUACGAGUUUUGCUAAACCAUGUUAGAGGAGUAACUUCAUUUGUUGCACUUUGCACUGUGCAUGGUAUGCUAAGUCCGACUUUAGAAAAGCUUGUGAGGUGCUGGGCCUUGUGGAGACUGACAAGUCUCUAGAUGAUGCACUGACUGAAGCUAAGUCAUUUAAAAUGCCUUGUGCUUUGAGAAGAUUGUUUGCCAUGAUUAUCGUAUUUUGUGAGUACACCAAUAUCCGUGGACUUUGUGACAAGCACUUCGAAUCUAUGGCUGAAGACUAUCGUCAAACUCAUGGGAGUUGCAGAUUGGUUCUUCAACUCGUGCUCAAGGACAUAGCGGAUAUCGUUCGUUCGAUGGGCAAGGACAUGAGGAGCUAUGGUCUUCCUGAGCUUGAUGAGUCAGGUUAGAUUGUUUGGCAUUAUUUGGAUAUUAGUGUUUAUUUUUUAUUAUACUUAAUGAUGCCAUUAGAGUUCGAAUGAUGAGUGGAUGGAAAUAAUUUAUAAAGUUUAAGAUAUUGUUUGUGUUUUUAAUCAUUGUAACUAUAUUAGCAUUGUGAACAUUCUGUGUGUCACUUUAGUUUUCUUUCAUAUAUGACAAGGUUUACUUUCAUAUAAAUAAUGCACAAUUUUCGUGGUUUCAUAAGCAUGUAGUAUAAAUUGUUUGUUACCUCCAUAGAACAGUUAGCUUUAUAUGUAGUGGUCCUAAUAAAAAAACUAAGUGACAGAUUUUUGUUGCCUUUUUUUGAAAUUUAUUUUUUCAAACUGAACCCUUUCUGUUGUCUUGCUAAAACUGUAGCAUCUUACAUGAGGUGUGAAUCCUGUAGCCAUUGAUAAUGUAUAAUAGAUGAGUGGAUCUUCAUAGUGCUAUGGCUGUGGUGAGUUAUUAGAUGGUCGCCUUGAUAAGAAAUUAGUAUUACAACAUUCAAACAGAUUUGUACUGAUAUGUAGAUAAAACACCAUGUGUCCUACCUAAUAGACAUGCUAACUUUUUCUGUUGUUGCUCGUAUAUACUUCGUAAACAUUAAAUAGUUGCACCACACGUUACUGAUCGCACUAGGACGUGAUGCAUUGUAUAUUAAUGGUACCAUUUACCGUUGAAAUUUCAAACUAUAUGUGCAUUCCAUCUAAAAACAAUGUAUGUAAUUUUUACUUGUUGUUUAUUAGUUACAUUUAUUUCCAUAUAACCACUUCUUAAUAUUUUUUUUUGGCAAAUAACAACAGAUGACAAGUCAAGAGACUACUAUAGAGAGCUAAUAGAGGAGAGAAAAAUUGGUUUCAAAGAAGAGAAUCUGGGAAUUAUAGACACGUUGAAUGCGGAACAGAGGGCUGGUUUCCAUGAAAUAUUAGAUCAUGUGGUUACUAACUGAGGCAAGGUAUUCUUUGUUGAUGGUCUUGGCGGAACCAGCAAGACGUACCUGUAUAGGGUAUUGCUUGCUAAGGUGCGCUCCAUGGAUCUUAUUGCAAUCGCUACCACGACAUCUGGUAUUGCAACCUGUACUAUGCCAGGUUGUCGUACUACACACUCUAGGUUAAAAAUCCCCAUCAAACUCGGUGAUAAUUCCGUAUGCAACUUUACGAAGCAAAGUGGUACAUCUGCAUUGUUGCAUACAGCUUCUUUGAUUAUAUGGGAUGAAGUUGCCAUGGCCCGAAGACAAGCAGUUGAGACGCUUGAUCGAUCAUUGCAAGAUAUAAUGGGUUGUACUGAACCUUUUGGGGUAAGGUUAUGGUGUUUGGAGGAGACUUUAGACAGAUUCUUCCUGUUGUGCCUCGCAGGACAAGAGCCGAGAUCACUGAUGUGACACUGCAGCGCUCAUAUAUAUGGGACAAGGUACGGAUGAUACGACUGCAGCAGAACAUGAGAGCACAAUGAUAGUUGGUACUCUAAUUUUCUGCUAAGGAUUGGCAAUGGGAUUGAAGAAACAUACACCAAUGAUUAUGUACAGCUCCCCGAUGACAUUAUCAUUGGGCACAACUCUGAUAAGUCAAUCAACACACUCAUCGAGCACGUGUUCUGGAUCUUAAAGGUUGUUGUAACUCUAUGCAAUAUAUGCGCGAGUGUGCAAUUCUUUCCAUGAGGAAUGAGCAUGUUGAUGGGCUUAAUGCUAGGAUGAUCGACAUGUUUCCAGGUAAAGAAAAGGUAUACUAUAGCCAUGACUCGGUUGACAAUGACACCAACAAUAACUAACCUCCUGAUUUUCUUAACUCGAUUACAACGAACGGAUUACCUCCUCAUGAGCUCAAGGUCAAGAACAAUUGUCCCGUUAUACUCCUUCGGAAUCUUGAUCCUCAUAAUGGGCUUUGUAAUGGUACUCGGUUGGUGGUGAGGGGGUUCGAAGACAACGCAAUUGGUGCUGAGAUUGUUAAUGGCUAGCAUGCCGGGAGUAGAGUUUUUCUACAAAGAAUACAUCUGUCCCCUUCAGAGGAUAUUACACUUCCAUUCAAGUUCAAAAGAAUUUAAGUUCAAAAGAAAGCAGUUCCAAUCAGGCUGAGUUUUGCAAUGACCAUUAAUAAGGCUCAGGCAAACUAUACCGAAUGUUGGCAUAUAGCUCUCUGAACCUGUGUUCUCUCACGGUCAGUUAUAUGUUGUGUUGUCUAGAGGUGUUUCCCGAAAGACUACAUGGGUAUCGGCUAAGCCCAACAAGGAUGUUGACCCUAAUGGGAAAAGAACUAAGAACGUUGUUUAUAGGGAUGUAUUGGAAGCAUAGAAAAAUGUGAGUUUACUGCGCUCUACCUAAGUAAUGGUGUUUUAUUUUUUGUGUACUGUUCCAUCAAAGGUUAAAUAAAUGAAUAACUUUCUUCUUUGAUUAUCAGAUGUACAAUAAUGACAACUCUAAUAUUAAGUAAAUAUUCUCUAUGGAAAUCUCUUAUUGUCGGACCUUACUUGGAUGCAUCUGCUUGAUUGUAGUUAAAAUAUGCUAUUUUUUAUCAGAUUAAAGCUAGCCCCACCUCUGCAAUUAUAUCUUGACCCUGAUAGCUUUUACCACUCAAAUCUAUCUAUGAAAUAUAGAAUCUUUAGAAAUUCAAUGGUCACUUGAACUGAUUAGUUGUUCUAACUAAACUGUGAAUAACUCGAUUAAGCGAUUAAGUUGUUAUGUGCUGGAAAAUGUACCUUGCUGUCUAAUUUAUUUUUGGUGCGUGCAGAACAAGAUGCAGUCCGCAUUGUAGCAAGAGCGGCUCUCUACUUUGAUAACUAUGCAGGUAUCUUCGAAUCAGUCUACAUUUGUUCAAGAUCAUUGGCUACGUCCAAUCUUAAAUUGCUAAGAUCAAGAACGCCAUGAAGAUGGUCCAGGACUUCCAUCUAAUGGUGGAGAGCUGGAUAUUGAGGGCCUGUUUGGCAACCAUGUGUUAAAGUUUAACACAUGUCACAUCGGAUGUUUGGAUGCUAAUUAGGAGUAUUAAACAUAGGCUAAUUACAAAACUAAUUGCACAGAUGGAGUGUAAUUCACGAGACGAAUCUAUUAAGCCUAAUUAGUCCAUGAUUUGACAAUGUGGUGCUACAGUAACCAAUUGCUAAUGAUGGAUUAAUUAGGCUUAAUAGAUUCGUCUCGCGAAUUAGCACAGGGUUCUGCAAUUAGUUUUAUAAUUAGCUCAUGUUUAGUUCUCCUAAUUAGCAUUCGAACAUCCGAUGUGACACUGUUAAAGUUUAACACCUCGUAUCCAAACACCCCCUGAGUCUUUUUUGUUAAUUUAGGAUCCAAGGUUGCAGUGGAGUAAAACAGUUUUAUAUGAAAUAAAUGGAAUUUUCUUAAUGGUUAGUGUUAGUUACCGUUUUGUUUGAAGCAAAGUGGUGUGUUUUAAGUUUUUGUCUGAUGCAAAAUUAUUAAUAGAAAAUUCUUAUUUAUUAUUUUUUAAAACACGUGCCUGCCGCACGUGUACUCUACUAGUAGUAGUAAAGUAAAAGAUAAACGAUAGCUUUUAAUUAGUAUCCCUGUGUGCUUAGAUGUAGUUCCCCCGCAGGGAACAAGCACAAUAUUAAGAAAUACCAGGAGCGCACCGAACCACCGAUUUCCGACAUAUAUAGUGUAAAGCUUUCUCUUUUCGAUCAGGCACGUGGACAGGAUUCUCUUUCUGGAUUCAGCACGCGCCAGCUCUUCCACGCUCACGGAACAGGUAAUUCUCUUUCUGGAUUCAGCACAUGCUUCUAAUUCGGAUAGGUUUCGGGAUAGAAUUUAGAUCAAUUCAUCAGGUUAGCUGAUCACAGCGCCUGGAACACACCUGUGGAUUUUUGACUCAGCCGUGGUGCUCAGUAACGCAAGCGCAAAUUCAUUCACAUUUACACAGCUAGACACACACAAACGUCCUUCGCCAUGCUUCUUUAUUCCAGCGGAUGUUCCUCGGCAAAUGUAAAACUCCUAAUCGAUCGACUACACAAUCAGAGAAUGACAUGAGCAGUGAUGGAAAUGUACGGAGAAGGAACCGAAAAGUAAUCGACAAUGGCUCACAAUCAAGUUCAUCAAUUGCCGAGAUGCCCAUGGAGCUCCUCCGCGUCCGCCAAGAACCGGUCAAACGCAACCCGCGACGAGCCUCCCUCCCGUAGCGCCGCCUCCGCUUCCUCCUUGCGCGCGGCCACCCGCUUCCUGAGCUCCCUCCCCUCCUCGGACUCCAUCACCAGCCUCACCUUCCUCUCCACCUCCUUGGCCCCGACGAACCCCGCCGCGUACCCCUCCAUCUCCACGGCGACGCCCAUGCCCCCUUCAUCCGUCAUCAGCACCUUGUUGAGCAUCUGCUCCGAGUAGAGCGGCCAGCAGAGCAUGGGCACCCCGGCCGCGACGGCCUCCAGCACCGAGUUCCACCCGCAGUGCGUCAAGAACGCGCCCGCCGACGGGUGCCGGAGCACGGCGGCCUGCGGCGCCCACGACGCGACCACGAGGCCCCGGCCCCGGGUCCGCUCCAGGAACCCCGCCGGGAGCAGCGCCUCCAGGUCCGGCUCGGGGCGCUGCUCCAGGAGCUUCUUCGGGUCGUCGGUGCCGGCCGGCGUGCGCACCACCCAGAGGAACCGGUGCCCGGAUCUCUCCAGCCCGGCGGCGAUCUCCCGGAGCUGCGAUGCCGGGAGCGUGCCCCUGCUCCCGAAGCAGAGGUACACCACGCUGCGCUCCGGCUGCGCGUCCAGCCACGCAAGGCACCCGUCGCGCCUCUCUUGCGUCUCUUGGUCCGCCGCCGAGUCCGCACCGUCGCCAACGAUGGGCCCGACGCAGUAGACCGGCGGCAGCGCCUUGCCGGGGCCGACGCCGCACCGGAGAUGCCGGAGCGCCUCCACGGCGCGGGGCUCCAGCGACUCGAACGUGUUCACCACGACGCCAUUCAUGUCGGCGAUGCGCCUCCAGACGUCGACCAUGGCGCUGCACAGGUCCUCCUCCGGGUGCUCGAGCAGCUCCUUCACGAGGUGCGACGCCGGGAUCGGCGGGACGCCGGCGAACUCCAGCGGCGCGUCCCCGAGCUCCUUGAGGCCCUCCCGCCUGCCGGCGAGCAGCGCCGGCAGCUGCGCAACGACGGCGAAGAACCCGGCGCCCGAGGCGAAGAAGGUGUAGGCGAGGACGCCGAGCUCAGCGGCGACCUCGGCGGCGUAGGUGGAGAACAUGCCGGUGACGACGGAGUGCAGGCGGCGGCGCGGGAAGGAGCGGAGGAAGCGCGCGAGCUCGCCGUUGUACCGCCGCAGCAGCUGGAGAAUGUGGAAGAAAGGGGGCUUGCUGGAUCCCGCGAAGUCGGGGGGCGACGGGUCGGGAGGGAGGAAGUGGAACGUGAUGGCCGGGUUGGCGGCGAUGACAAGCUGGGUGGCGGCGGCGCCGGAGUCGGAGGACCAGAAGGGACGCUCGAUGAGCACCAUGGUGACGUCGAGGCCGCGGCGGAGGAGGACCUUGGCGAGCUCCGUCAUGGGGAUGAUGUGGCCCACGCCGAAGCUCGGGUACAUCACCACGGUCUGCCGCUGCUCCGCCUUGGGCGCCAUGGCGUUCUUCUCCUUCAGGACGCCGGCGCUGAUGUGGGACGGAGUGGAUGGACAUGGUGGUGCGUGACUGAACUGACAGUAUAGAGUACGUAGGUCAGCCUCGCACGAGAAGAAAGCAGCUGAUAACUUGGCUGUCGGUGGCAAAGGUGGCUGAAAGCUUUAUGGGCGGGAGGAUGCCUUUCCUGGAGGUUGCAGCCUCAAUAAUUCUUGGGAGAAGUUGCUCAAAAAAAAUCUUGACAGAAGGCAAAGAAUAGUCAAUAGACAUGCAACGUGCAGCUGGCUGGUUGCUUUGCAGCUGGCUGCUGCCUGCUGCAGCUUGCGUGCACAGCAGCUGCUGUGAUAGAGAGCCGAGCAGCAGCAGCCAGCCGACACGGCCUGUUCGCUUCAACUUAUUCAGUCGGCUUAUCAGCCACCAAACAGUGUUUUCCUCUCACCACAAAUCAGCCGUUUUAGCUUUUCAGCCGGCUUAUAAGCUGAACAGGCCUGGCCUGUUCGCUUCAGCUCAUAAGCCGACUGAAUAAGGACUUUUUCUCCCUGAAGAAAGGAUAAGGACUCGGUGUACAAAAGUUAUCCUUAUUUAAAAUCAAAAACACUUGUUGUUUAUGCUAGUUAAACUAAUGAUAAGGUGUCUGCUAAUAAGACAUGAUUAUGCAUGUUUUUUUCUUUUUUUGAUACUCAUGCAUGGUUGAUUAUGGGAAGCCCUUACCCUUUGGUAGAAUGGAAGAACCAAGGAGCUGAUAGAGCUGCGGCAGGAGGCCAAGAUUAUUGAGGUACAGCGUGAGGGGAUGGAUUUAGGGCAUUUAGCUAGGAGAUCCAUUCACGCUGCAGUAUAUAAUAAGGGGGUGUUUGGAAGGAGGGGGCUAAACUUUAGCCCUGUCACAUCGGAUGUUCGGAUACUAAUUAGGAGGACUAAACAUAAGCUAAUUACAAAACUAAUUGCAGAACCCCUAGGCUAAAUUGCGAGACGAAUCUAUUGAGCCUAAUUAAUCCAUCAUUAGUGAAUGGUUACUGUAGCACCACAUUGUCAAAUCAUGGACUAAUUAGGCUUAAUAGAUUCGUCUUGCGAUUUAGCCUAGGGGUUGUGUAAUUAGUUUUGUAAUUAGUCUAGAUUUAAUACUCCUAAUUAGUGUCCAAACAUUCGAUGUGACGGGGGCUAAAAUUUAGCCCCCUCCUCCCAAACACCCCCUAAGUUGAGGCAAGUGCCACUUGCAUUGCCCACUAGUUGAAUCUUAUUGUAAUGUAGUGUCCCCUAACUAAUCUUUAAAGAUCAUGUUUAUUUGCCUAAAAAAGAAACUAAAACAAAUUUGCACCUUUGUAAGGUGACUUGUAUCUUUUAUGGGUAAUUUUUUCUAGCCCUUUGUGUAUGAAACGUAAUUUGCACUAUAAUUUGUUCAAUAAAAUUCUUAUACUCGAUAAGUCAUUUCUAUGGCCUAUAGUAGUUCCCAAGUAACAAUAUCCACUUGUUAAAAAAAAGUGUUGCAGCUUCAUGAGGAAUUGAAAAUAGUGUGCCUCAUAACAAAAUGUGCUACGCAAAAGAGAAACAAAAAGUGUCAGUCAUCUGAACGGUUAUAUGUAGAUCCAAUAAUUAAAGAAAUGACUUACGCAUAAGCCAGAUCUAAGCCAUCUUAGAUGCCCCCCCCCCCAAAAAAAAAAAAGACCACCAAGCAAAAUUUUCCAUUGAUUAAACCGUAAUUUUUACAUUGUUUGUUGGUUUCACAGUUCGAUUAACAUAGGCGGCCCUUCCUGGUUGCUUGGUCAAGCUCUGCCCGGGUUGAGUUUGAGAUCUUUCUUUCAUUCAUGCAACACAAACCAUUUUAACUUCUUCUAUAAUUUAGCAGAGCUCCUGCUUUUUUUUAUUUUUAAAAAUCUUAUAAACUAGCUGGCGAUAUAAAGGUCGCUUUUCCUCCUGCUUAAUGAAAAACAAGUAUGGCGCGUUCAUAAAGAAAGGAUGGAUGGGUGUCUUCAAUCUUAAACCGUUGAAAACCUAUCAAACUUUGUGUAUCUUCCAAACUAUUACACGUAUUUAGCACAAUCCAUGCAUGUGUAAGAGUGUCAGGUUCAUCAAGCUAACACAUAAGGUGAAUUUGAAUUUAAAGGUUAAAUUUGCAUUAUCGGGACCAGGGAAUUUUUUAUUAUUAUUAUUUUCUUUUACGUUAUUUUUUUCUUUUACGAAUUUGCAGAAAUAAAUACCCGAGCAAAAAAAUCGCAGAACUAGACCUGUAUCGCCAGUUGAAAUGUCGGUAAGUUAAAAAAAAUUAAAAGGAGUUACCGCCAGUUCAAACGGCAGUUGGUUACAUGGUGGUGAUGUGGUAGCGGAGGGGGAAUUUACCGUCAUUUCAAACAGCAGUAAGUUCCCCCUCCCACCAUUCCGCCGGUGGCAGGAGGUGGAGCAGCCAUUUCAAUCGGCUGAUUUUUUUAUUAUUUUUAUUUCGUUUAAUUUUUUCUCUAAGUUAAAAAAAAAAAAUAAAGUUAGAUUGGAAGCACUAAAUGUUCGAAUAUGUCACUAUUGGUUGCAAUAUGAAACUUCCUAAUUUGAGGGAGAUAGAACCCUUCGAGGAAAUAAUUGAAAUUGAAUUAACUCCCGGCUAUUAAAUACAUAGCUGUUUCCAGCAAAAUUGCAACAUAUAAAAAUGAAAUUUGUGUACAACAUACGAACACCAAUGACUCUAGACUGAACAAUUAAUUAUAGAUUGUAGUGGCAUGUGCGGCAUGGAUGCUAUCCUAAACAUGUGCCGUUGCUAAACCUAACAUGCCUUAGGUAAUUGAAAUAGCCGGGAUAGGGUCAUCUCUACUUUCUAGUAGAACUAGCUUUGAGAGAGCUGGGAGGGUCCAGCCUCAUAGUAGCCAGCACCCCCAGAGGAAGGCGAUGACAGUGGGCAAUCCUUUGUUGUGGUGAUAGGGGCACUUGCACCAUGAGUCGGUACAAAUCAAGUCACCUGCGAUGUUUGCCCAAGGAUUUGCAUCAACUUUGGAUUGAAGAUCCUCUACCCUACGCUCGAGGUCAAAGAUCUUACACUUGAGGUAGUGGAUUUACUCUUGAGUUGGCUCAUGAAGUGGAGGAUCGACCCACUUCGCAUAGCGGCAGUUUCCUUCAUCGAGAUAAGACUGAACAUGAUGUUAGUUUGUAGCAUGAAAAGCUUAGCAAGAGUAAGGAAGUAAUAACAUUACUCACGAAGCCAUAUAGGCAUCAAAAGAAAUGCCAGCUUCCAUUACUGUUGGGGAUAGAUUACCAGUACACGCAAGGAAGGAAGAAGUUGGACUCCUUCUAGGAUUCUCCUGUAAUCCGACUAGGACUCAUAUCGUGUACCCCUACUAGGACUCCUCCUUGUAAUCCGACUAGGACUCCCACCCCCUGGAGUAUAUAAAGGAGGGCAAGGGUACCUAAAUCAGCAGAAUACAUCUCAACACCCAAGCGCAUGGCGCAAUAUACAAACACCCCCAAAACAGGACGUAGGGUAUUACACUACUCUGGCGGCCCGAACCUAUAUAAAUCUGUGUCUUGUGCCCUCGCUUUUACCUUCAAGUUCCAGGUCCGGUGAUCCCCCGCUACACAUUCUGCUACCUCGAGUACCCCUUGGUAGACGGCCGGUAUAAAACACCGACAUUGGCGCCCACCGUGGGGCACAUCGUCGAGAUUAUUAGGCGAGCUUGAAGGAUCUCAUCUUCAAAAUCAAUCUACUCAGCGUGCCAAGGUGGUUGUUUCGACCAAUAAGCAACUCAACAAGCUCUUGCGUCGACUCCAAAGCACAUUGGUUUCCGUCCAAUUUGGUCAUAGGAUCAUCUGCAGAGGCGCCGAGCAUGCUACAACAGAGGAGGUUAACCCACACGAUUCUCUGUGUUGUCUAUCAAUGCAUCACAACUGUCUCCGUUCCUAGCCGGACACGGAACGGACAAAGGUUCUUUUCUCGUGUCCGAUUCCAAGAAGGAACACCGGCUGCUCAAGCGUGGAGGCUUCUGAGUACAUCUCGUGAAAAAAAAAACAAAAACAAAACAAUUUGAGGCGUAAUGAGAUAAAAUUACUUAUAUGUAUUGCGCACAUGGAUCAAGACAGGGAGCAGUUUUUGCUACUGCUCAAAGCAUUGUGCUACACGCACACGGAGGCUAUCAUGAAGCUUCAAGACGUACAGAAAGUACACGAGUACUGCUCCAGCCACAUCUAGCCGCAAAUUACCUCGUCAACAACUCCUUCAGCUUCGUUGAUGACAACUUCGACUACUCGUCUCGAUUACUUCGUCGAGUGGCUCGCCAGUGACUACUCCGACUACAUCGUAACGUCUACCGAUGACUUCUCCGACUACGUCGCGGCGCUCACCGAUGACUCCUCCUAUGGCAUCGUGGCGCUUGUCGUCGACGACUCCUACGGCGUCGUGACGCUCGCCGAUGACUACUCCGACUAUAUCGCGAUGCUCACCGACGACUACUCCGGCUACGUCGUGACGCUCACUGACGACUACUUCGACAGACGACUCGCCGGCAACUAUGGCGACUACUCAUCUUGACUAAAAAACUAGUCGGGGGCGGGCCUCCCGCCGUCGACAACUAGCUGGAAUCAACUCCGACUAGUCGGCUUCAUCAACAAUCGUCGCGGUUUCAUCGACGACCGCCACGGCUUCAUCGACAAUCGUCCACGAAUCAAACUAAGUCACUUUUCUGACUAUUUCCUAGCUUGCUUUCCUCUUGCGCGCAACAAGCGCUCUACUCGCCGGAGGGUAGCAAACUCUCUCGCGCUACCGUGCUCUGUUUUUAUCGCAACAGCGACUAUUCCUUUUUGUCUUCUCUUAAGGUCACUACUCUUCUCGAGCAGAACACGCCUUAAUUCGUGAAAGCCUCGGGUGCACCUGUGACGUCAAAUGCUAGCACACAUACACGUGCAAACAGCAAUGCCCAUACGCGUACACAAGACACAGCUCUCACACACGCAGCGGCUACGCUAAACAGGGACUGAGAGCCUAAAACGUAACAGGCUAACUACUCGGGAAGAGUAUGAUUGGAACAAGAGUAUGACACACAAUGUUUACAUUGAUCGCUGAAUAAAUUUCAACAGUUUCAAUAUUCUGCAAAAAUGCUACAUAAUGUAUGCAUCUUUUCUUUCAGGCCAAGCUUCGGCGACAAUGCCCGUUGUGACGCUAAGCGUGCCUCCAGAGGCACAGACUAGUUCCCGAACUCGGAGGCUAAGCACCAAUCACUACUUGGAAUAUCUCCAGUGGCCCAGCUAACUCUCAGGCUUGGGGGCUAAGCGCCAAUAAACUACUCGACGUGGCUCCUAUGGCUCACCUGGCACAUAAGCUCGGGGGCUGGAUGCCGCAAAAACUACUCGGAUGAUAACUUGAGUGAAAAUUCAAGACCUUUGAGUUGAUUUUUCAAUCAAUUCAAGGCUCGGGGGCUGAUAAGCUACACCCAAGACUUUUUUCAUGCUGAAAGAAGAAGAUUCAAGAUUUUGACCCUCAGCCUGAUUCUGCGAUUCAACCUAAGGCUCGGGAGCUACUCCAUAUGGAGUGCGACUUUCGCCGCCCUCCAUACAUGAAGAUUGCAAUAUCAAGAUGAUCAAGGCUUUGAGCACACCAUAGCCUCAUGGCAGCUUUGAGAAGCUUUGAAGAUUCCGCCAGAUAAAGUACUCGCGGAACACCAAGACUACUCGGCAAAUAUCUUAAAAGUACUUGAAGACUACUGCAUUCGACUAUGAAGCGCUCGGGGGCUUGUCGGGGAUAGAUCCCCAGUACCCGCAAGGAAGGAAGAAGUUGGACUCCUACUAGGAUUCCCCUGUAAUCCGACUAGGACUCAUACCGUGUACCCCUACUAGGAAUCCUCCUUGUAAUCCGACUAGGAUUCCCGCCCCCUGGAGUAUAUAAAGGAGGACGAGGGUACUUAGAUCAGCAGAACACAUCUCAACACCCAAGCGCAGGGCGCAAUAUACAAACACCCCCAAAACAGGACGUAGGGUAUUACGCUACUCUAGUGGCCCGAACCUGUAUAAAUCCGUGUCUUGUGCCCUCGCUUUUACCUUCAAGUUCCAGGUCCGGCGAUCCCCCGCUACACAUUCUGCUACCUCGGGUACCCCUUGGUAGACGGCCGGUAUAAAACACCGACAAUUACCGUAGCCAUCAAACAGCUGCACGAUGCAAGCCACACCAUGGUGACACAUUGGUCAGCAUCAUGGCGGUCAUCAUAAGGCCUAAGGCAGUUUGGAGGGGCGUAGUUAGCCAUAUCAUACAGAGGGAAGUCAUCGAGAGGUGCCUUAUACUCCGUUGGGCUAAAAGAACCUGGCCAAGUGAUGGUGGGAAUAGGAGCAUCUCCUCCUCUUCCCCUCCUCCCACGACAUCUCCCUCUUGCGGACGUCAUUGUUCUUCCUCCUACUCAGUGGUGUGGAAGGAUACGGGAGAGGGAGGUCCAUAUAAGGAGUGUUGAGAUGGAGAUGCACUGUGCCCCCAUUUGUUCAGUACCCCGUCAUGUUCAAUCAUCCUGAAAAAAGGUUAAAUAUAGGCUUUGCAGGUGCAGGGACGUAGGGCCCAAUGUGGAGUCCCAUCUGCCUAAGAAGGCUCACGUUUAGGGUCCUUGCAGUCCAUUAUGUAGGCUUUUCAGUGACAGUUCACGUCAACAGUGGAUUAGCGCUAUUUGAGUAUUGUACUAGCAGCAGAGUAGUAUAAUGGCAAUAGUGUGGAAUCUGAGUACUUGAAGCAUCAAGAAGAAAUGUUAUUAAAGUGCAAACAACAGUACAAUGGCAUAUGAGGUGCCCAACAUGACAAACCUAAAGAGCACCUUGCCUAGGAUAAAAUGCCUUAGGUAAUGUAAAUUGGUGGAUCACAACUAAUGUUCUACUGGGUGAACCGGGGAAGUUUUCCCGUCCUUGCUGUUUUGGAGGAAUAUUCUCUAUCCUGCUUCUUCAUGUUCUUCUGUCGCUCUUCUUCCUAUAGGAGUUGCGCCUGACGAGCUUUGAAUUCUUCCUCAUAGCAUUUCAGUGCUGCCUCUCAAGCACCUAACUCUCACGUCGCCUCUAUAGUUCAUCCUCCUUACCCUUCAAACGAAUCAAUUGUUGGCGGAUGUGUCGCUCUUUCUCGAGCCGAGCAAGACGUGCCGCCACUCGAGCCUCUUCCAGCCUAGCAUAGUAUUGGCCUUUGGUCUCUAGCACCACUAGGAUUAUACCCACCUCCCCUAAAGGUGUAGUGUCAAUCCAUUCCAUAAAUGUGCAAGCCUACAUGUUGAUUCGUGAUUAGUUCUAGGUAUCGGUACAUAGAAAACAUAUUUAAAAUGCUUAUGAACGGACGGAUCUUGAAAUCAUCAUCAAUGUCAGGACACUUGAAGUAACUACACAUCUUCUUCCCCCGAGGUAAUCGAUCCUCCCAUAUUUACACACACGGAAGCUGCAGUGGCAUUUGGGGCGCUCAUUCCAUAGUGGAAUCCUAUUUUGCUCAUCCCUCCAUGACGAUAUUUCUUAGAGGGAGAAGCAACCUCACUACAAGUGUUGCAUUUGGGUUGAAAAUGUUGGAAUACGAGGUAGGCUACGCUAGCGCAAAUCAAAAUUUUCUACCGCGUAUAACCAGGAAGAACUGCCGUAUAAGGAUCACGGGAUUACCACUCGACGCACUACUGGUGCGGAAGAUGUAGAUAUGCGUCGGUGCAGUGAAGACGAUCACGUAGUCGUACGUAGUCGAUCACGUCUAGCAGCUUCUCAGCAGCUCGUCCACGUGCAGCAAGAUCGCCUCCGGUGCCGCGGCUCGUCGUCGGCUCGUCGUGGCUCGUCGGCGGCUCGUCGAUGGCUCGUCCAAGUGCUGCAGGCGCAACACCUCCAAGGUAUCCACACGUGCAGGGAGGAAGCGUCGCAAGCCGGAUUGCUAGAUCCGCGAGUUGCAACAGGCGAGGGCAUGGGAGGCGCGGCAAGUCUGUUUCGCCAAAAGGUGUAAACCCUAGGGUGCCCCCACCCCUCUAUUUAUAGAGGUUCCUGAUGGGCCUCUGGAUCCGAGGCCCAUUAGUACUCCUAAACCUAAUCCAACUCGGAUCAGAUCCGAAUUGGGCUUCCAGCCCCUUAAGUGUGUGACCCUAUGGGUUCGGAUACGUAUAGACAUGGCCCGAGUACUCCUACUCGGCCCAAUAGUCGGUAGCGGCCUCUAGCAAGACGUGCCAACUCCUAUACGCAUACGAAGAUCAUAUCAGACGAACCAUCACAACAUAAUAUACAUGUUAUUCCCUUUGCCUCACGAUAUUUGGUCUAGCUUCAAGCCGACCGCUCUUUCUCGAUCCUGUGAUUCGGAAUCCCUUUGUAGGUUAACUCUUAACCGUACGUAGCAUGGCCAUGCAUUUUCGGAUCCGAUCACUCGAGGGGCCCAGAGAUAUCACUCUCAAUCAGAGAGGGGCAAAUCCCAUCUUGAUUGACCAUGUCUCAUAGCAUGCUUCUUGACAAACCCGAAAGCUACCUUUAUAACUACCCUGUUACGGCGUAGCGUUUGAUGGCCCCUAAGUAGGUCGAUCCACAUCUAGAAUACAUGCGACAAUCUCAGGUCUAAGGACAAAGCGUAUAUGUUGUUUAAAGAGAGAACUACUUCUCGUGUUGGGUCAGUCCCAACACAUGUCUCCACAUGUGUUCACAUUAUUAGUUCAACAUCUCCAUGUCCAUGACUUGUGAAACAUAGUCAUCAACUAAUACAUGUGCUAGUCUAAUAUUCAUGUGUGUCCUCACAUGAACUCCGACUAGGGACAACUUUAGAAUAACCAUACAAGUAAAGAGUUUCACAUACAAUUCACAUAAUUGCAAAUCAAUUCAAGUAGCCUUUAAUGGAUAUUCAAUGAACACAAUAUACAAAUCAUGGAUACAAAUGGAAUAUCAUCAUCUCUAUGAUUGCCUCUAGGGCAUACCUCCAACAGUCUCCCACUUGCACUAGAGUCAAUCUAGAAGGUACCUAAUACCCAUAGCUCUUACAUGCGCAUCAUGCUUAGCUUGCGGGAGUGGUUUUGUCAACGGAUCAGAAAUGUUCAGAUCCGUGUGUAUUUUGCAUAUCUUGAUCUCACCCCGAUUAACGAAGUCUCGAAUAAGAUGAAAUCGCCGCAUUACGUGUUUGUUCUUCUGGUGGUUCCUUGGCUCCUUUGCUUGCGCAAUUGCCCCAUUGUUAUCACAGUAGAGAUUCAAUGGGCUGGACGCAUUCGGGAACACACCAAGCUCAAUGAGGAAAUUCCUUAUCCAAACACCUUCCUUCGCGGCUUCCGAAGCCGCGAUGUACUCGGCUUCUGUCGUAGAAUCGGCCACCGUCUCCUGCUUGGAACUCUUCCAACUAAUAGCACCACCAUUCAGCGUGAACACAAAUCCUGAUUGUGACUUUGAAUCAUCUCUGUCGGUUUGGAAACUAGCAUCGGUGUAACCUGUUACAACGAGCUCCUCCUCACCUCCAUAGACGAGGAACAUAUCUUUAGUCCUUCUCAAGUACUUAAGAAUGUUUUUCACCGCUGUCCAGUGACUCUCACCUGGAUCAGAUUGGUGUCUGCUUGUCAUACUUAGCGCAUAUGAAACAUCUGGGCGAGUACUUAUCAUUGCAUACAUGAUAGAUCCAAUAGCCGAGGCAUAUGGCACUCUACUCAUGCGAUCCCGCUCAUCAGCAGUCGAAGGACACUGAGUCUUGCUGAGAUGUAUGCCAUGUGACAUAGGCAAGAACCCUUUCUUUGCCUCUUCCAUGCUGAACCGCUUCAACACUUUGUCAAUGUAAGUAUCUUGGCUUAAACCUAUAAGCCUUCUCGAUCUAUCUCUAUAGAUCUUAAUGCCCAGAAUAUAUGCCGCUUCCCCUAAGUCCUUCAUCGAAAAACUAUUUUUUAGUGAAGUCUUUACGGACUCAAGCAUAGGAAUGUUAUUUCCAAUCAGUAAUAUGUCAUCCACAUAUAAGAUUAGAAAUACUACAGAGCUCCCACUAACCUUCUUGUAAACACAAGACUCUUCUUCGUUCUUGGUGAAGUCAAACCCUUUGACCACUUCAUCAAAACGAAUGUUCCAACUCCUAGAUGCUUGCUUCAAUCCAUAAAUGGAUCUCUGAAGCUUGCAUACCUUUCCAGCAUUUUUCGGAUCGACAAAACCCUCGGGCUGUAUCAUAUACACGUCCUCAGCUAGGUUUCCAUUCAGGAAAGCUGUCUUGACAUCCAUCUGCCAUAUCUCAUAAUCGAAAUAUGCAGCUAUAGCUAGAAUAAUCCGAAUGGACUUAAGCAUCACUACGGGCGAGAAGGUCUCGUCGUAGUCAACUCCUUGAACUUGUCGAAAACCUUUUGCGACAAGUCGUGCUUUAUAGAUGUGAACAUUUCCAUCCAUGUCCUUUUUCUUCUUAUAGAUCCACUUGCACUCUAUGGCUUUAACACCAUCAGGCGGGUCAACCAAGUUCCAAACUUGAUUGUCUCCCAUGGACUCUAUUUCGGAUUGCAUGGCACUCUGCCAUUUUUUGGAGUCUGGGUCCAUCAUUGCUUCUGCAUAUGUCGCAGGCUCAUCAUUGUCCAACAAUAAUAUUUCCCGCAUUUCGCGGAGCCUUGCCGACCUUCGUGGUUGUGGCGGUGCUUCUCUUGCCAUGGGUAUCUCAACUUGUUCUGCUACGUUAGCAUCACUCAUUGAUUCUUGCCCGAUUGGCUCAUCUUGAACUUCUUCAAGAUGCACUGUCUUUCCACUCUUUUCUCCUUUGAGAAACUCUUUCUCUAGGAAAAUCCCGUUCCGAGCGACAAACACUUUGCCUUCUGAUCGGUUGUAGAAAUAAUAUCCCAAGGUUUCCUUUGGAUAUCCCACGAAAAUGCACUUAUCCGACUUGGGUGUGAUCUUGUCCGACUGAAGUCGCUUGACAAACACUUCACAUCCCCAAAUCUUUAGAAAAGACAAACUAGGAACCUUUCCAGUCCAUAUCUCAUAUGGUGUCUUAACUACGGAUUUAGAUGGUACCCUAUUAAGUGUGAAAGCUGCUGUUUCUAGAGCGUAUCCCCAAAAUGACAACGGUAGAUUCGACUGGCUCAUCAUUGAUCGAACCAUGUCUAACAAAGUUCGAUUACGUCGUUCGGACACACCGUUUCUCUGAGGUGUUCCAGGCGGCGUAAGUUGUGGAACAAUUCCGCAACUCUUUAGAUGAUUGCUAAACUCGUGGCUUAAAUACUCGCCUCCACGAUCAGAUCGUAAGGCCUUAAUUUUCUUGCCACGCUGAUUUUCAACUUCAUUCUGAAAUUCCUUGAACUUUUCAAAGGUUUCAGACUUGUGCCUCAUCAAGUAGACAUAGCCAUAUCUACUAAAAUCAUCAGUGAAAGUUAUGAAGUAUUGGAAUCCUCCUCUAGCCGUCAUGCUCAUUGGUCCGCAUACAUCACUAUGUACGAGUUCCAACAAGUCUACUGCUCUCUCAGGAAAUCCUGUGAAAGGCGUCUUGGUCAUCUUGCCUAGCAAGCAAGCCUCGCAUGUCUCGUAUGAUUCGAAAUCAAACGAAGUUAGAAGUCCAUCAAAAUGGAGCUUAUUCAUGCGCUUAUCACUUAUAUGACCCAAACGACAAUGCCACAAGUAGGUAGGACUCAAAUCAUUAGGCCGAGGCCUUUUAGCACUUACAUUACAGACAGGUGAACCAUCAAGAUUUAAAACAAAUAAUCCAUUCACAAUGGGUGCAAAAGCCAUAAACAUAUUAUUCUUAGAGAUCACACAACCAUUGUUUUCACUCGCAAAUGAAUAACCAUCCUUCAUCAAGCAUGAAGGAGACAAAAUGUUUCGACUUAAACUAGGAACAAAAUAACAAUUAUUCAACUCCAUAAUAAAUCCUGACGGGAGGUGGAGUUGCAUCGUCCCGACGGUCAAAGCAGCAACUCUUGCAUUAUUGCCCACACGGAAAUCAACUUCUCCUAUUUCCACGCUUCUACUUCUUAUCAUUCCCUGCAUCGAAUUGCAAAUAUGAGCAACCGAUCCGGUAUCAAAUACCCAAGAAUUAAUAACUGUAUCAGCGAGAAAUAUGUUGUCUAUAACAUUAACAACAAGCGUACCUGAGGUAGAAGUACUCUUACUUCCGCCAUUCUUCAAGGAAGCUAGGUACUGCUUGCAGUUUCUCUUCCAGUGACCAAGUUCAUGACAGUAAAAGCACUCUUUGUCUGGAGCAGGUCCAGGUCCAGCUUUAACCUUGGGCGGUGGAUUUGGCUUGGACGUUCCAGCCUUGCCCUUCUUCUUCCAAGAAUUGCCCUUCUUCUUAAAGCUGGGCUUGUUCUGUAUCGCCAUCACAUGGCUGGUACUAGCGCUUUUCUUGAUGUCAGCCUCUGCUGUCUUGAGCAUACCACACAGCUCAUUCAGACCCUUCUCCGUCCCAUGCAUAUGGUAGUUCGAGAUGAAGUUCCCAUAGCUAGGCGGAAGAGACGAAAGAAUGAAAUCAGUGGCCAACUCUUGGCCCAGUGGGAAGCCUAGCUUCUCCAACCGUUGAGUGUAACCAACCAUCUUGAUUACGUGUGGUCCUACUGCUACGCCUUCUGCUAGCUUGCUCUCAACAAAGGCCUUAGACACAUUGAACCUUUCAGUCCUGGCCUGUGUUUGGAACAUGUCUCUAAGCGCCACGAUCAUAUCGUGCGCCUCAUGAUUUGUUUCGAACUGCAUCUGCAGCUCGGGUUCCAUGCAAGCAAGCAUAAGGCAGCUUACUUCGAGGUUAGCAUCACAUGCUUUCUUGUAAGCAUUCUUAGCAGCAGCGGGUGCAUCCUCAGCAGGUUCUUCUGGUAGUGGGUUGUCUAGAACAUCUUCCUUUUUCUCAGCCCUGAGAACAAUUCUCAGGUUGCGGAUCCAAUCCGAGUAGUUUGUUCCACUCAACUUGUCCUUCUCAAGGACCGAACGCAAAGCAAACGAUGUGGUGGUGUUGCUAGGUGCCAUUUAAUCUACAACAAAAGUAAUGCAAAAUACACUAAGACAAACGUAUCCAUGAUAGAGCAAAUUACAUUAAACUAUUUUAACAGAAUCUACUCCCACUAAAAUUAAUAUCCCUCUAUUGAAACUUAGUGAUUCAGGAUCCACAACUAACAAGUCUACUAGUGAGCUUUAGCAUCACCGCUAGCAAACGAGGUAGAUCGGUAAGCAACUUUUGCUAAUCAUAUCACAUAUGACUCCUGUUGUUGGGUGACAUCUCCAUGUCUCGGCGCCCAACCUUUAUGCCUCAAGGUCCUUAACCGUUAAGAUGACUUUGUUAAGCAAACCAACCCUUAUGCGUGUAAGUGUCCGACACAAACCCGUCUAGUCAAGGAAAACUAGUGGCACCCUAAUUUCAUAGACCCACCACUAAUUGUACAAGACAUGGGACGGUGCAAGUUUUAGUUGGGAGGGCAUACUAACUUAAACUUUGUGAGGGAUCGUUCUACUUCUAACAUCACAGCAUGCAGAAAGUAAAACAUAAACAGAAUAGCAUUCACACAGCUUGUGACACAGUAUGGCCCGUUUUCAUAUGGUGAUCUCCAUCUCCAUAGAACCUGUUCACCAUGGUGAUCUCCAUCUCCAUGUUCCAUGUGCGCCAUCCUCCUGGUGAUGAGUCCUCCAAGAACUAGAGCAUGCUAUUACGCCUAAUAGCUAGUAAAGAAUCUAGUAAUGAAGAUUACAUAGUUGCUUGGAUCAUCACAGAUUGGUACGCAGACCAUUAAAUACAAUAAAGUGACAACACAUAUGGCUCCUGCCGUGUUGCCGUACGCGCGACACGCAGGUCACGAAUGAGUUACAUACAUGCAUCACAUACACAAGGGGGCCAUACUGAUCACAAGAUACAUGCAUACAUCCUGCAAAACAGAGUUAGGCGUCCUAACGUUCCAAACUUCGGAGGCCCGAAACUCCAUCUUCCAAGCCGAAUUUGGCAAAUCUAAUUUCGCCGAAAACGGCAAAGCCGUUGAAUUUCAUGUGUAACUUUUUCUGUAGAUCAAUUUUCGUAUAGAAAUCGCCCCGAUCCGAGAUCGUACCGAAAAGUUACGGCUGAUUUACCGAAGCAUACGCAUACGGCAAAAUCCCGACCCCGGCAGUAGAUCCCAUCUACUAUUGCACAUCUAAUGCACCUGGCGUAUGACCCUGGAUCUCGAUUUGACCAAUCAUAUUGAUCUUCCCUCACUGCAACUGGAUUUACGUGUAUCACUUAACUCCGAUGGCGGAAACCGACCGGUAGGAGUAUGUCGUUACACUACCAUUACAGCAAGGGCACGAAAUCAGGACAUAGAUCAAACAGAGAACUCGCAUAUCUCCAUAUGCACACAUCCCGAAUCCAAAACUAAGCAGCUACGGCUCUUGAUACCACUGUUGGGAUACGAGGUAGGCUACGCUAGCGCAAAUCAAAAUUUUCUACCGCGUAUAACCAGGAAGAACUGCCGUAUAAGGAUCACGGGAUUACCA
Molecule: long non-coding RNA, 97972 nt
Filed under: Setaria viridis
Lineage: Eukaryota; Viridiplantae; Streptophyta; Magnoliopsida; Poales; Poaceae
Description: long non-coding RNA (SVIR_LNC001909)
Source: RNAcentral